Molecule: long non-coding RNA, 91480 nt
Filed under: Hordeum vulgare
Lineage: Eukaryota; Viridiplantae; Streptophyta; Magnoliopsida; Poales; Poaceae
Description: long non-coding RNA (HVUL_LNC015390)
Source: RNAcentral
UUGAGAGAGGUAUUAGUCAACGGGCCUACAACAUUCAGACACGUGUGUACUUUACAAAUCUCUAUGUCAUACUGUAGAUGGUGCUACCACGCUUAACUUGGAAAAAUUCCAAAUGAUAGCUCCACUAUAUGACUCCGGUUUGCUACUCAGAGUCAUCCGGAUUGGUGUCAAAGCUUGCAUCGACCUAACCCUUUACGUGAAACGCUUUUAUCACCUCCAUAAUCAAUAAACAUUUCCUUAGUCCUCUAGUUACUAAGGAUUAUUUUGACCGCUGCCAGUGAUCCACUCCAGGAUCACUCUUGUACCCCUUAAGGCACACGCCAGGUGCGGUAGACAACAUGGCAUAUUAUAGAGCCUACGGCUAAGGCUUAGGGGACGACCUUCGUCCUUUCUCUUGCUUCUGUCGUGGUCGGGCUUUGAGUCUUACUCAAAUUCACACCUUACAAUAUAGGCAAGAACUCCUUCUUUGUCUGAUCCAUUUUGAACUUCUUUGAGUCUUUCUCUUUCUUGUGUAGAUCUUGAUGCCCAAUGUUCAAGUAGCUUAAUCCAAGUUUUUUUCCUUUGAAAAAUUCCUUUCAAACAACGCUAUAUGCUUUUCUAGAAAUUCUACAUCAUUUUCGAUCAACUAUAUGUCAACCACAUGUACUUAUCAGAAAUUCUAUAGUGCUCCCACUCACUUUAUUGUAAAUACAAGUUUAUUCAUAAACUCUGCAUAAACCAAAAGCAUUGAUCACUCAUCAAAGCACUUAUUCCAAUUUCGAGAUGCUUGCACGAGUCCAUAUAUGGAUCACUAGAGCUCACAUGCCUUUUAGCAUCCUUAGGAUCGACAAAACCUUCUGGUUGUAUCACAUACAACCUUUCCUCAAGGAAACUGUUAAGGAAACUUUGUUUUGACAGCCAUCUUCCAGAUUUCAUAAUCAAAAAAUGCAGCAACUGCUAACAUAAUCCCAACAGACUUUUAGCAUCGCUAUGAGUGAGAAAGUCUCAUCAUAGUCAACUCCUUGAACUUGUCGGAAACUUCUUUGAGACAAGUCGAGCUUUAUAAAUGGUGACAUUUCACCAUUAUCAUCUCUCUACUUCUUAAAGAUCCAUUUGUACUUAACGGCCUGUCGUUUAUCAGGUAAGUCUACCAAAGUCCAUACUUGGUUUCCAUACCUGAUCAUAUCUCGGAUUUCAUGGCUCCUAGCCAUUUGUUGGAAUCCGGGCCCACCAUCGCUUCCUCAUAGUUCGUAGGUUCUUUGUUGUCUAACAAAAUGACCUCCAAGACACGAUUGCCAUACCAAUCAUUGGCGGUACGAUUCCUUGUCAACCUAUGAAGCUCAGUAGUAACUUGAUGUGAAGUUUCAGGAUCGUCAUCAUUAGUUUCCUCUUCAUUUGGUGUAGGUGCCGGAAAAACAUCUUUCUACGUCGUGCUACCAUCCAACUGAAGUGACGGUUCAAUAAACUCAGAAAGGUCUACCUUCCUCCCACUCAAUUCUUUCGAGAGAAACACUUUCUCGAGACAGGACCCGUUUUUAGCAACAAACAAUUUUCCCUUGGAUCUGAGAUAGAAGGUAUACCAACUGUUUCCUUAGGGUAUCCUAUGAAGACACAUUUGUCCGCUUUGGGUUGGAGCUUAUUAGGUUCAAACAUUUUCACAUAAGCCUUGCAACCCCAAACUUUAAGAAACAACAGUUUAGGUUUCUUGCCAAACCAAAAUUCAUACGGUGUCAUCUCAACGGACUUUGAUGGUGCCCUAUUUAAAGUGAAUGCGGCAGUCUCUAAUGCAUAACCCCAAAAACAAUAAUGGCGAUUCACUAAGAGACAUCAUAGUACACACCAUAUCCAAUAUGGCACAACUACGACGUUUGGACACGCCAUCACACUAUGGUGUUCCAUGUGGCAUGUGUUGUGAAACAAUUUCCACAUUGUCUUAAAUGUAUAUGAAACUCGUAACUCGAAUAUUCACCUCUACGAUCACAUUGUAGACAUUUCAUCCUCUUGUCACGACGAUCCUCAACUUCACUCUGAAAUUGCUUGAACUUUUCAUCAUUUUAGACUUGUGAUUCAUUAAGUAAAUAUACCCGUAUCUAAUCAAAUCAUCUAUGAAGUAAGAACAUAAUGAUAUCCACUGUGUGCUUCAGCACUCAUUGGAUUGCAUACAUCAAAAUGUAUUGUUUCCAAUAAGUCACUUGCCCGUUCCAUCUCACUGAAAAACGACGCCUUCAGUCAUCUUGCCCAUGUGGCAUGGUCUGCAUGUCUCAUGAGAUUCAAAAUCAAGUGAGUCUGAAAGAUCCAUCGGCAUGGAGUUUCUUCAUGCGCUUACACCAAUAGGCAUGGUUCUCAUGUCUCAAACGAUUCAAAAUCGAGUGAGUCCAAAGAUUCAUCAUCAUGGAGUUUUUUCAUGUAUUUUAUACCAAUAUGACCUAAGCGCAGUGCCACAAGUAAGUGGUACUAUCAUUACUAACUUUGUAUCUAUUGGCAUUAUUAGUGUGAACAUGUGUAUCACUACGAUUGAGAUUCAAUAAACCAUUCAUCUUGGGUGCAUGAUCAUAUAAGAUAUUAUUCAUGAAAAAGAAUAUCCCAUUAUUCUGUAACUCACAUAAAUAAUCGUCUCGCAAUAAACAAAAUCAAUAUAAUGUUCAUGCUUAACGCAAACACCAAAUAACAUUUAUUUAGGUUUAUCACUAAUGUUGAAGGUAGAUGUAGUAUGUGAUGGUGAUCACAUCAACUUUGCAAACACUUCCAACAUGCAUCGACACCUCUCCCUUAGCUAGUCUUUGUUUAUUCCGCAACUCUUGUUUCGAGCUACUAAUAUUAGCAACUGAACCAUUAUCAAAUACCCACAGGCUAGAACGAGCACUAGUAAGGCACACGUCAAUAACAUGUAUAUAAAAUAUACAUUUGUUGACAUUGCCAGCCUUCUUAUGUGCCAAGUCUGGGGCAGUUCCGCUUCGAGUGACCAUUCCCCUCAUAACAAAAGCACUCAGUCUCGGGUUUGGGUUAAAGCUUGGGUCUCUUCACUAGAGCAACAACUGGUUUGUCAUCCUCGAAGUUUCCCUUCUUCCCCUUACCCUUCUUGAAACUAGUGGUUUUACUAACCAUCAACACAUGAUGAUCCUUCUUAAUUUCUAACUUCGCGGUGUCGAACAUCGUGAAUAGAUCAGGGAUCAUCUUCUCCAUCCCUCAUAUCAUAUAGUUCAUCACAAAGCUCCAACAACUUGGUGGCAGUAACUUUGGAGAACUAUGUCAAUCACUAUCUUAUCUGGAAGAUCAACUAGCACUUGAUUUAAGCGAUUAUAGCACCGAGACAAUGUGAGAACAUGCUCAUCGGUUGAGCUAUUCUUCUUCAUCUUGCAGGAAAAUGAUCUUGUCGGAGGUCGCAUACCUCUCAACACGGGCACGAGACUGAAAUCCCAAUUUCAGCUCUUGGAACAUCUCAUAUGCUUCGUUACGUUCAAAGUGUCUUUGGAGCCUCAAUUCUAAGACGUAAAGCAUGACGCACUGAACUAUUAAGUAGUCAUCAAAAGCUAGUCUAUCAUAUGUCCAGAACAUCCACAUAUGAUGCUUGAGGGGUGGCAUGCCGAGCGGUGCAUCAAGGACAUAAGCCUUCUGUGCAGCAAUGAGGACAAUCCUCAGUUUAUGGAACCAGUCCACAUAAUUGCUACUAUUAUCUUUCAACUUAGUUUUAUCUACGAACGUAUCAAAAAAAUACACGGGAGCUACAACACGAGCUAUUGUUCUACAACAUACUUUGUAAAUACAACUUAGACUAUGUUCAUGAUAAUGAGUUCAAUUAAUCAUAUUACUUAAGAACUCCCACUCAAAUUAACAUCCCUCAUGUUGUUCGAGUGUAACAUGAUCCAAAUCCACGAACCCAGGUCCGAUCAUCAAGUGAGAUGAGGUGGUUUCAAUGGUGAACAUCUCCAUGUUGAUGAUAUCUAGUAUAUGACUCAUGUUUGACCUUUAGGCCUCCUUUGUUCCUAGGCCAUGUAUGCACAUGCUAGGCUCGUCAAGUUUAAGCCAAGUGUUAUGCAUGUGCAAAACUGGCUUACAACCAUUGUAUGCGAACAUAGAGUCUAUCACACCCGAUCAUCACGUGGUGCUUCGAAACGUCGAUACUUCACAACGGUGCACACUUGGGAAGAACACAAUUUUAUCUUGAAAUUUUAGUGAGGGAUCAUCUUAUAAUGAUACCGUCGUCCUAAGCAAAAUAAGAUAAGUGACAUGAUAUGGUCAUCAUAAUCUUGUGCUUUUGAUCUCCAUGUCCAAAGCACCGGCAUGAUAUCCAUCGUCACCAGCAUGACACCAUGAUCUCCAUCAACGUGUCGCCAUGUGGUUGUCGCUACACCUAUUGCUUCUACAACUAUUGCUAACUCAUAGCGAUAAAGUAAAACAAAUGGUACAAAUUAGUUAAAGACAACCCUAUGGAUCCUGCCAGUUGUCAUACUCAUCGACAUGCAAGUCGUGAUAAUCUAUACAAAACAUGACCAUCUCAUACAUCACAUGUAGCAUCACAUCUUGGCCAUAUCACAUCACAACAUCCCGUGCAAAAAUAAGUUAGACGUCCUCUACUUUGUUGUUGCAAGUUUUACGUGGCCGCUAUGGCCAACUAGCAAGAACUGUUCUUACCUAUGCAUAGACAGAACAAUGAUAUUCAAGUUGCUAUUUAACCAUCUACAAGGACCGCCUUUUUCAAAUCCGAUUCAAGUAAAGUGGGAGAGACAAACACCCGCCAGCCAUCUUUAUGCAACAAGUUGCAUGUCAGUCGAUGGAACCGAUCUCUCGUACGUGGGCGAGUAAGGUUGGUCUGGGCCGAUUCACCCCACAAUACCGAUGAAUCAAAAUAUGACUAAGGAAAGCAAUCUGGACAUCAAUGCCCAUGAACUCUUUUGUGUUCUACUCGUGCAUGUCAUCUACCAUAGACCUUGCUCAUGAUGUCACUAUUGGGGAAAGUUGCAUGGAACACAAAUUUUUUCCUACGCUCACCAAGAUCAAUCUAUGGAGACUAACAUCUACGAGAAGGGGAGUGCAUCUACAUACUCUUGUAUAUCGCUAAGCGGAAGUGUAUAUAAUGCGGUUGAUGUAGUUGUACGUCUUCACGAUCCAAUCGCGAUCCAUCCCGAUCUAGCACCGAACGUACGACACCUCCAUGUUCAGCAGACGUGCGUCUCGAUGACGUCUCCGCCUCCUUAUAGAAAGCGAGGGAGGAGAAGUAGAUGGGAUCACGAGCAACAUGACAACAUGGUGGAGAUGGUGGUGCAACAGUUGAGCAGGGCUUAGCCAAGCGCCUCUAGAACUGCGAACGAGGAAGAACAGGAGAGACACGAGGGAGAGGGUUGCCUCAAGGGAGAGGACUUGAUGUGUUCAGCCCUCCCCUUCCGUCCACUAUUUAUGGAAGGCAUUGGGCAGGAGGGGUGUGCAGCCCUAGCCAAGAGGGAGGAGUCUUCCCUCUCCAAGGCACAUCCUAGGUGCCUUGCCUCUCAAUUUUUCUACCACUAGCCGCAUGGGCCCUUGCGGGCUGGCCAACAAGUCUUAGGCAUCCCCCUUAAAGCCCAUGCACGUCCUAGGGGCUGGAGGAACCCUUUCGGACUCCUCCGGAACACGCCGGAACCUUCCCCCUUCUAGAACCUUCCUAGUACAAUAUUGGUAAAACCCCAAAAAAAUUCGGAGCUCCUCGUGACAUUGGGGAUCUCAUCCGAGACUCCGAACAACAUUCAGUCACCAAUACUAGGACCCUACGGGUUCAAUAAUCAUUUAGAGGUGACCGAGAUACCUCUCCAUUCAACAACCAAUAGCAGGACCUGGAUACCCAUAUUGGUUCCUACAUUUUCCACGAAGAUCUUCACCGGUCGAACCACGAUGCCAAGGAUUUAAUCAAUCACGUAUGCAGUUGCCACGAAGUCUAUUUACUCGUUCCGUAAUACAAGAUCCCGUGACUAAAUUCUUAGCCACAUUUCUUGCAAGCUUAUUGUGAUGUUGCAUUAUCGAGUGGGCCCUAAGAUACCUCUGUGUUAUACGGAUUGACAAAUUCAAGUCUUGAUCCAUGCCAACUUGAUACGUCCAUUUUGCAUCAUGCUUUCAUGUUGAUAUUUAUCGCUUUAUGGGCUGUUAUUACACUUCAUGGUACAAUACUUAUGCCUUUUCUCUCUUAUUUUGCAAGGUUUACAUGAAGAGGGAGAAUGCCGGCAGCUGGAAUUCUGGCCUGAAAAAGGAGCAAGUUUGAGAUACCUAUUCUGCGCAACUCCAAAAGCCGUGAAAAUCAACGAGGAUUUAUUUUGGAAUUUAUAAAAAAUACCGGGUGGAAGAAGUACUAGAGGGGAGCCAGCAGGAGGCCACAAGCCUGCUAGGCGCGACCUACCCCCUGGCCGCGCCUAGGGGGCUUGUCGGCUCCCUGUUGGCCCUAUGGCCCCCUAUUUUUCUAUAAGGAGGGUUUCGUUGCAGAGAAAAUCAAGAGGAGGCUUUGAGGAGGAAUCUCCGCCGUCACGAGGCGGAACUUGAGCAGAACCAAUCUAGAGCUCCGGAAGGGCCGUCCUACCAGGGAAACUUCCCUCCCGGAGGGGGGAAAUCAUCGCCAUCGUCAUCACCAACACUCCUCUCAUCGGAGGGGACUCAUCACCAUCAACAUCUUCAUCAUCACCAUCUCAUCUCCAAACCCCAGUUCAUCUCUUGUAACCAAUCUCCGUCUCACGACUCCGAUUGGUACUUGUAAGGUUGCUAGUAGUGUUAAUUACUCUUUAUAGUUGAUGCUAGUUGGAUUACUCGGUGGAAGAUUAUAUGUUCAGAUCCUUGAUGCUAUUCAAUACCUCUCUGGUCAUGAAUAUAAUUAUGCUUUGUGAGUAGUCACUUUUGUUCCUGAGGACAUGGGAUAAGUCAUGCUAUAAGUAGUCAUGUGAAUUUGGUAUUCGUUUGAUAUUUUGAUGCGUUGUAUGUUGUUUUUCCUAUAGUGGUGUUAUGUGAACGUCGACUACAUAACACUUCACCAAUAUUUGGUCCUAGAGGAAGGCAUUGGGAAGUAGUAAGUAGAUGAUGGGUUGCUAGAGUGACAGAAGCUUAAACCCUAGUUUAUGCGUUGCUUCGUAAGGGGCUGACUUGGAUCCACUAGUUUAAUGCUAUGGUUAAACUUUGUCUUAAUUCUCCUUUCGUAGUUGAGGAUGCUUGCGAGAGGGGUUAAUCAUAAGUGGGAGGUUUGUCCAAGUAAGGGCAGCACCCAAGCACAGGUCCACCCACAUAUCAAACUAUCAAAGUAGCGAACGCGAAUCAUAUGAACAUGAUGAAAACUAGCUUGACAGAAAUUCCCGUGUGUCCUCGGGAACGCUUUACCUCCUAUAAGAGUUCGUAUAGGCUUGUCCCUUGUUACAAAACGGAUUGGGACACUUUGCUGCACAUUUGUUACUUUUGCUACUUGUUACUUGCCACGAAUCAUCUUAUCACACAACUUUCUGUUACCGAUAAUUUUAGUGCUUGCAGCGAAUACCUUGUUGAAAACCAUUUGUCAGAUCCUUCUGCUCCUCGUUGUGUUCGACACUCUUACUUAUCGAAAGGACUAUGAUAUAUACCCUACACUUCUGGGUCAUCUAGACUCUUUUCUGGCGCCGUUGCCGGGAAGUGAAGCGCCUUUGGUAAGUGGAAUUUGUUAAGGAAACAUUUAUAUAGUGUGCUGAAAUUUACUGUUACUGGUUACUAUGGAAACUAAUACUUUGAGGAGCUUGUUCGGGGUAUCUUCACCUCGAACAAAAGCACAAGGAGUUUCUCCUCAACCUGCUGCACCUACUAAAAAUAUUUGCUAUGAAUUUCCUUCGGGUAUGCUUGAGAAACUGCUGGCUAAUCCUUUUAUAGGAGAAGGAACAUCACAUCCCGACCUGCAUCUAAUCUAUGUAGAUGAAGUUUGUGAUUUAUUUAAUCUUGCAGGUUUGCCCGAGGAUGAGGUCAAGAAGAAGGUCUUUCCCUUAUCUUUCAGGGAUAAAGCAUUGACAUGGUAUAGGCUAUGUGAUGAUACUGGAUCAUGGAACUACAACCGAUUGAAAUUGGAAUUUCAUAAAAGGUUUGAUCCUAUGCAUUUGGUACAUCAUGAUCGGAAUUAUAUUUAUAAUUUUUGGCCUCUUGACAGGGAAAGUAUAGCUCAAGCUUGGGGGAGGCUUAAAUCAAUGUGAUAUUCAUGCCCCAACCAUGAGCUCUCGAGAGAAAUUAUCAUUCAGAACUUCUAUGCUCGGCUUUCUCAUGAUAAUCGCACCAUGUUUGACACUUCUUGUACCGGUUCUUUUAUGAAGAGAGAUAUUGACUUAAAAUGGAAUUUAUUGGAAAGAAUUAAAUGCAACCCUGAAUAUUGGGAGUUUGAUGAAGGUAAGGAGCCAGGUAUGAAUCUCAAGUUUGAUUGCGUUAAAUCCUUUGUCGAAACUAAUACUUUUGUGAUUUUAGCGCUAAAUAUGGACUUGACUAUGAGAUUGUAGCUUCAUUGUGUGAAUCAUUUUCUGCUCGUAUUGAUCUCCCUAAAGAGAAGUGGUUUAAAUAUCAUCCUCCCUUAGAAGUCAAUGUCGAUUAACCCAAUCCAGUUGAAGAGAAAGUCAUUGCCUAUAAUGAUCCUAUUGUUCCUAGUGCUUACAUUGAGAGACCACCUUUCCGUCUUAGAAUAAAGGAUCAUUCUAAAGCUUCAACUGUGAUACGUAGAGGCUACAUUAGAACAUCUACAACCCCUGAGAAAAUUAGAGUUGAACCUAGCAUUGCUAUUAUCAAAGAUCUCCUGUCCGACAAUGUUGAUGGCCAUGAUAUUCACUUCUGUGAAGAUGCUGCUAGAAUUGCUAAACCACAUGCUAGAGACAAACAUAGGCCUGUUGUUGGCAAUCCUGUUGUUUCUGUUAAGAUAGGAGAUCAUUGUUACCAUGGUUUAUGUCACGUGGGUGCUAGUGUUAGUGCAAUACCUCAAUCCUUAUAUGAUGAAAUUAAAGACGAGAUUGCACCUGUUGAGAUGGAACCUAUUGAUGUCACUAUUUAGCUUGCCAAUAGAGAUACUAUCUGCCCUUUGGGAAUUGUUAGAGAUGUUGAAGUCUUGUGUGGUAAAACGAAGUAUCCUGCUGAUUUUCUCGUUCUUGCUACCUCACAAGAUAGCUUUUGUCCCAUCAUAUUUGGCAGACACUUUCAAUGCUCAUAUUGACCGUGAGAAGCAAACUGUCACUGUUGGCUUUGAAGGUGUGUCACAUGAGUUCAAUUUCUCCAAGUUUGGUAGACAACCUCAUGAAAAAGAGUUGGCUAGUAAGGAUGAAAUUAUUGCCCUAGCAUCUAUUGCCAUGCCUCCUACUGAUCCUUUAGAGCAAUACUUGCUUGAGCAUGAAAAUGAUAUGCAUAUGGAUGAAAGGGAUGAGAUAGAUAGAGUUAUCUUUGAACAAUAUCCUAUCCUUAAGAAUAAUUUGCCUGUUGAAUUACUUGGUGAUCCACCCCCACCAAAGGGUGAUCCUGUGUACGAGCUCAAACAGUUGCCNNNNNNNNNNNNNNNNNNNNNNNNNNNNNNNNNNNNNNNNNNNNNNNNNNNNNNNNNNNNNNNNNNNNNNNNNNNNNNNNNNNNNNNNNNNNNNNNNNNNAAGCUUAGGAUCCCAAUGUGCUGGAAAGACACUAUAUUAAAUGCAUACCAAACACAUAACUCGGAUAUUCUCCACCAUGAUCAAAUCAUAGAAACUUUAUCUUCUUGUUACGAUGAUUCUCAACUUCACUCUGAAAUUGCUUGAACAGUUCAAACGUUUCAGACUUGUGCUUCAUUAAGUAAAUAUACCCAUAUCUACUCAAAUCAUUAGUGAAGGUGAGAAAUUAACGAUAUCCACCGCGUGCUUCAAUAUUCAUUGGAAGACACACAUCAAUAUGUAUGAUUUCCAACAAGUCAGUUGCUCGUUCCAUUGUUCCGGAAAACGGAGUUUUUGUCAUCUUUCCCAUGAGGCAUGGUUCCAAUGUAUCAAGCGAUUCAAAAUCGAGUGAUUCCAAAAGUCCAUGAGCAUGGAGCUUCUUCAUGUGCUUUGCACCAAUAUGACCUAAGCGACAGUUCCCGAAGAAAGUGGUACUAUCAUUAUUAACUUCGCAUCUUUUGCCAUCAAUAUUAUGAACAUGUGUAUCACUAGAUCAGGAUUUUAAAAAGAACAAACCAUUCAUAUUGGGUGCAUGACCAUAAAGAUGUUGUCCCUGUAAAUAGAACAAACAUUACGCUUUGAUUUAGUUCAAUAACCGUCUCAUAAUAAAGAAGAUCCAUAUAGAAUGUUCAUGCUUAACACAUGCACCAAAUAACAAUUAUUUAGGUUUAAAGCUAAUCCCUAUGGUAAUCGAAGAGCGAGCAUGCCGAUGGCGAUCACAUCAACCCUGGAACCAUUUCCGACGUGCAUCGUGACCUCGUCUUUUACCAGCCUCCGUUUAUUCUGUAGCUCCUGCUUCGAGUUACACAUAUGAGCAACUGAACCAAUAUCAAAUAACUAGGCACUACUACAAGAGCUAGUAAGUUACACAUCAAUAACAUGUACAUCAAAUAUACCGUUGACGUUCCCAGCCUUCUUAUCAUCCACAUACUUGGGGUAAUUCUACUUCCGGUGGCCAGCCCCCUUGCAGUAAAAGCACUCGGGCUUAGGCUUGGGUACAGCCUUGGAUAUCUUCAUUGGAGCCGCAACUGGCUUGCCGUUAUUCUUGAAGUUUCGCUUCUUACCCUUGCAUUUCUUGAAACUAGUGGUUUUAUUCACCUUCAACACUUUAUGCUCCUUCUUGAUUUCUACUUCCUCGACUUUCAGCAUCACGAAUAGCUCAGAGAUUGACUAGUUCAUCCCAUCCAUAUUAUAGUUCAUCACGAAGCCCUUAUAGCUAGGUGGCAGUGACUCGAGAACUCUAUCAAUAACUGUCUCGGGUGGAAGCUCAGUUUUCAACUAAUUCAAGUGGUUGUAGUACCCAGACAUUUUGAUUUUAUGCUCACUAAUAGAACUAUUCUCCUCCAUCUUGCAGGUAAAGAACUUAUCAGGGGUCUCAUACCUCUCAAUCCGGGCAUUGGAUUGAAAUACUAGCUUCAGCUCCUGGAACAUCUCAUAUCUUCCAUGACGUUCAAAACGCUUUUGAAGUCCCAAUACUAUGUUAUACAACAUGGCGCACUAAACUAUUGAGUAGUCUUCAGAACAUGGGUGCCACACUCUCACGACAUCUCCAGAAGACACUAGGGGGUGGCGCCUCAAACGAUGCACCAAGGACAUAAGACUUUUACGAAGCCUUGAGGAUAGUCCUCAAAUUAUGGACCCAGUCGGCAUAGUUACUUCCAUCAUCUUUCAGCUUAGCUUUCUCUAGCAACGCAUUAAAAUUCAAGGGAGAUAUUGCACGAGCCAUUGAUCUACAACAUAAUUUGCAAAGACAUUUACACUACGUUCUUGAUAAGUCGUUCAAUUAUAAUGAACUUCCACUUAGAUCAACAUUCCUAAAGUUUUCUAAGUGUGACAUGAUCCAGAUCAACCAACCCAAGUCCGAUCAUCACGUGAGAUGAGGUGGUUUCAAUGGUGAACAUAUCUAUGUUGAUCAUAUCUAUUAUAUGAUUCAUGUUCAACCUUUUGGUCUGAUUUGUUGUGAGGCCGUGUAUGCAGAUGCUAGGCUCGUCAAGUUUAACCCUAGUAUUCUGCAUGUGUAAAAUUGGCUUACACCUAUGCGAACCAAGAUUAUAUCACACCCAAUCAUCACGAGGUGCUUCGAAAUGACAAACUUUCGCAAUGGUGCAUACUUGGGGAGAACACAAUUUUAUCUUGAAAUUUUAGUGAGGGUUCAUCUUAUAAUGCUACCGUCAUCCUAAACAAAAUAAGAUGCAUAACAGGAUAGACAUCACAUGCAAAUCAUAUAAGUGACAUGAUAUGGCCAUCAUCAUCUUGUGCUUUCGAUCUCUAUCUUCAAAGCACUGGCAUGAUCUCCAUUGUCAUUGGCAUGACACCAUGAUCUCCAUCAUUUUGUCAUCAUGUGGUUGUCAUGCCAACUAUUUCUUCUACGACUAUUGCUAACUCAUAGUGAUAAGUAAAACAAAUGGCAUGAAAUAAAUUAAAGACGACCCUAUGGCUCGUGCCCAUUGCCGUAUUCAUCGACAUGCAAGUCAUGAUAAUUAUUACAAAACAUGACCAGAUCAUACAUCACAUAUAUCAAAUCAAAUUUUGGCAUAUCACAUCACAACAUGCCCCUCAAAAACAAGUUAAAUAUCCUCUACUUUGUUGUUGCAAGUUUUACAUGGCAGCAAUGGGAAACUAGUAAGAAUCGUUCUCACCUACACAAAGCCACAACGAUGAUAUUCAAGUUACAUUUGAACCUUCUACAAGGACCGCCUCUGCCGAAUCUGAUUCAACUAAAGUGGGAAAGACAAACACCCCGCGAGCUACCUUUAUGCAAACAAGUUGCAUCUCACUCGGUGAAAUUGAUCUCUUGUGCAAGGACAAGUAAGGUUGGUCCGAACUCUUCAUCCCACAAUAUCGUUGAGUCAAAAUAAGACUAAGAAGGUAAGCAAUCCAAACAUCAACGCCCACAAACAUUUUGUAUUCUACUCAUGCAUAUCAUCUACGCAUAGACCUAUAUCAUCAUGACACUAUUGGAGAACAUUAAAUGGGAAACAAAAAACAUACACGCACGCAAGAUCUAUCCAUGGAGAUGCAUCGCUAUGAGAGGGGAGUGUGUACACCUACCCAUGUAGAUCACUAAGCGCAAGCAUUGAAAACAUAGUUGAUGUAGUCGUAGAUCUAUAUGAUCCAAUUGUGAUUCGCCCCGAUCAAGCGCCGAACGGACGACACCUAUGCAUUUAGCACACGUGCAACUCGAUGACAUCUCCACCUCCUCGAUCCAGCGAGCGAGGGCAAAGUAGUAGUUGGGACCUCCGGAAGCACGAUGGCAUGGAGACGGUGAAGUUGGAGUUAUCCCGAUAGGGCUUUCCGAGCACUACCAAAACUAUGACCGAAGGAGAAAAUGAUCUAAAGAGAGAGGUGCGGUGAUGACCCACAAGUAUAGGGGAUCAAUUGUAGUCCUUUCGAUAAGUUACAGUUUCGAACCCAACGAGGAGCAGAAGGAAAUGACAAGCGGUUUUUAGCAAGGUAAUUUCUGCAAGCACUAAAAUAGUGGUAACAAGUUGUUUGAUAUCAAGAUAAUUGUACCAAGUAACGAGUAGCAAUAGUAAAAAUAAGUGCAGUAAGGUAGCCCAAUCCUUUUGUGGCAAAGGACAGGCCGGAACGUUUCUUAUAUUAGACAAAGCAUUCUUGAGGGCACAUGGGAAUUUCAUCUAGUCACUUUCGUCAAGUGGGGUUAAUUUGCAUUCGGUACUUUGAUAAUUUGAUAUGUGGGUGGACCAGUGCUUGGUGUUGGUCUUACUUGAAGCAGCCUCCCACUUAUUAUUAACCCCCCCUGCAAGCAUGCGCAACUACCAGAAAAUUAUUAAGAAUAAAUUCUAACCAUAACAUUAAACAUAGGGAUCCAAAUUUGCCCCUCACAGAAUAGCGCAUAAACUAGGGUUUAAGUUUCUAUCACUCUCGCAACCCAGCAUAUAAGAACUACUCCACAAUGCAUUCCCUUAGGCCCAAAGAUGGUGAAGUGUUAUGUAUUCGAUGUUCACAUAACACCACUAAGGGAAACACAAUGUUUAUAUCAUCGAAAUAACGAAUGAAUAUCAACUUCACAUGACUACUUGCAAUGUGACUUCACAUGUAGCCUCAAGAACAAAAGUAACUACUCACAAUUGAUAAACAUGCUCCUGAUCAGAGAGGUAUUAAAUAGCAUAUUGGAUCUGAACAUAUGAUCUUCCACCAAAUAAACCACAAAGCAUCAACUAGAAGAUGUAAUCAACACUACUAGUCACCCCCCGGGUACCAAUCUAAGGCUCGGGUACAAUAUUGAGCACAAGAGAUAAACUAGGGUUUUGAGAGGAGAUGGUGCCAUUGAAGAUGUUGAUGAAGAUUGGCCUCCCCAAGAUGAGAGGGUUGUUGGUGAUUACGAUGGCCUUGAUUUCCCACUCCAGGAGGAAGUUCCCCCGGCGGAAUCGCUCCACCAGAGGGUAAAAGUUCUCCUGACCAAGUUCCGCCUUGAGAUGGUGAAGCUCCAUCCAGAAAGUCCUCUCCUUAUUUUUUCCAUGUCAAACGUGAAUAUAUACCAGAAGAUGGUCGCCCGAAAUUGGCUGGUGCCUAGUGGCUACCUCACAGCCCCCUCUAGUACUUCUUUCUUAUAGUAUUUUUUAUUUAUUACAUAAAAAAUCUCAAUGGAGUGUCAGCCCAUGGAGAUGUGGGAAAUAGAUAUCUCUCACAUAGCUUUUCCAGGUCGAGAAUUCCAUCUGCCCGCAUUCUCCCUCUUGGUGUAAGCUUGCAUAUUAUGAGAGAAAAAGCAUUAUAAUUACUCCAUAAAGUAGUAUAAUGCAUAAAAACACUAUAAAUAACACUAGAAAAACAUGAUGCAAAAUGGACGUAUCAACUCCCCCAAGCUUAAACCUCGCUUGUCCUCAAGCGAAAGACGAUAACGAAAAUCAUGACCACAUGCUUUGAGAGGGAGGUGUCGAUUAAAACAAAAUAUGGACAUAGUAGCAUCAUGCUCAUCAUUAUAACAAUAAAUAUACUUUAAAAAAAUCCAUCCAAGCAUUUUCAUCAUAUAACUUUCAUCAUAAAAACUUAUCAUAAACAAGUAACAAUUCAUCACAACAUUGAAGUAUGAACCAUAAACUCUAUUGAAAACUAACAAACUAUGUUUUGAGUCAACUUUGCAACACAAUUCAUCACAUUUUCAGGAAGGCUCUCAUAUCGGAGCUUUUAAGCAAGUCUACAUACUAAACCAUCAUUUAGUCUUCUAUGAUUGCUAACACUCACCGCAUACAUAUGAGCAAAAGGUUUCAACCAGACAUAUAGACAGAUAGGGGCUUAAAGUGUCACCUCCAAGCAUAUUCACCUCAAGGGUGAUGUCAACAAUAAUAACUCAUGACCACCCACAUUCAAUUAGACAUAUAUGCCUAGAUAUUUCCCCACAAUAUGAUGCUUGCAAAAGAGAAAAUAAAAAGGAGUAGAGAAGAUUUUUUUUAACCUUGCAUAAAAGUAAAAGAUAGGCCCUUCACAAAGGGAAGCAGAGGUUGUCAUGUGCUUUUUGGUUGUAUGCCAAAUCCCUUAGUGCAAAGGAACGUUAUGUUAUAUAGCCCCUUAUGAUCGCAGCCUUUAUUAUGUCUUUUAUCGCUUUUAUUAUCGCCAUCACAAGUUCGUACAAUGCUUAAUUUGCCUUACACUAAAUGAUCGAACACGUUUAGAAGCAACUUUUAUUGCCUUGUGCACCGAUGACAACUUACUUGAAGGAUCUUACUCAAUCCAUAGGUAGGUAUGGUGGACUCUUAAAACGUGGAUUUGGGUUUAAAGUUUUGGAUGCACAAUUAGUAUCUCUACUUAGUGUCGAGUUUUGUCUAGCAAAGAUAUUGGGCAACAUAACUUAGUGUCGAGUUUCCCCCACAUUUUAGAGGAUCUAUAACAACAUAACUUCUAUGUGAAUGUGAACAAACAUAAAUCAUUACGUUGUCUUCCUUGUCCAAUGUGAACAGUUUUGGCACACUAUAAUUAAUGGGAGAUCACAAUCACAAAGAUGUCAAGGAUAGUGUGUUUGCAUGUAAAUAUUCUCUUCCUUCACUACAAGAAAUAUGUCAACUAACGACCUUCUGUCAGUGACACUCGCAGAAUUGGUCGUAAAUCUACGACCAUUCCAGACCAAUUGGUCGUAAGAUGUCCGGAGGGGUCCUAACCCCAAAACCAAACGACCAUUUUCAUCACAAAGGUCGUAACUUCCUUACUGGAAAUGGUCGUAAAGCAGAUAGCCAUGUUCCGCUGCCUAAUUUGUACCUAAUUACGACCAAUAUAGAUGGUCAUAGCUACGACUAGUUGCCACAUCAUCAGUUUUGUCUACGUGUCAUGUCCAUGUGUGAAUUUUUUCCUAGUUUGUGAAGCAACCUACUAUUCUGUCAUUCCAAAAAUUCUCAUAAUACUUUGGAUCAUAUAUUCCUAAAAUACGUGAAAACCCUUCCUUCCGUAGUUUGAAAAUAUUUCAGCAAUAUUAAUUUUCCUAUUCUGUUCAGAAUAACACUUUGUGAAGGAAGUGCUAUUUCUGUUUCUUUGAUUACCCUCAAAUUUAUAGGGAACUUUUUCCUAUCCAAAUCAUUGCCUGAUGAAAACUUUCGUCACCAUUUUCCUAGUAAAUCUUUCUCACCAAAUUUCCAAAGUUUUUGUUCAACUAACAGCUUUGUGAAGGAAGUACUAGAUAGGAAUAUCCUGAUGAGUUGAACUUUUUCCACAUCUUCUAUUUUCCCAAAACAUAACUCUCCAUAACAUUUUAGCCCCAUCUAACAAUCCAUGUGAGCUCAUCAUCCAAUAUUUGUUUUUGAUAAUAUUUUCAGUUUGUGAAGCAACUACAUUUUAUAUUGCUUUAUAGUUGAUGAAUAUUUACCACGGAAUUAAACUGACCAUAUAACUUCACUGCACCAAAUUUUAGCUCAUUUUAUUCAGCCAGUUUCACUCAAUAUUUUUCCCAAUAUUCUAUUCAGUAGAGAGCAUUGUGAAGGAAGUACAAUUUUUGUUUAUCCAAAUUUUAUGAAAUUAUUACACUGCCUUAAUGUGCCCAAAUUAUCAUCCUCCUCCAAAUUUUAGCUCAAUCCAAUCAUAUAUGUGAGCCCAGUUUCAAUUACCAUUUUCUGUCCAGAUUGGCGCAUUGUGAAGGAAGUGUCAAUUUGGCAUGUCCAAAUGGUAUAAUUUUUUUAUAGUGCCUUCAUAUGCCCAAAUUAACAUCAUACACCAAUUUUUAGCUCAAUCCAUUCAAUCAUUUGAUGUCGGCUUCAAUAUCCAUAUUUGUGCACAGUGUGUUACUUUGCAAAGCAAGUGCCACCUAGGUUUAUCCAUUUGAGCUAAAAAUUUGCCAAGAGAGUCUUCUUAGUAGAUGAUCAUCCUCAGCCAAAAUUUAGGCCCAUUGUCUAUGUGCAUUACCCACACCGCUAAUCAAACACUUGGCUACUAAUUCUUGUUUGAGCUUAUUUCAGUCUCCUCGUGAGAUUCUUCUAUUGUACUCUUCUUCCUAACACCUACUGAGGGAUUGUCCAACCCACGAGACAUGCCUAUUCCAGCCAGAAUGUGUGGCAACGCAACAGUGAGGCGGUGACCAUGCGGGUGGCAUGCAAGUUCACGCGCUCUGGACUUGGGGCCCUCGACCACCAUCCAAACCUCGACGUCAAGCCACCACACCAUGUAUUUAUGAGUAAAUAGAUACUUAUGUACCUACAAAUGAUUUUUGGAAAAAAUAAAUAGCAAACUAUAAUGCAGCUACAGUUCAAAUUUAACCCAGUUCCACCUGAAUCGACAUAAAUUUGUCCUCUUCAUGAGAGGUGGAUAAAAGCUUUUAACACCCAACCAUUUUGUCAAUUGUACAUUAAAUAUGGCCUAGUAUUUUAGAAAAAUGAUUUGGUCCAAUUUUGAAACAAAUAUAUGGUAGCUCCUUCACAAAAAAAUCAUUUUGGGCACUUGAAAAAUGAAAAAUGAUUUUUACAUACAAGGAAAAUGAAAACUUCCUUAAUCAACAUUGUUUGCCAUUCCAAUACGCACCUUGUGCAUAAUAUUAUAUCAUUUCAACAAACUAUGUCAUGAAUGUGGCCAUAAGAUUGAUUAUUUGGCUUGAAAGCCAUGAAUCUUCACACAUGAUAGCCCAUUUCUAAGAACACUUUUUUAAAAUAAUUGUCGUAUUACAAGUUUAUCAUUUUUUCUCAUAACUUCGUCACAUAUAAUUACACAAUGCAAAGGUUUUCCAUUUUUUGAUUGUUUUUGAAUUUUUCAUGGCCAUUUCAAAAUGCAGUCAAAACAGCGGGUAUGACCGUUCCUACCUAGUGGUUGAAUCUUGGAAAUAUUUCAGAAUUUCUCUGAUUAAAUAGAUACUUGUGUACCUACAAAUGAUUUUUGGGAAAAAUAAGGAGCAAACUAUAAUGUAGCUGCAGUUCAAAUUUGACCCGCUUCGAGCAGAAUCGACAAAAAAUUAUCUUUUUCACAAGAGGUGGAUCAAAGAUUUUGACACCCAAAAAUUUGGUCAAUUGUACAUUAAAUAUGGCCAGUAUUUUAUAAAAAUGAUUUGGUCUAAUUUUAAAACAAAUAUAUGGUAGGUCCUUCACAAAAAAGUCAUUUUGGGCGCUUGAAGAACGAAAAAUGAAUUUUCCGUCCAAAGAAAAUGAAAACUUCCUUAAGAAACAUUGUUUGCCAUUGCAAUAUGCACCCUUGUGCACAAUAUAAGAUCAUUUGAACAAACUAUGCCAUGAAUGUGGCCAUAAGAUUGAUCAUUUGGCUUGAAAGUCAUGAAUCUCCACACAUGAUAGCCCAUUUCUAAGAACACUUUUUAAAGAUAAUUGCCAUAUUACAAGUUUAUUAUUUUUCCUGGUAACUUUGUCACACGUAAUGACACAAUGCAAUGGUUUUCCAUUUUUUGAUUGUUUUUGAAUUUUUCAUGGCCAUUUCAAAAUGCAGUCAAAAUAGCGGGUAUGAACGUUCCUACCUAGUGGUUGAAUCUUGGAAAUAUUUUGGUGUUUCUCUGAUAAAAUAGAUGCAUGUGUACCUACAAAUGAUUUUUGGGAAAAAUAAGGAGCAAACUAUAAUGUAGCUGCAGUUCAAAUUUGACCCGCUUCCAACAAAAUCGGUUAAAAUUUGUCUUUUUAACAAGAGGUGGAUCAAAGCUUUUGACCCAAAACUUUGGUCAAUUGUACAUUAAAUAUGGCUACUAUUUUAGAAAAAUGAUUUGGUCCAAUUUAAAACAAAUAUAUGGUAGGUCCUUCACAAAAAAGUCAUUUUGGGCACUCGAAAAAUGCAAAAUGAAUUUUCCGUCCAAAGAAAAUGAAAACUCACUUAAGCAACAUUGUUUGACAUUCCAAUAUGCACCCUUGUGCACAAUAUAAGAUCAUUUGAACAAACUAUGCCAUGAAUGUGGCCAUAAGAUUGAUCAUUUGGAUUGAAAGACAUGAAUCUUCACACAUGAUAGCUCAUUUCUGAGAAUACUUUUAUUAAAUAAUUGCCAUAUUACAAGUUUAUUACUUUUCCUGGUAACUUGGUCAGAUAUGAAGACACAGCGCGAAGGUUUUUCAAUUUUUUUAUUUUUUUUUGAAUUUGUUAUCCCCGUUUCAAAAUGCGGUCGAAACGGCGGACAUGACCGUUCAUAUCUAGGGGUUGAAUCUUGCCAAAUUUUUGUUGGCUCUAUGAUUAAAUAGAUAAUUACUUACCUAAAAAUGAUUUUUUGAAAAAAUCAUGAGAAAACUAUGAGGCACCUCUAGUUCAAAUUUGACCGGCUUCCUCCUGAAUCGGCUGUAAUUUGUCUUUUUCACUAGAGGUGGAUCGAAACCUUUUGGCACCCAACCAUUUGCUCAAUUGUGCAUUGAGUAUGGACUAAUAUUUUAUAAAAAUGAUUCAGUCCAAUUUGACAACAAAUAUUUUUUAGGUCCUUCACAAAAAAACUCAUUUUGGGCACUCGGAAAAAGGAAAAUGAUUUUUUUGUACAAAGAAAAUGAAAAGUCCCUUUGGCAACAUUGUUUGUCAUUCCAACAUCCACCCUUCUGCAAAAUAUGAGAUCUUUGAACAAACUAUGACAUGAAUGCUACUAUCACAUUGAUCAUUUGGCUUUAAAUCGACUGAUCUUCACAGAGUCUGCCCAGGGAAACGCCAAGUUCCAAAGCGCUGCUGCGUGCACCUCUGUCAUCCACCCCGCUGGCCAGAUGGGUGUUGCCGUCAUGAACUCCUGGACGAUGUCGGUACACUGGUACACCUCAAGCGGCUCUGCAGGUUCGGGCUCCGGCGGAGGUGGCACGACGUAGUCGCCGGCGGUCGACAAUGCGAUGGCCCCCGCGAGCUGUUGCUGGUACGUCGCCUCCUCGUCGGCCCUGCGCCGCGCUUCUUCCUCGCUGUCAUGGAGAACACCAGCGACCGCCGCCUGGUAGGCGGCCUCAGCCUCCUGGUCCUCAUCGUUGAUUAUGGGCAGGGGCGGCGGAAGACCUCCUCGCUGCACUUCGCGCACGCCACGACGACGCUGCUCCUCGUGCCCCACCACGAACAACACCUUCCAGUUAUGGUAGUCGGCCGCGUACAUGGGGUCUCACGCUGCUCCACCGUUAGCAGACAUCGACGGCGGCUCACCUCCUCCGCAUGCACCCGCGCUGACGCAUUUUAGUACCAAAUUUGGGCCGGAAAUGGGUCGGCGCAGACGUGAAGCAGACGUGUUUUGGUAAUGGGCUGGCGCAUUGGGCCGUCAUUUUUUUGUGUGCCGACCCAAACGGACGGCGGCGAACGAAAUGGAUCGCCCCAUUGGAGUUGCUAUAAGACAAGAAUUUUGGGACGGAGGGAGUAGUUAACUACGACCAAUUUAGAUGGUCAUGACAUCGUAUGCGUGUACUGCAUUUUGAUUGGUUCGUGGACGUUUCACGCGGAUCGUGGAUGGAACACCGUCGGAUGCUUGCGAAUCCAAUGGCAGUCCUCACCCCAAUCCCACGUAAGCCAAAACCCUAGCUCUCCUGAGUCGUCGUGGAUAUUUUCCAUCCACCCCCCCCCCCCCCCCCCCCCUCUUUUUCCAUAUUUUUUCCUCCCCCCCCCCCCCCCNNNNNNNNNNNNNNNNNNNNNNNNNNNNNNNNNNNNNNNNNNNNNNNNNNNNNNNNNNNNNNNNNNNNNNNNNNNNNNNNNNNNNNNNNNNNCCCCCCCCCCCCCCGCCUCCUUUCUUUCUCCCCUCUAUCUCUUCUCCUUCCUCUCUCCCCUCCCCUCCCUUGCGCCGCAUGCCCCUCUGCCGCCCGCGCACGCCCUCCGAGACUGCCGGAGACCCCCCACCCUCUCCUCUACACCACCACCAUUAGCGCCACCACCUUCUCCUUAUUUCCCAAGGGCCCGACACCCCAACCCGCGGUGCACCCAUGCAAACCGAGCUCUGGAUCCGAUUGUUGGAAGUGCAGCACCUAAUACGGCGGCGUGGGUGGGGCGCUACGCCCAACCAAGUCCGGCCCCUGCUCCCUCAUCAAGCCGGCGGCGGGCAGCGCAAGGAGGAACACAGGCUGGACUGGUGCUACUUGCAGGACGAGACUGCGGGGCGUCGCGAAUGACCAGAUCCAAAAUUGGUAAGCCCCUCCCCUCCUUCUUCGCCCACCAUCUCCUCCUCACCACACCACACCUCACCUCAUCUUAUCUUCCUUAUCUACAGGUUACCAUGGGCGUGUUGGCGAUGCCAGAAGGAGGGGCGCUCUACCUGUGCUGCCCAGUUCGCUUAUCGGUGCCGCGCCAGGGAGGCCGUCGCCCCUAAGCCCUCGCCGGUCAGAUCCGUCGCCCCCGCCUCCCCCUCCGCCUCAAUUCAUCUUCUCUUUGUCCAUUUGUUUGAAUAUCCUGGUUCUGGGUCAGUGUCACAGGGCAAGUCCCUGAAGCGGAAGCGGGUGCCGCACCGGCGAGGACGCCCCGAUCCGGCAGUUCGGCCGCGGCGCCAGCCUCUUCGAAUAGCCCAAGUACCGAUUUGAGGUGAAGCUGCGGAGCUUUUUCCUUCUUUUUAUGUGCCUUCAUUCGACUGCUAACUGAAGAAUGCAUCUUUUGCAGGAUAUCUUUCAUGUCCUCGAGAAGAAGACCAGGAGGUAAUGUCUCGCCCAAUUCUUCCUCUCCAGCGAUAAACUCGAUUCAUAUUCAGUACGCUUAGAUCUGUGAUGUGGCGCCUUCGUGCUUUUCAGCCAUGUACGCUUAGAUCUGUUCGUCGAUAAGCUUGUGUAUUUGUUGCAAAUUUAUUUGUAGCAUGCGGUAUCUUGGCAGUCGCGAUGUGUUUGUUUCUUGCGGUCUGAGGAACUUGGAGAGCGUCUGUUUCCUCGUAGUCGUUAGUAGGAUCUGCUAAAUGUGAUGUAUGUUGUCACCGUAGCUCUACUAUGGACGCAAUAGUAUCCUUUGUGUUUAGUGGGAUAGUUUCUGCUCCAAGUUUUCGAUGCACUAGACAUGCACUAAGUUCCGAAUGUUGUAUAGUUCAUUUGGAGUUUGGCAAGUACUAGAUGGAGUCUAGAAUGUUGUUUUCUCUUGUUUCAUUCAUGCCCAUAAAAGAUCAUAGUUCGUGGUUGUGAUUGUUAUGACGGCUUAAACCUGAUCUGUUGUGCAGACCGAGAAGUCUUUCCUGAAGUAGCCGGAGGUUUUCCUCUGGUGAGGAUUUCGAUUAACCUUCCUGUUGUGCUGGCAUUGUUAUAUUAACCUGAUCUAUUCUUAUAUGUGUUUAGGACUCACAAGGCUGGUGUGGAGUUUGUGGACUAUUGACAAGGCUGGUGUCUCGGCCUGAUUCUUUGUUGUAGAAUAGUUUUUCUUGGCACUUGCUGGUUCUUGCAAUGUAAAUAUAUGCACUCCUCGCAUGAAUGGUUGUAAUUUUAUAUUCUGGCUCCUAUAAAUUUUCAUGUUGCUUUGGAAAUGUAUCGAAGCCGAAGAUAGAUUCUGGUGUGAUGUAUAGUAAUGUUAACGACAUAAAAACCAGAUUGGAUCAAUUAUUUCAGCAUAGCUCAAAUUAUAUUGGAUAAUUAUCUAUGAGUAAAAAACGUGAGACGGCCUUGGCCGAGCAAAAAACAGCCGAGAAAUAUACACACCAAAAAGAAAUUUGUUGUUCAAAGUCCAUUACACAUAGAAAUAGAAAUUGAAAAGGCCAAAUUGUUGGGCUAGGCCCAUGUAGCCGACCAAAAUUAAUAGGAAAAAAAAUAUAAAAAGGUUGAAUUAAUGGGCUUGGCCCAUGUAAAACAUCGAAUUGGACCGGGCCGAUUCCUAUCAACGACCAAUCCAAUUGGUCAUAACUUUGCCACGUCAGCUUGCCAUGUUGGAUCCAAUGUGGCCUGUGCAGACUUCUAACGACCAAAACGAUUGGUCGUAGAACCAACGACCUUACAUUUGGUCGUAAAAUUCUUCAACCAUUCCAGCAGAAAGUUCGUUAUAGUUCAUUAAAGACCCUCCGUUUUCGACCUUCUGUUUUUGGUCGCAAAUGGAGACCACCCACCAUUCGGUGACAAAUAUUGAAGGUCGUAAGUUAGCAUAUUUCUUGUAGUGCUUAUUAAUUCUUUCAUGUGUUGCAUAACCAACUAAUGUUAUGUAUGUCAACCUUCAACAAAUUUUACAUCUUAUACUUUUCCUUAUGUGAUGUCACUACUCACUAUAAUAUUAGCAUAUGAUAAUUUUCAUUAUUUUCCUUUAUUUUGAUCGCAAUAAGAAAGUAAAGAAUCAAAAAUUCAAACUAAACUUUAUUAUAUAACUAUCACUCGAUUACAUAGAUAGAUAGAUCACUAAACUCGCACUAAAAAAGAUGGAUCAAACUGAAAUUUUAUUUGACUAAAUCAAAAAAUAACUGAAGAUCAAACUAAGAUGGAUAAAGAUAAUUAGAGUGAUGGUGAUACGAUACCGAGGCACCUCCCCCAAGCUUGGCACAAGACAAAUGGAGUUCUCGUACCCGUGUACUCAAGUCUCCUUCUUUGGUGAGGAAAAUCAAGGUGGUGGUGUAGAUGAGGAGGUAGAAGCAAACUUGUCCUUCGGUUUCAAUGGUAGUGGCUCACCAUCAAAAGAGGAGGCACGAGUCUCUGGAGUCCUACAACUAGCAGCUAAACUCAUACCUUUAAACCUUGAUUCAUACUUAAAGAUUUGGUUUUGAAGAUCAAAGAUUUGACCUUGCAGAAAAUUGAUUUGCUCAUUGAGGGUGAAGGAGAUAUCCUUCAAGGAUAUGCCAUCCACAUUUUGAUCACGGGUGAACUAGGUGAUCAUGGAGUGAUUGGCACUCAGUCCAUGCUCCACCAUACCUUGGCACCUCAAGAUCUCCUGCUCCACCGCCUCAACCCUGGCCUCCAUGUUUCUUGUCUUCUUGGGCCCUUGAACAUCCCGGAUGUGGAGCACCCCCUCACGCAUCUCAAUGUCUUGAGGGUGCUUCAUCACCUCCGAGAAGUAGGGGUUGAUGACCCUCUCGAAGAACUUGUCCCUCGAGGAGCUUGAUGAGGACAUGGUGUUCUAGAUCUGUCAGAAAAAUAACACAAAACAAGAACAGAGGAUUUCUCCGUGGUAAUAGGGUCAAAUCAUUGGGAGAUAUAUAUAAAGAAUUUUUAUACAAGGAAAUACUUGACCUACAAGAAAACAAAGCCACGAAGGUGCCCGAGGGGCCCACUACCCACCAGGGCGUGCCACGUGGGGAUGGCACGCCCUAGUGCCUAGUGGCCCUCGGUUGCCUUCCCGUGUGUUUAUCAAUUUCCUAAUUUUUGUAAUAUUUCAAAACUAACCGAUUUUUUUGCGGAUUUUUCGGAGUCCGUUUACUUACCGUAUCGCAUACCUCUUCCUAAGUGUUCUGGAAGGUCUCCUUUAUGUGUUCCUCCUGUGUCAUGGUUUGAAUAAUAUUUAUUUCAACAUUAAUAGGUGUACCUGAAAUAUAAUGCUUUACUCUUUGUCUAUUGACCACCUUCGGAAUUAUUGAUCUUAAUAGAUCCACACAUAUAAACGUCUUCGAUGAUAUAUGGUCCUUCCCAUUUGGAGAGAAGUUUUCCUACAAAAAACCUAAGAUGGGAAUUCUACAAUAGAACAUAUUCACCAACUUUGAAUUCUCACUUGUGGAUUCUUGUGGCAUGUGAUCUUUUGACUUGUUCUUUGAAUAGUUUGGCAUUUCCAUAAGCUUGGGUUCUCCAUUCAUCUACUGAGCAAAUAUCAAAUAACCUCUUUUCAUCACCAAGUUUGAAACCAAAUUUGAGUUCUUUAAUUGCCUAAUAAGCUUUAUGUUCUAACUCAAGAGCUAAGUGACAUGCUUUUACAUAAACCAUAUUAUAAGGAGACAUACCCAUAGGAGUUUUAUAAGAUGUUUUGUAGGCCAACAAUGCAUCAUCUAAUUUCUUAGACCACCUAUUUCGGGACCUAUUGAUAGUCUUUUGCAAUAUUAAUUUUAUUUCUCUAUUUGUUAAUUCAACUUGACCACUAGAUUGAGGAUGAUAGGGAUAUGCAAUUCUAUGGUUAACAUCAUAUAUAGCAAGCAACUGAUGAAAAAGCACCAUGAAGAAAAUGUGAACCACCAUCAGUCAUUAAGUAUCUAGGGACUCCAAAACCUGGGAAAAUAACUUCCUUGAGCAUUUUUAAUAGAGGUGUUAUGAUCAGCACAACUGGUUGGAAUUGUCUCUACCCACUUAGUGACAUAAUAAAAAGCAACCAAAAUAUGUGUAUACCCAUUACAGGAUGGAAAAUAUCCCAUAUAAUCAAAUCCCAAAACAUCAAAUGGUUCAAUAGUAAAUGAAUAAUUCAUAGGCAUUUCUUGACGUCUACAAUUAUUACCAAUUCGGUGACAUUCAUCACAAGAGAGGACAAACUUACAAGCAUCUUUGAAAAGAGUAGGUCAAUAAAAUCCAUGUUGUAAUACCUUAUGUGCAAUUCUACCUCCCGCAUGGUGUCCUCCAUAAACCUCGGAGUGACACUUCUGAAGAUUUGUUCAUGCUCACGUAUAAAACGUCAAAUAAUACCAUAUACUCCCUCUUUAUAAAGAUGUGGGUCAAUUCCAAAGUAAUGUCUUAAAUCAAAGAAGAUUUAGUUUUCUUUUGCUAAUAGUUGAAACUAGGUGGUAUGUAUUUAGCAACAAUGUAAUUAGCAUUAUCAGCAAACCACAAUGUGUUAUGAGAAACAUUGACCACACCUAGUUUUUCAUCAGGGAAGCUGUCAUCAAUAGGUAAUGGGUCAUCAAGUACAUUUUCUAAUCUAGAAAAGUUAUCAGCUACAGGGUUCUCAGCUCCUUUCUUGUCAAUGAUAUGCAAAUCAAAUUCUUGUAGCAAAAGAACCCACCAAAUAAGUCUAGGCUUGGCAUUUUUAUUUUCCAUAAGAUAUUUAAUAGCAACAUCAUUAGUGUGAACAAUCACAUUAGAAUCAACAAUGUAAGAUCUAAAUUUGUCACAAGCAAAUACAACUGCAAAGAAUUCUUGUUCAAUGGUAGCAUAAUUUCUCUAGGCAGUGUCUAGAGUUUUACUAGCAUAAUGGAUAACAUUUAAUUUCUUAUCAACUAUUUGUCCUAGAACAGUACCAACAGCAUAAUCACUAGCAUCACAGAUAAUUUCGAAAGGCAAGUUCCAAUCAGGUGGUUGAACAAUAGGUGCAGAAGUUAAGGCUUUCUUAAGUGUUUCAAAGGCUUCUACACUAUCAUCAUAAAACGAAAAGGAACAUCCUUCUAUAAUAAAUUAGUAAGAGGUCUAGAAAUUCUACAAAAGUCUUUAGUAAACCUCCUAUACAAACCAGCAUCACCCAGGACACUACGUAUACCUUUAAUAUCUUUAGGACAUGGCAUCUUCUCAAGUGCAUCAACUUUAGCCUUAUCCACCUCAAUACCUCGUUCAGAAAUUUUAUGACCCAAGACAAUACUUUCAUUUACCAUAAAGUGGCAUUUAUCCCAAUUCAAGACAAGGCUAGUUUGCUCACAUCUCUGCAGAAGUCGAUCAAGGUUGCCUAAGCAGUCAUCAAAAGAAGUUCCAUAAAUGGAAAAAUCAUCCAUGAAAACAUCAACAAUCUUUUCACAAAAUUCAAAGAAUAUAGCAGUCAUACAUCUUUGAAAGGUAGCAGGUGCAUUGCAUGAUCCAAAAGGCAUACGUCUACAAGCAUAGGUUCCAAAAGGACAAGUAAAGGUGGUUUUCGCUUGAUCAGGUUGUGACACACGUAUUUGAGGAAAACCAGAAUAACCAUCUAGGAAAGCAAAAUAUGUGUGUCCUUCGAUAAUCUUUCUAGCAUUUGGUCUAUGAAAGGUAAAGUAUAAUGAUAUUUUCUGGUACCUUUAUUUAAUUUUCUAAAAUCAAUUACCAUUCUAUAGCGAGUGACAAUUAUUUGUGGAAUGGGUUCAUUUUUAUCAUUAGGAACAACAAUAAUACCUCCUUUCUUAGGAACAUGAUGAACGGGACUUACCCAUCUACUAUUAGCUAUGGAAUAAAUUAUACCUGCUUCUAGAAGCUUUAAUAUUUCAUUUCUUACCACUUCUUUCAUUUUGGGAUUCAGCCUUCAUUGGUGAUCAACAACGGGUUUAGCAUCUGGUUUCAUUUUAAUCUGGUGCUGACACAGAGUGGGACUAAUGCUCCUAAGAUCAUCAACAGUAUACCCAAUAUCAGCUCGGUACUUCCUUAAAGUUUUGAGCAAUCUUUUUUCUUCAUGCUCCGUAAGGUUAGCGCUCCUAAUAAUAGGAUAUAUCUUAUUUUAAUAUAGAUAAGCAUAUUUCAAUGUGUUAGGUAAUUUCUUUAAUUCAAACACAUGAUCACCCUUUGGAGGUGGAGGACCUCCUAGAGUUUCAACACGCAAGUUGUGUUUAAGGAUAGGCUAUUGUUUAAAGAACAUUUUAUCUAUUUCAUUUCGUUCAUCAUAUGCAUAUCAUUUUCAUGGUCUAGCAAAUAUUGUUCUAGUGGAUCAGUAGGAGGAAUGGCAACAGAAGCAAUACCAAUAACUUCAUCUUUACUAGGAAUUUUUUUAUCCUUGGGUUGUUUACUGAACUUGGAGAAAUUAAACUCAUGAGACAUACCACCAAAAUUAACACUCACAGUUUCAUUUUUGCAAUCUAGUUGAGCAUUGACAGUGUUCAAGAAGGGUCUAGCAAAUAUUAUGGGAGAAAAAUCAUCUUAUGUUGAGCCAAGUACUAGAAAAUUAGUACGGUAUUUCACUUUCCCACACAAUACUUCAACAUCUCUAACAAUCCCAAGUGAUGUGAUGGUGUCUCUAUUAGCAAGUUCAGUAGUAACAUCUAUGUCUUCUAUUUCACCGGGUGUUAUCUCAUGCAUAAUUUCUUGAUAUAAGGUAAAAGGAAUAGCACUAACACUAGCGUCCAUAUCACAUAAACCAUGAUAACAAUGAUCUCCUAUUUUGACUGAUACGACAGGUAUGACAACAACGGGUCUAUUUUUAUCUUUAGUAUGAGGUUUGACAAAUCUAGCAGCUUCAUCAAAGAAAUAAAUAACUUUUCUUAACAUAACUUUUGUUAACCACACUUGAAGCUUUAGCAUGUUCCUUUAUCCUAAUAGGGAAAGGUGAUUUCUCAAUAUAAGCAGUAGGCACAACUGGGUCCACAUUGUAAAUGACAGUUUCAUCCUCAACUUUAAGUAGUUAUUCAACUUUUUACUUAAUAGGUGGAUGAUAUUUAAACCAUUUCUCUUUAGUGAGAUCAACAUAAGUAGCAAAGAUUUCAAAAAAUAAGGCUACUAUCUAAGACUCAAGUCCAUAUUUAGUGCUAAAAUAAUUGAAAGCAUAGGUAUUCAUAAAAGAUUUAACACAAUCAAAAUCAAGUUUUAUACCUAACUCUUUACCUUUGUUGAGUUCCCAAUCUUCAGAGUUGUGCUUAAUUCUUUCCAAAAGAUCCCACCUGAAUUCAAUAGUGUUCUUCAUAAAAGAACCAGACCAAGAAGUAUCGAGUAUGGUUUGAUCAUUACGAGAAAGCCGAGCAUAAAAAUUCUGAACAAUAAUUUCUCUCGGGAGCUCAUGAUUGGGGUAUGAAUAUAACCUGACUUAAGCCUCCCCCAAGUUCGAGUGAUACAUUCUCCCUCAUGAGGCCAAAAAUUAUAGAUAGAAUUCCGAUCACGAUGAACAAGAUGCAUAGGAUAAAUUUUUGGUGAAACUCCAAUUGCAAUCGAUUCCAGUUCCAAGAUCUUGUAUCAUCACAUACCCUAUACCAUUUUAAUGCUCCCCCCAAGAUAAAGGGAGAACCUUCUUCUUGACUUCACCUGUGGAUAAACCUGCAAGCUUAAAUAAUCCACAAACUUCAUCCACAUAGAUUAGGUGCAUAUCAGGGUGUUUUGUUCCAUCUCCUGCAUAAGGAUUAGCUAGCAAUUUCUCUAUAAUACCCGAAGGAAUUUCAUAAUAAACAUUUUCAGUAGGUUGAGGGACAUCUCUUUGUGUUGCCGUUCAAGGUGAAGAUACCCCGAAGAAACCCCUCAAAGGAUUACUUUCUAUACUGACAAGUGACAGUAAAUUUCAACACGUAAUAAAAAAUUUCCCUUACCAAAGGCGCUUCACUCCCCGCCAACAGCACAAGAAAAGAGUCAUGAUCACCCACUAGUAUAGGGGAUCAAUCAUAGUCCUUUCGAUCAGUAAGAGUGUCGAACCCAACAACGAGCAGAAGGAAACGAUAAGCGGUUUUGAGCAAGGUAAUUUCUGCAAGCACUGAAAUAGUGGUAACAAGUUGUUUGAUAGCAAGAUAAUUGUAACAAGUAAUGAAAAUCGGCAAUAACAAUAAGUGCAGAAAGGUGGACCAAUCCUUUUGUGGAAAAGGACAUGCCGGAAAAGUUUCUUAUAAUAGGCAAAGCGUUCUUGAGGGCACGCGGGAAUUUCAUCUAGUCACUUUCGUCAUGUUGGGUUAAUUCACGUAUGGUACUGUGAUAAUUUGAUAUGUCGGUGGACUAGUGCUUGGGUGUUUGUUUUUACUUGAACAAGCCUCCCAUUUAUUAUUAACCCUCUCCCAAGCAUCCGCAACUAUGAGAAAAGUACUAAGAAUAAAUUCUAACCAAUGCAUUACACAUAGGGAUCCAAAUCAUCCCCUUACGUAAUAGCACAUAAACUUGGGUUUAAGUUUGCGUCACUCUCGCAACCCAUCAUCUAAUAACUACUCAACAAUGCAAUCUCUUAGUCCCAAAGAUGGUGAAGUGUUACAUAGUCGAUGUUCACAUAACACCAAUAAGGGAAUCAAAACAUUAAUAUCAUAAAAAUAUUGAACGAACAUCAACUUCACAUGACUAUUGAUACGUCUCCAACGUAUCUAUUAUUUUUUAUGGUUCCAUGCUAUUAUCUUGACAAACUUUGGAUGUUUUGCAUGCCUUUUAUAUAUUUUUUGGGACUAACUUAUUAACUCAGUGCCAAGUGCCAGUUCCUGUUUUUUCCAUGUUUUUGACCCCUUUCAGAGGAGAUUUUGAAACGGAGUCCAAACGGAAUAAAAUCCCCGAAAAUAUUUUUUCCGUAACGGAAGAAGAUCAGGAGACUUGAGAGCCAAGGCAGGGGGGCCCAGGGGCCCCACAAGCCCACACCCCGUGGCCAGGGGGGAGGCCGUGGCCCUCAGGCUUGUGGGCCCCCUGGACACCCUUUGCCCUAGGGUUUGCGCCUAUAUAUCCCCAAAAAUUCCACAAAAAAUCACGAGAUCACCGAAAGUACUUUUCCGCCGCCGCAAGCUUCUGUCUCUGCAAGAUCCCAUCUGGGGCACGUUCUGGUGCCCUGCCGGAGGGGGGAUUCGGAUAUGGAGGCCUUCUUCGUCAACACCAUGACCUCUCCGAUGAUGCGUGAGUAGUUCACCAUAAACCUACGGGUCCAUAGCUAGUAACUAGAUGGCUUCUUCUCUCUCUUGGAUCUUCAAUACAAAGUUCUCCAUGAUCUUCAUGGAGAUCUAUCCGAUGUAAUCUUCUUUUGCGGUGUGUUUGUCGAGAUCCGAUGAAUUGUGGAUUUAUGAUCAGAUUAUCUAUGAAUCUUAUUUGAGUUUCUUCUGAUCUCUCUUAUGCAUGAUUUCAUAUCCUUGUAAUUCUCUUCGAGUUGUGGGUUUUGUUUGGCCAACUAGAUCUAUGAUUCUUGCAAUGGGAGAAGUGCUUGGUUUUGGGUUCAUACCGUGCGGUGACCUCACCCAGUGAAAGAAGGGGUAGCGAGGCACGCAUCAUGUUGUUGCCAUCAAGGAUAAAAAGAUGGGGUUUUCAUCGUUGGUUUGAGAUUAUCCCUCUACAUCAUGUCAUCUUGCUUAAAGCGUUACUCUGAUCGUCAUGAACUCAAUACACUAGAUGCAUGCUGGAUAGCGGUCGAUGUGUGGAGUAAUAAUAGUACAUGCCGAAAGUAUCGGUCUACUUGUCUCGGACGUCAUGCUUAUAUGUAUGAUCAUUGCCUUAGAUAUCGUCAUGACUUUGCGCGGUUCUAACAAUUGCUCGACAGUAAUUUGUUCACCCACCGUGAUAUUUGCUAUUUUGAGAGAAGCCUCUAGUGAACACUAUGGCCAAGGGUCUACUCCACACCAUAUUUUCAGCCUUACACCUUUUUACUUUGUUGCACUUUCCACCUUCAGAUCUCACUUUGCAAACAAUCUUGAAGGGAUUGACAACCCCUUUGAAGCGUUGGGUGCAAGCUUGUUUGUGUUUGCGCAGGUACUCUGGACUUGACGAGACCCUCUUACUGGAUCGAUACCUUGGUUCUCAAACUGAGGGAAAUACUUACUGCUCCUGUGUUGCAUCACCCUUUCCUCUUCAAGGGAAAAACCGACGCAAAACAAGAGAAGUAGCAAGAAGAAUUCCUGAUGUUGCUAGGGAAGGACUUUUGUUGCCGUAGCAGAAGAAUUUCUGGCGUCGUUGCCGGGGAGGAAGAUCAAGUCAAGAAAUCAUCCAAGUAGGUGUCGCAAAAUCAUCAGUUGCAUUUACUUUGUUUGCCAGUUGCCUCUCGUUUUCCUCUCCCCCACUUCACCAACUUGCCUUUUUUGUUUGCCUUUUUUGUUUGCCUUUUUCAUUCGCCUUUUUCUCGCUUGCUGUUUGUUCGCUCGUGUGCUUGCUUGCUUGCCGAAUUCACCAUGAAUGAAAACACCAAACUUUGUGACUUCUCGAAUACUAAUAAUAAUGAUUUUAUUAGUACUCCGAUUGCUCCUGCCACUAGUGCGGAGUCGUACGAAAUCAAUGCCGCUUUGAUGAAUCUUGUUAUGAAAGAGCAACUCUCCGGCCUUCCUGGCGAAGAUGCCGCAUCCCAUCUCAAUACCUUCAUUGAGAUUUUUCCUUUCUCGUUGCGAGAUCGCGCAAAAACUUGGUUUUCUUCUUUGCCCAAAAAUAGUAUCGAUUCUUGGGAUAAGUGCAAAGAUGCUUAUAUAUCCAAGUAUUUUGCGCCGGCUAAGAUCAUCUCUCUCCGUAACGACAUCAUGAAUUUCAAUCAACUUGAUCAUGAACAUGUUCCACAAUCUUGGGAGAGAAUGAAAUUAAUGAUUAGAAAUUGUCGCGCUCAUGGCUUGAGUCUUUGGAUGAUUAUUCAAAUCUUUUACGCUGGCUUGAAUUUUGCUUCUAGAAAUAUCUUGGACUCCACCUCAGGUGGAACAUUCAUGGAAAUCACGUUAGGGGAAGCCACAAAGAUCCUAGACAACAUCUUGACGAAUUACUCUCAGUGGAACACUGAAAGGUCGCAUACUAGUAAGAAGGUACACGCUAUAGAAGAAAUUAACUCGUUGAGUGCUAAGAUGGACGAGUUAAUGAAUUUGGUUGCUAGUAGAAGUGCUCCUUUGGAUCCUAAUGAUAUUCCCUUGUCUUGUUUGAUUGGCAGUAGCAACGCUAGCUUGGACGUUAAUUUUGUUGGUAGGAAUAACUUUGGCAACAACAAUGCUUUUAGAGGAAACUAUGUUCCUAGGCCUUUUCCAGCUAGUAACUCCUCUAAUAAUAUUGGCAACUCCUACAACAAUACUCACGGAAAUUACAAUAGAUUACCCUCUGAUCUAGAGAGUAAUAUCAAAGAGUUCAUCAACUCUCAAAAGAUUUUCAAUGCGUCCCUCCUACUGGAUCGAUACCUUGGUUCUCAAACUGAGGGAAAUACUUACUGCUCCUGUGCUGCAUCACCCUUUCCUCUUCAAGGGAAAAACCGACGCAAAACAAGAGAAGUAGCAAGAAGAAUUCCUGGCGUUGCUAGGGAAGGACUUUUGUUGCCGUAGCAGAAGAAUUUCUGACACCGUUGCCGGGGAGGAAGAUCAAGUCAAGAACUCAUCCAAGUAGGUGUCGCAAACUCAUCUCUUGCAUUUACUUUGUUUGCCAGUUGCCUCUCGUUUUCCUCUCCCCCACUUCACCAAUUUGCCUUUUUUGUUUGCUUUUUUUCGUUUGCCCUUUUCUCUCGCUUGCUCUCUGUUCGUCUGUGUGGGAUAGUCUACCUGUCCUCAUGGCUAGAUCCACCACUUCGAACGAUACUCCCGAGAGCGAAGUCCUCAAUUUCAAAAAAAUUGAGGAAGAAAACUUAAAGGACGCUUGGUAUAGGAUUUGCAAUGCUCAGAGUAGAUCUACUCGUAAGCAAUCCACUACCGUCUUGCUUCAUAGUUUUUAUGUGGGUGUUUCUCCUUGGAAUAGGUAUAUUCUUGACACCAUCGUGGAUGGAAAUUUCUUGGGUAACCAUACCGUUGAUUCUUACGGAGCUGUGAUAAAUUUGGUAGGAUCACCCCCACUCAUGGUUAAUGGAACUACCUUAACUCUGGAACAUGUGAUGCGUAGGCUGGACGUCAUUGAAAAUAAAGUUGCUACGAUCGAACUCACUGAGAAUUUGGAUAAAAAGAUCCACAAUCAAAUCACUCAGUACGGAUCCAUGGUGGGAAUGGUUUUGCAAAAAUUAAAUGAGAAGGAACCCACAGUUAACGAAAAGCUAGGUCAUGAUUCUGCUAGGAUUGUCAAACUAGAGGAUGUUAUAACCAACUUGGGUUCCGCUUUUGCCGCUGUGCAGAAUACUCCAAAUUUUGCCCACAAUAAGGUCACCAAGUCUGUUUUUGUUCCCAUAAAUAGUGGUGAAUCAUCUAGCAGGAAAGAUGAAAACCUUAAGAUGAUAAGUGAUCACACUACCUAUGGUUUGAGCACCAAAGACGACGAUACGUGAUUCUGACAGUUUUAUGCCUAGCUAGGGGCGUUAAACAAUAGCGCUUGUUGGGAGGCAACCCAAUGAAUUUAUCUUUUUGUCUCUGUUUUGUUGCGUCCACACCAUCACAAUUCUGUUGUGAUUGUGUCUUUUGUGUUUCUUUUUGUGUUUGAGCCAAGCAAAACCUUUAUGACUAGUCUUGGUAAUGGUUGUUUGAUCCUGCUGGAAAAAGACAGAAAUAUUUCGCUCACGAGAUGAUUUUUCAUUUUUAUUCAGAAAGAGUUUUUGAGUUGAUUCUUUUUGCUGCUGGGUGAUAUGCCUUUUUCCCAGGCCGUUGUAAGUUUUCAGAUUUUUUGAGGUACCAGAAGUAUACGAAGUAUACAGAUUUCUACAGACUGGUUUGUUUUUGACAAAUUAUGUUUUUUGUUGAGUUGGCUGCUUGUUUUGAUGAAACUAUGGUUAGUAUCGGGGGGUACUAGCCAUGGAAAAGUGAGAAUAGAGUAUCCCAACACCAAUAUAGAUAGAAUUCAGGUUUGCUACAGUACCAAAAGAAGUGGUAGUUUGUUUUCUUGUGCUAAUGUUAUCACGAGUUUCUGUUUAAGUUUUGUGUUGUGAAGUUUUCAAGUUUUGCAUGAUGCUCAUGGACAAAGAGAUAAGGAGUGGAAAGAGCUCAAGCUUGGGGAUGCCCAAGGCAUCCCAAGACAAAUUCAAGGACACGAAAAAGCCUAAGCUUGAUGAUGCCCCGGGAAGGCAUCCCCUCUUUCGUCUUCAAUCCAUCGGUAACAUUACUUAGAGCUAUAUUUUUGUUCAACACUUGAUAUUUGUUUUGCUUGGAGCGUCUUGUAUCGUCGGAGUCUUUUCUUUUUGUUGUGUCACAAUCAUCCUUGUUGCACACCUUUUUGAGAGAGAGAGAGAGACAUGCACUCAUCGUGAUUUUGCUAGAAUGCUCAUAGUGCUUCACUUAUAUCUUUUGAGCUAGAUACUUUUGCUCUAUGUGCUUCACUUAUAUCUUUUAGAGCUCGGCGGUGUGUGACGUGGUAGUUGGCUUAUGCUAUGAAAGUAGUCCCAAAUGUGAUAGGUACCCAAAGAGGAUGCAAAAACCUCCAGCUUCAUGUGCAUUGAGUAGAAAGAGAAGUUUUGAUUCCUCUCAAUUAGUUUUGAGACGUGGAUUUGGUAAUAUUAAAAGCUAUGUUAGUAGGGUGUUGUGAAUCUAGAAAUACUUGUGUUGAAGUUAGUGAUUCCCGUACCAUGCACGUAUGGUGAACCGCUAUGUUAGGAAGUCGGAGCAUAAUUGAUCUAUUGAUUGUCAUCCUUUGUGUUGAUGUCGGGAUCGCGCGAUGGUUAACACCUACCAACCCUUCCCCUAGGAGUAUGCGUUUAGCACUUUGUUUCGAUUACUAAUAAAAACUUUCGCAACAAGUAUUUGAGUUCUUCAUGACUAAUGUGAGUCCAUGGUAUAGAUGCGCUUUCACCUUCCACCAUUGCUAGCCUAUCUAGUGUCGCGCAAUUCUCGCCGGUACACAAACCCACCAUAUGCCUUCCUCAAAACAACCACCAUACCUACCUACUAUGGCAUUUUCAUAGCCAUUCCGAGAUAUAUUGCCAUGAACCUCCCACCGUUUCGUCUCAUGACUUGUGACGUCACUCUCAUAUUGCCAUUGCAUGAUCGUAAGAUAGCUAGCGAGAUGUUUCCAACGUCAUACGCCAUGCUAGAUCGUUGCACAUCCCGGUACACUUCUGGAGGCAUUUCCUAUAGAGUCAUCAUCAUUUUGAGCUUUGAGCUGUGAGUAAAUAAAAGUGUGAUGAUCAUCAUUAUUAGUGCAUUGUCCCAUCUGAGGAAAAAAAAAGAGGCCAAAGAGCCCAAAAAUAAAAAUAAAGGAGAAAAUAAGAGGCCUAAGAGCCAAAAUGAAAAAAAAGAGAAAAAGAGAGAAGGGACAAUGGUACUAUCUUUUUCCACACUUGUGCUUCAUAAUAGCACCAUGUUAUUCAUGAUUGAGAGCUUCUUGCUUUGUCACUACCAUAUGCUAGUGGGAAUUUUCAUUAUAUAACUUGGCUUGUAUAUUCCAAUGAUGGGCUUCCUCAAAAUUGCCCUAGGUCUUCGUGAGAAAGCAAGUUGGAUGCACGCCCACUAGUUUCCCUUUUGAGCUUUCACAUACUUAUAGCUCUAGUGCAUCUCUUGUAUGGCAAUCCCUACUCAUUCACAUUGAUAUCUAUUAAUGGGCAUCUCCAUAGCCCUUUGAUACACCGAGUCAAUGUAACCAUCUCCUCCUUUUUGUCUCACAACCAUCACCACACUCUAUUCCACUUAUAGUGCUAUAUCCAUGGCUCACGCUCAUGUAUUGCGUGAUAGUUAUAAAAAGUUUGAGAAAGUAAGAGUGUGAAAACAAUUACUUGGCCAAUACCGGGGUUGUGCAUGAUUUACAUUAGUUGUGUGAGGAUGACGGAGCAUAUCCAGACUAUAUCAUUUUGUAGGGAUAACUUUCCUAGGCCUUGUUAUUUUGAAAGUUCAUGAUUACCAUGCUAGUUUGCUUGAAGUAUUAUUGUUUUCAUGUUAAUAGCAAACUAUUGUUUUGAAUCUUACGGAUCUGAUCAUUCAUGUCACGUGAAAUAAGUUGCAAAGGACAACUAUGCUAGGUAGCAUUCCACAUCAAAAAUUCAUUCUUUAUUACUUCCCUACUCGAGGACGACCACGAGUUAAGCUUGGGGAUGCUUGAUACGUCUCCAACGUAUCUAUAAUUUUUGUUGGUUCCAUGCUAUUAUCUUGUCAAACUUUGGAUGUUUUGCAUGCCUUUUAUAUUUUUUUUGGGACUAACUUAUUAACUCAGUGCCAAGUGCCAGUUCCUGUUUUUUCCAUGUUUUUGACCCCUUUCAGAGGAGAUUUUGAAACGGAGUCCAAAGAGAAUAAAAUCCCCGAAAAGAUUUUUUUUCCGUAACGGAAGAAGAUCAGGAGACUUAAGAGUUAAGGCAGCGGGCCCCAGGGGCCCCACAAGCCCCCACCCCGCGGCCAUGGGGGGAGGUCACGGCCCUCAGGCUUGUGGGGCCCCUGGACACCCUUUGCCCUAGGGUUUGCGCCUAUAUAUCCCCAAAAAUUCCACAAAAAAUCAGGAGAUCAUCGAAAGUACUUUUCCGCCGCCGCAAGCUUCUAUCUCCGCAAGAUCCCAUCUGGGGCACGUUCUGGUGCCCUGCCGGAGGGGGGAUUCGGAUACGGAGGGCUUCUUCAUCAACACCAUGACCUCUCGGAUGAUGCGUGAGUAGUUCACCAUAGACCUACGGGUCCAUAGCUAGUAACUAGAUGGCUUCUUCUCUCUCUUGGAUCUUCAAUACAAAGUUCUCCAUGAUCUUCAUGGAGAUCUAUCCGAUGUAAUCUUCUUUUGCGGUGUGUUUGUCGAGAUCCGAUGAAUUGUGGAUUUAUGAUCAGAUUAUCUAUGAAUCUUAUUUGAGUUUCUUCUGAUCUCUCUUAUGCAUGAUUUCAUAUCCUUGUAAUUCUCUUCGAGUUGUGGGUUUUGUUUGGCCAACUAGAUCUAUGAUUCUUGCAAUGGGAGAAGUGCUUGGUUUUGGGUUCAUACCGUGCGGUGACCUCACCCAGUGACUGAUGGGGUAGCGAGGCACGCACCAUGUUGUUUUCAUCAAGGGUAAAAAGAUGAGGUUUUCAUCAUUGGUUUGAGAUUAUCCCUCUACAUCAUGUCAUCUUGCUUAAAGCGUUACUCUGUUCGUCAUGAACUCAAUACACUAGAUGCAUGCUCGAUAGCGGUCGAUCUGUGGAGUAAUAGUAGUAGAUGCAGAAAGUAUCGGUCUACUUGUCUCGUACGUGAUGCCUAUAUGUAUGAUCAUUGCCUUAGAUAUCGUCAUGACUUUGCGCGGUUCUAUCAAUUGCUCGACAGUAAUUUGUUCACCCACCGUGAUAUUUGCUAUUUUGAGAGAAGCCUCUAGUGAACACUAUGGCCCCAGGGUCUACUCCGCACCAUAUUUUCAGCCUUACACAUUUUUACUUCGUUGCACUUUCCGCCUUCAGAUCUCACUUUGCAAACAAUCUUGAAGGGAUUGACAACCCCUUUGAAGCGUUGGGUGGAAGCUUGUUUGUGUUUGCGCAGGUACUCUGGACUUGACGAGAACCUCCUACUGGAUCAAUACCUUGGUUCUCAAACUAAGGGAAAUACUUACUGCUCGUGUGCUGCAUCACCCUUUCCUCUUCAAGGGAAAACCCGACGCAAAACAAGAGAAGUAGCAAGAAGAAUUCCUGGCGUUGCUAGGGAAGGACUUUUGUUGCCAUAGCAACUACUUGCAGCAAUACUUCUCUCAUGGCCUCAAGAACAAAAGUAACUACUCACAAGUGAUAAACAUGCUCAUGAUUAGAGAGGUAUUAAAUAGCAUAUUGGAUCUGAACAUAUGAUCUUCCACCAAAUAAACCACAAAGCAUCAACCACAAGAUGUAAUCAACACUACUAGUCACCCCAUGUACCAAUUUGAGGUUUCGGUACAAGAUUGAGCACAAGAGAUCAACUAGGGUUUUGAGAGGAGAUUGUGUUGUUGAAGAUGUUCAUGAAUAUUGGCCUCCCCGAGAUGAGAGGGUUGUUGGUGAUGACGAUGGCCUCGAUUUCACCCUCCGGAAAGGAAGUUACUGUAGCGGAAUCGCUCUGCCGGAGCGCAAAAGUGCUCCUGCCCAAGUUCCGCCCCGAGACGAUGGUGCUCGUCCGAAAAAUCCUCUCCUUAUUUUUCCAGGUCAAACAUGAAAAGAUACCAGAAGAUGGUCGUCAAAAGUGGGAUGGGUGGCCCACUACCCACCAGGGCGUGAGGGGGGCUGUCGCACCCUCAUGCCUAGUGGCCAUCUGGCAUCCCCCCUUUGGUACUUCUUUCUUCUAGUAUUUUUAUUUAUUCCAUAGAAAUACUCCGUGGAGUUUCAACCCAUUUGGAGAUGUGCAGAAUAGGUAUCUCUGACGUAGCUUUUUCACGUCGAGAACUCCAUCUACCGACAUUCUCCCUCUUGGUGUAAACCUUGCAUAUUAUGAGAUAAAAUGCAUUAGAAUUACUCAAUAAAGUAGUAUAAUGUGUAAAAACAUUAUAAAUAACAGUAGCAAAACAUGAUGUAAAAUGGACGUAUCAUCGGGCUACGCUAAGACUUCUAUUGCGGCUGCCCUCCCUGUCCUGUUAUAUAUACAUAGGGGGUGGAGGUGCACCGACCCUAGGGCCUCCUCCAAGGGAGGGCCGUGGCCUAGGGGGUGGCUUGCCACCUAAGGCAAGGUUGGCGCCCCCCUCUAGGAUUUUCUAAAACCAUGGGAGCCUUGGGACUUGGGAGGUGGGGCGCCCGGCCCACCACGGGCUACUGCGCCACCCCUCUCAGCCCAUGGGUCCCUCUCGGGUUGGUGGACUUCCUUGGUGGACCUCCGGAACUGCUUCCAGCACUUCCAACAAAAAGCGGUAAAACUCAAAACCAUUCUGGUACCCGAAUACCAACUUCCCAUAUAUAAAUGUUUACCUCCGAACCAUUCCGAAGAUCCUAUUCAUGUACGGGAUCUCAUCUGGGACUCGAACAACAUUUGGUCACCAAUAUAAAUAUCCUGAUAAUAGUAUAUAUCAUCAUCAAACGUUAAGCGUGCGGACCCUAUGGGUUCAAGAAUCAUCCAGACAUGACCGAGACACCUAUCUGGUCAAUAACCAAUAAUGGGACAAGGAUGCCCAUAUUGGUUCCUACAUAUUCCACAAAGUUCUUUAUCAGUAAAACCAUAAUGUCAAGCAUUCAAUCAAUCCCACAUGUAGUUCCCUUUGCCCAUCAGUAUGUUACUUUCCCGAGAUUCAAUUGUCAGCAUAUCCAUACCUAGUUCAAUCUCGUUACCGAAAAGUCUCUUUACUCGUUUUGUAAUACAAGAUCACGUGACUAACUCCUUAGUCAUAUGCUUGCAAGAUUCUUCUGAUGUGUUAUUACCGAGAGGGCCCAGAGAUACCUCUCCGUCCUACAGAGUGAAAAAUGCCUGUCUCGAUCCAUGCCAACCCAACAAACUCCCUCAGAAAUACGUGUAGAGUACCUUUAUUAUCACCCAGUUAUGAAGUGAUGGUUGAUACACACAAGGCAUUCCUCUGGUGACAAGGAGUUGCAUGAUCUCAUGAUCUUAGGAACAGAACUUAGUGAUACAAUUGAAUGCUAUGCUUAUGGUUUGGUCUUGUCCAUCACAUCAUUCUUCUAAUGAUGUGAUCCCGUCAUCAAAUGAAAACUCAUGUCUAUGGUUAGGAAACUCUAACCAUCUUGGAUCAACGAGCUAUUCUAGUAGAGGCUCACUAGGGACACGGUGUUGUUUAUAUAUACACAUAUGUAUGUGAGUUUCCGAUCAAUACAAUUAUAGCAUGGAUAAUAAACAAUUAUCAUGAACAAAGAAAUUUGAUAAUAACUACUUUAUUAUUUCCUCUAGGGCAUAUUUCCAAAAACAUGCUCAUCACCUCAUUGUGUGUCGGCAUGAGAAAUAGAAAUAUUAUUAGGAUACUUAAUAGGUUUUUCUAUAACAGGUUCACUAGAACCAUGCAAAAUUUUAUUCCUAAUCUUGUUCUUUUUCUUCUCACAUGAACUAGGUCCACUAUAAAUAUUUGAUAAUCCUCUUCAAUCCUCUUAGUAUGACCCUCUGGGAAAAAAGUUUCUUGAGUUAAUUUACCCCCUCUCGUAUCUACUCCACGGGUGUGCUUAUUAAGUUUAUUAUGCAUAUACCUAAACAAAUCAUUUUCUGAUCUAGCACUUGUUCAAGCUGAGUGUGAACCAUGGAUGAGUACUUACUUAAAUCUUUAACAUCAUUAUUAAUUGUAACUAUCACAUCACUCAUGCAUUCAACAUAAUAGCAUUACAUUUCAGUUCAUCAGUUAAUUUCAUAUUGAAGGUUUAUGUUAUAACGACAAAACUAUCAAAUUCAUCUAAGCACCAUCUUAGAGAUUUAUUAUAAGGACUUUCACCCACAUCAAGCCUAUAAAUAGAAUUUGCCUCUACCACCUAUUUUGAACGUUGAGUCCAUGUAGUUUUUUCAAUAGUUGGUAAAUUCUUGACAUCUUUUGAUUUAAUACCUUUCUCAGUCAUAGAUUUCUUGGCUCCUUUCAUAUCUUCGGGGCAGAGAACUAGAAUACCCAUUUUGUUUGGAGAUGCAUUAGGAGGUGGUUCAUGACGUGCCCAAUCGUUGACAUUUCUUAAGAAGUUAUCCAAUAAUUAUUGAGUGUGUGAAAAUGUUCUUUCCCGGAAAACACAAUGAGCACAUCUAUCUAUCUACUCCAUAGAAGCAUAUGUUUGUCCAUUAUAAAUGACAUCAAGUAUUUCAUUUUCUUUCAUCGGAUAAUCACGCAAAGCGUAAACUAACUAGCCAAGAGACCCCCUAGCUUGAGCGAGAUUCUCUUCCUCAAGUUGUUCAAAUUAUAUAUUCCAUAAAGCAUCUUAUUUCUUAUGAGCAGGAAAAUAUUUUUAAGUGGAAUAAUAGGUGAUAUCCUGGGGACUACGCACAAAACCAAGAGCAAGAUUAUUAAACCAUAUCUUAACAUCAUCCUUUAAUGCAUAACGAAACAAUUUAAGAAUAUAAUAGUAGCAGAUUUUUUCCUCUUGAGCAAAUAGGGUGGCAAUAUCAUUAAGUGUAGUGAGAUGUGCAACAAAUGUUUCAUAUUUGUGACCAUUAAAAGGAUUUGAUUCUACCAAAGUAGUAAGUUCAAGAUCAAUACAAAAUCAUAAUCAUUAUUAGUAACAAAAAUAGGAGAAGUUCCAAAGUUACGAUCAUAAUUUCAUCAUUUGGUUCAUACCCUUUUCUUUAAACUUAGCAAUUAAUUGGCAAGAUUCUCUAUAUAUUCGCAAGCAAGUAUAUCUUUAGCAAUCUUCUCAUCCAUAGUAUAACCCUCAAGUAGAUCAAAGAAUUUAGUUCUAGUAGGAGUAUGAGGGGUAAUAGGUGAAUCAUAGUGAUACGUCCAUUUUGCAUCAUGAUUCCAUAUUGAUAUUUGUGUUAUUCUUGUCCAUUAUUCCCUAUUAUCAUACAAUUCUUAUGCCCUUUAUCUCUGAAUAUGCAAGGAACAUCACAAAGAGGGAAAUAUUUAGAAACUGGAAUUCUGGACUGGGAAACCAAGAAAAAGGCAGAAAAAUCAUAAGACUCCACAUGACCUAAAACUUCAAGGAGAAUUUUAGUGGAAUAUUUAAGAAUUAUUGGGCCAAAAAUAUACCAGAGGGGGACCACCCGCUGGACACAAGCCAACAGGGCGCGCCCACCUCCCUAGGCGUGCCCUGCUGGCUUAUGGGGCCCCAGUAGGACUCCUCACGCCCCUCUUAUACUAUAUGGUGUGUUUGGACCUAGAAAAAUCAUAAGAGACCUUUCGGGACGAAGCACCACCGUCCAUUGGGAAACCUGGGCAGAGAACCUUUUGCUCUUCGGUAAAGAUAUUUUGUCUUGGGAAUUCCCCUCCGGGAUAGGGAAAUCAAAUCCAUCAUCAUCAUGCUUGCUCCUUCAUGGGAGGACCAAUCUCCAUCAACAUAUUCACCAGCACCAUCUCAUCUCCAACCCUAGUUCAUCUCUUGUAUUCAUUAUAUGUCUCAAAACAUCAGAUUGGUACCUGUGGGUUACUAGUUGUGUUGAUUACAUCUUGUAGUUGAUGCUUGUUGGAUUACUUGGUGGAAGAUAUUAUGUUCAGAUCCAUAAUCAAUAUUAUUUCACCUCUCAUCUUAAACAUGUUGAUGAGGUGUGAGUAGUCACUAUUGUUCCUGAGGACAUGGGAGAACUCUUGUUAUAACUAAUCAUGUAAACUUGGUAUUCGUUCGAUGUUUUGAUGAUAUGUAUGUUGUUACUUCUCUUAGUGGUGUCAUGUGAAUGACAAAUACAUGACACUUCACUAUGUUAUGGUCAUAAGGUAAGUCAUUGUGGAGUAACAAGUAGAUGAUGGGUUGCGAGAAUGACCGAACCUUAAACCCUAGUUUAUGUGUUGCUUCAUGAGGGGCUGAUUUGGAUCCACACGUUUAAUGAUAUGGUAAGGUUUAUCUUAAUUCUUCUUUCGUAGUUGCGAAUGCUUGCAAGAGAGUCUAAUCAUAAAAUGGUUGUUUGUUCAAGUAAGAGCAUCACCUUAGCACCGGUCCACCCACAUACCAAAUUAUCAAAGUAGAGAAUGCAAAUCAACUCAACAUGAUGAACAUGACUAGACAGAAAUUCCCAAGUGUCCUCGGGAGCGCUUUCUUAAUAUAAGAGUACAUUUAGGCAUGUCCUUUGCUAAAAUAGGAUUGUGAUACCUUCCUGCACCUUUUCUACUAUUUUAAUUGUCACUUGCUAUGAAUUAUCUUCCUACAAAACUAUUUAUCACUCUUACUUAUAGCACUUGCACACAAUACCUUGGUGAAAAUCGCUUGUCAUUUCCUUUUACUCCUCAUUGAGUUCAACACUCUUACUUAGGUAAAGCACUAAGACUUAUCCCCAAUAAUUUUGGGUCAUAAAGACUCUUUUCUAGAGCCGUUUACGGGGAGUGAAGCACCUUUGGUAAGUGGAAAUUGGUAAGGAAACAUUUUCGGUACGUGCUGAAAUUCACUAUUGCUUGUCACUAUGAACGAUCACCCUAUGAGUGGCCUAUUCGGGGCAUCUUCGCCUUGAACGUUAGUUUCUAAAGUUGCUCCCCAACCUAAUAAACCUACUGAAAAUAUUUAUUAUGGGAUUCUUUCGGGUAUGGUAGAGAAACUAUUGUCUAAUCCUUAUAACAGUUCAACUCAUCUUGACUACCAUUUCGUAUAUGUCGAUGAGAUUUGUGAAUUGUUUAAGAUUUCAGGUCUACCCGGAGAUAAAGUUAAGAAGAAAAAUUUCCCUUUAUAUUUGGAGGGAAAAUCAUUAAUGUGGUACAGGCUAUUGGAUGAUAUUGGAUCAUGGGACUGGAACCUCUUGAAGCUAGAAUUUCAUCACAAGUUUUUCCCUAUGCAUCUAAUUCAUCGUGAUCGGAACUUUAUUUAUAAUUGAUAGCCUCGAAGGAGAAAGUAUCGCUCAAGCAUGUAGAUGGCUUACACCUAUUAUGCACACUUGCCCCAACCAUGAGCUCUCGAGAGAAAUGAUGAUAUAAAACUUUACUGCUCAGCUUUCUCUUGAUGAUCAAGCAUUACUCGAUUCUUGUGCUACUUCUUCCUAUAUGAAGGAGAUUAUUGUAUUCAAAAGGGAUCUUCUGGAAAGGAGUAAACUCAACUCUAAAGAUUGGGAACUCGGCGAAGCUAAGGAUCUCGGUGUAAAUCUUCAUUUUGAUUGUGAUAAAUCUUUUAUGGAAACUGCUUCUUUCCAUGAGUUUAGCAACAAAUAUGGUCUUGACUCUAAGAUAGGAACUACUUUCUACGAAUCUUUUGCUACCCAUGUUAAUCUUUCCAGGGAGAAGUGGUUUAAAUAUCAUCCUCCCAUUGCAAAAUUGUCUAAGUAACCUGUUAAAAUUAAGAAGGAAGAAAUAAUUGUUAACCAUGUUGAUGCAAUUUUUCCUACUCCUUCGAUUGAGAAACCUCCUUUUCCCGUUAGGAUUUGGGACUUGCUAAGCCUACAAUUGUGGUGAAUAAAAUUCAUGUUAGGAAACUGAAACCUUCUAAAAAAAUAAAUGUUGAGCCUAAUGUUGCUAUAGUUAAGGAUAUCCUAGCUGAUAAUAUUGAUGGGGAGGUUAUUUAGCUUUGUGAUGAAGUUGCUAGAAUUGCAAAACCUGUUAGAAACAAGCAUGACGAGAUCGAUAAAAAUAAACUAGUUGUAGGUAUGCAUGUCGUUUUAGUUAAAAUUGAACAUCAUUUCUACCUUGACUUUUGUGAUAUUGGUGGCUAGUGUUAGUGUUAUACCAUUUAUAUUAUAUCAAGAAAUUAUGCACGAUAUAGCACCCUAUGAGAUUAAAGAUAUAGAUGUCACUAUUAAACUUGUAAAUCGUGAUAUUAUUUCACACUUGGGAUUGUUUGAUAUGUUGAAGUAUUGUGUGGAAAAGUCAAUUACCAAACUAAUUUCCUAGUACUUGCCUCAGAGAAAGAUAACUUUUGUCACAUCAUAUUUGGUAGACCUUUCUUCAAUACUGCUAAUGCUAUUAAUUGUGCUAGUGAGAAGGUCAAAGUAAGCUUUGGUGAUAUGUCUCAUAAAUUUAAUUUUUCCAAGUUUAGUAGACAACCACAUGAAAAAGAACUCCCUAAUAAGGAUGAAAUAGUUGGUCUUUCUUCUAUUAUUGUACCUCCUACUGAUCCGCUAGAACAAUAUUUGCUAGACCAUGAAAAUGAAUGAAAGGAAUGAAAUAGAUAAAAUGUUCUUUGAUCAACAUCCUAUCCUUAAAUACAACCUACAAGUUGAUUUUUUAGGGGAUCCUCAUCGACCCAAGAGAGAUCCCGUGUUUGAGCUUAAGACAUUACCUAAUACUUAUGAAAUAUGCUUAUCUUGUGAAAAGGAGAUAUAUCAUGUUAUUAUUAGUGCUAACCUUUCAGAGAAUGAAGAAAAGAGAUUACUUAAAACUCUAAAGAAAUAGAGGGCUACUAUUGGAUAUACUCUUUUUGAUGAUCUUAAGGGCAUAAGCCCCACUCUAUGUCAGAAUGAGAUUAAUGUGGAACCGGAUGCUAAACCCGUCAUUGAUCGUCAACGUCGUCUCAAUCCUAAGAUGAAAGAGGUGGUAAGAACUGAGGUAUUAAAACUUCUGGAGGCAGGUAUCACUUAUCCUAUUGCUGAUAGUAGAUGGGUAAGUCCUAUUCAUUGUGUUCCUAAGAAAUGAGGCAUAACCAUUGUUCCUAAUGAUAAAAAUGAACUUAUUCCACAAAGAAUGAUAAUUGGCUAUAGGAUGGUAAUUGACUUUGGGAAAUUGAACAAAGCUACUAGAAAGUAUCAUUAACCAUUGCCUUUUACCGAUCAAAUGUUAUAAAUAUUAUCCAAGCACACACACUUUUGUUUUCUUGAUGGACAUUCUGGGUUCUCUCAAAUACCCAUGUCAAAAGGGGACCAAGAGAAAACUACCUUGACUUGACCUUUUGGAACUUAUGCUUAGAGGGGUAUGCCUUUUGGUCUAUGCAAUGAACCUCCUACCUUUCAAAGAUGUAUGACUGCUAUAUUCUCUGACUUAUAUGAGAAGAAUGUUGAGGUUUUCAUGGAUGAUUUUUCCAUUUACGGAACUUAUUUUCAUGAUUGCUUGAGAAACCAUGAUCGAGUUUUGCAUAGAUGUGAAGAAACUAAUCUUCUCUUGAAUUGGGAGAAGUGCCAAUUUAUGGUGAAUGGCGGUAUAGUACUUGGGCAUAAAGUUCCUGAACAAGGUACUGAGGUGGAUAAAGCCAAAGUUUAUGCAAUAGAGAAAAUGCCAUGCCCAAAAGAUAUCAAAGGCAUAAGAAAUUUUCUCGAUCAUGUUGGUUUCUAUAGGCGUUUCACUAAGGAUUUCUCAAAGAUUUCUAGGCCAUUAAUUAAUCUUCUUGAACUAGAUAUUCCUUUUGUUAUUGUGUAGAAGCCUUUGAAAUACUUAAGAAAGCCUUAAUUUCUGCACCUAUUGUUCAACCACCCGAUUGGAACUUACCAUUUGAAAUCAUGUGUGAUGCUAGUGAUUAUGUUGUUGGUUCUGUUCUAGGGCACAGACUAGAAGAAAUUGAAUGUUAUUCAUUACGCAGACCCUCGAUAGUGCCCAAAGAAAUUAUGCUACUACUAAACAGGAUUUUUUAGUUGUUAUGUUUGCAUGUGAUAAGUUUAGGUCUUACAUUGUGGAUUCUAAAGUAACUAUUCACACCGAUCAUGCUGCUAUUAAAUACCUUAUGGGAAAGAUAGAUGCUAAACCUAGACUUAUUAGGUGGGUGCUUUUACUCCAAGAAUUUGACUUGCAUAUUGUUGAUAGGAAGGGAGCUGAAAACCCUUUAGCACAUAACUUGUCUAGGACGGAAAAUCUUCUUGAUGACCCACUGUCUAUUGAUGAUAAUUUUCCUCAUGAGCAACUUGAUCUUAUAAAUACUUCACAUAGUACUACUUGGUAUGCGGAUUAUGCUAUUUAUAUUGUUGGUAAUAUCUUCCGCCUAUCUUCACCUAUCAACAAAAGAAAAAUUCUUUUAUGAUUUGCGACAUUACUUUUGGGAUGACCCACAUCUUUAUAAAGAAGGAGUAGAUGGUGUAAUUAGAUGGUGUACCUGAGCAUGGACCAGAACAGAUCCUAAGGAAGUGACACUCUAAGGCCUACGGAGGAUGCCAUGCUGGUCGCAGAACGGGUCACAAGGUACUACAAUCCGGUUUCUAUUGGCCAACUCUUUUUAAAGAUGCUUGUAAGUAUGUCCUUUAAUGUGAUCAAUGUCAAGAGUUGGUAACAUUGGUAAACGUCGACAAAUUCCUAUGAAUUAUUCACUUGCUAUUGAACCAUUUGAUAUUAAUGCUUUGAUUUUAUGGGACCUUUUCCUUCCUCUAAUGGGUGUACUCGUUCUUGUUGAUAACGUUACUAAGUGGGUAGAACCUAUUCCAACUAGUAGUGAUGAUCAUAACACAUCUACUAAAAGUCUUAAAGACAUCAUUUUUCCAACAGUCCCUAGAUAUUUAAUGACUGAUGGUAGUUCACAUUUUAUUCAUGGUGCUUUUCGUAAACUUCUAGCUAAAUAUGAUGUUAACCAUAUAAUUGCAUCACCUUAUCAUCCUCAGUCUAUUGGCCAAGUUGAAUUGAGUGACUAAGGAAUAAAAUUGAUUUUGCAAAAGACUCUUAAUAGUUCUAGAAAGAAUUGGUCGAAGAAACUAGAUGGUGCUUUAUGGGCUUAUAGAACUACUUAUGAAAAUCCCAUGGGGAUAUCCCCAAUAAAAUGGUGUAUGGAAAAUCUUGCCAUUUACCUCUUGAGUUAUAACAUAUAGAUUAUUGGGAAAUUAAAGAACAUAAUUAUGACUUUAAACUUGCCAGCGAAAAGAGGUUAUUUGAUAUUAGCUCAUUAGAUGAAUGGAGGACAUAAGCCUAUGAAAAUGCCAAGUUAUUUAAAAAAAAUAAGAGAUGGCAUGAUAAGAGAAUACAAAAAUGAGAAUUCAAUGCAGGAGAUCUAGUGCUUUUGUACAAUUCUUGUUUCAGAUUAUUUACAGGUAAACUCCUCUCCAAAUGGGAAGGAGCAUAUGUUGUCGAGGAGGUUUAUCGCUCCGGUGCUAUAAAGGUCAAUAAUUUCGAGGGAAAAAAUUUGAGAGUGGUAAAUGGGCAAUGAAUUAAGACUUACAUCUGAGGUAUGCCCAUUAAUGUUGAAAAUAAUAUUAUUCAAGAGAUAACACCGGAGGAGCACAUAAGAGAGACCUUCUGAAACUCUCCAGAAAACUAAAAAAAGAGUAGGUACAUGAUAGAGUAAGAAAACCGACUCCAAAAAUUCCAAAAAAAUAUGUCUUGUUGGUUUUGGUAUUUUAGAAAAAUUCCAAAAAUAAAUAGGAGUUAGGGGACCCACGAGAGAGGCACAAGCCAACACUGCGCACCCACACCAUGGGCGCACCCUCAUGGCUUUAUGGGCCCCUUGUGUGCUUCCCGGACUUCUUUUCUUCCCGAGCACGUAUUCUGACCUGGAAAAAAUCAUUAUAUAUACUCUCGACUGUUUUGACAACCGCAUCGCGAGUUUUCCUAUGUUCUUGCUUCGGGUUGUUUUUCUGACAGAUCUAGAUCGCCAUGGCAACAUCAAGCUCCUCCAAGGACAAGUUCUUUGAGAAGGUCAUAAACCCUUACCUCUCGGAGGUGAUGAAGCACCCGCAUACCAUUGAGAUGCACAAGGGGGUGCUCCACAUCCGUGACGUGCAAGGACGAAGGCCAGGCUUCCAGCAGUGGAGUACGAGAUCUUCAAGUGCCAAUGGGAUGGCUGAAUGUGGUUUAUGUGCUAAUCACUCUAUGAUCACAAACUUCAUCCCGAAGAACCAGCUGGACACUAGGAACAUGGGAUAGGCCAUCUUUAAGCUUCAAGAGAAGAUGAAAUAUCUCCAAGAUCAAAUAUUUGACCUGCAAAACUAAUACUUUGAGUAUGAACCGACGUUUAAGAGGAUGAGCAUCUCUGGCUUUCAGGAUUCCGGAGACAAGAUUAUGUUUCUAUGAUAGUUAUCCAAUGCCUUGGAAGGCGAAAGAUCAGCCUGUCGCAUCAUCGCCACCAUCACCCACGAAGGACGCCGGAGUACAUCGGUAUGGGAUCCACCCUUAGCUUGUUCCAAGCUUGGGCAGGUGCCCCGGUAUCAUAUCACCAUCACUUCUACCAUUACCAUCUAUUUUAGUUCGAUCCUUAGCUAUUUCGUGAUUUAGAGAAAUAAAAUUUCAGAUUUUCUUUGCUUAGAAUUUUUGCUUUGAGUUCUACCUACCUUUGUAACUGAGUAUGAGAGUUAUAUAAUAAAGAUUAGUUGAUUUUGUGUGCUUUACUUGUGUCCACCCAUAAUCAUAGCAUGGCAAUAAAAAGAAAUAAAAAGAUUAUAUGCUUAUCUCAUGAGGAGUAAUGACUUCAAAUAAAAAUGGUAUAGGUGAUAAAAGUUGUUGGGAAUAAACAAGCAUAGUGUUAGUUAUUGCUACAAUCUAAGCAAUGUUAUGAAUUAUGAUAGAGAGGAUAUUCUCAUAUAAAUACACUAUCUUGGACAUCUUUUAUGAUUGUAAGACCACAUAAAAUAUUAUAUAAUGAUCAAGUGUUGAUGUUGGAAAUGGAAGACAACCUAAUGACCAUGGUAGUUUAUAUUCACAUAGAAGUUAUAUGGUCUUCGAUCCUUUAACAUGUGAUUCUUUCUUUAGAUCCUUGCUAGCCCAAACAAUCCACACUAAGUACAGAUACUACUUGUGCAUCCAAAAAACUGAAAAGCGCAUGACAACCUUUGCUUCCCUCUGCAAAGGGCCUAUCAUUUAUCUAGAGGAGUUCACUCUUGUGCGUGAGUCAAUAAAGUUUAUUCCUCUUCCUACAUAUUAACUCUAUAGUGGCAAGCAUCAUGUGUUGAGGAAAGAUUUAGAACUAUAUAUCCAAGUGAAUGUACAUGAUCAUGAUUUUUUAUUAUUGUUGACUUUAUCCUUGAGGUAAAUAAGUUUGGUGGCAAAUUAAUGAACUCACUAUCUUCCUAUGUGUCCCAUGGAAACAUGUGCUCAAAAAAUAUGUCUUGCUCGUCAAUAAUCAUAGAAGAUUAAAUGGUAGUUGAGUAUGUGAACUUUCCAAUAACAAAUUUCUUACAUAGACUCUCCUCUAAAAUAUGAUGAAUUAUGAUUGUCCCGGUCACUAAGAACAUAGUUGUUGAUUGUCAAUAAGGUUUAUGCUUCGUACUCCAAUAAUUGUGAAUGGGUUGCUAAUUUUAAUGAGGAGAUAUAUGAUAAAAUACUUGUUUCUAUGCUAAUAUUCAUGAUGUUAUCAUGUUCGUAUUUUCUUUUUAUCGACUUCUCCCUCUCAAAUCAUGUGGCCAUUAUUCUUGAGCUCGGCUUUCGCUUGAGGACAAGCGAGUUCUAAGCUUGGGAGAGUUGAUACGUCCAUUUUGCAUCAUGAUUCCUUAUUGAUAUUUGUGUUCUUCUUGUCCGUUAUUCUCUAUUAUCAUACAAUUCUUAUGCCCUUUCUCUUGGAAUAUGCAAGGUACAUCACGAGAAUAUUUGGAAACAGCAAUUCUGGACCGGUAAACCAAGAAAAAGGUAGAAAAACACCACACUCCAAAUGACUUGAAACUUCACAGAGAAAUUUUAUGAAAUAUUUAAGAAUUAUUGGCAAAAAAUAUUCUAGAGGGGGACACCUUCUAGCCACAGGCCAACAGGGCGCGCCCACCCCGUGGGCGUGCACUAAUAGCUUAUCAAGCCCCAGCACGCUUCAUGACGCCCCUCUUCUCCUAUAUGGUGUGUUUUGACCUAGAAAAAAUCAUAUGAAACCUUUUGGCAAGAAUCGCCGCUGUCUCGAGGCAGAAACCUAGGUGGAGGCCCUUUUGCUCUGUGGCAGAGAGAUUCUGCAGGGGGGGUUCCCCUCCGGGAGGGGGAAAUUGAAGCCAUCGUCAGCACCAACGCUUCCUCCUUCAUGGGAGGCCCAAUCUCCAUCAACACCUUCACGAGAACCAUCUCAUCUUCAACCCUAGUUCAUCUCUUAUAUUCAAUCUUUGUCUCAAAACCUCAUAUUGGUACCCGUGGGUUACUAGUUGUGUUGAUUAUAUCUUGUAGUUGAUGCUUGUUGGAUUGUUUGGUGGAAGAUAUUAUUUUCAUAUCCUUAAUCAUUAUUAUUAUAUCUAUGAUGUUGAACAUGUUAAUGAGGUGUGAGUAUUUACUAUUGUUCCUGAGGACAUGGAAGAAGUCUUGUUAUAAGUAAUCAUGUAAAGUUGGUAUUUAUUCGAUAUUUUGAUGAUAUGUAUGUUGUUACUUCUCUUAGUGGUGUCAUAUGAACGUCGACUACAUGGAACUUCACCAUGUUAUGGGCCUAAGGGAACACAUUGUGGAGUAACAAGUAUAUGAUGGGUUGCGAGAGUGAAAAAAGCUUAAACCCCAGUGUAUGUGUUGCUUCAUGAGGGGCUCAUUUGUAUCCACACGUUUAAUGCUAUGGUUAUAUUUAUCUUGAUUCUUCUUUCGUAGUUGUGGAUGCUUGCGAGAGUGGGUAAUCAUAAGUUGGUUGUUUUUUCAAGUAAGAAUAACACCUUAGCACCGGUCCACCCACAUAUCAAAUUAUCAAAGUAGCAAACGUGAAUCAACUCAAUAUGAUGAACAUGACAAGACAGAAAUCCCAUGUGUCAUCGGGAGCACUUGCUUAAUAUAAGAGUACUUUGAGGCAUGUCAUUUGCUACAAAAAGGUUGGCUACCUUGCUGCACCUUUGCUACUGUUGUUGCUUGUAACUUGUUACGAAUUAUCUAGCUACAAAACAAUGUAUCAUUGUUACUUACAACACUACAUAGAAUACCUUGCUGAAAACCGCUUGUCAUUUCCUUCUCCUCCUCAUUGGGUUUAACACUCUUACUUAUCGAAAGGACUAUGAUUGAUCCCCUAUACUAGCGGGUCAUCACAGUGUUUUCAUCAAAUUCAGUUUCAUUUUGUUUAGGUUUAGUAAUAUGAACAUCUAUUAAUUCACCAAGGGGCACAACAGUAUUAACCAGAAAAGUCGGAGCAUCAUCAUGAAUAUCAAUAAAAGUAGAAUCAAUAUGUGUUACUUUCGAUGUAUCAUAUUGAAUGGAAGGUGGUGGUGUUGCAAGCUAACAUAAAAGAAGGUGGUCAACCUGGCUGGCAGUUCCUUACUUCCCCUUGUCUUACACGGCAUGAUCUUGUUCUUAGAUUCUCCCAGAUUCUUCAUGAUAAAUAUAAAUUGCAGCAGAUAAUUAAUUCCCGAGUUAACUUAAUAAAUAGAACUAUGCUCCCAUGCAAUGACGCGAGAAAAUAGUCUUGAUGACCCAUAAGUAUAGGGGACCAAAAUAGUCUUCAAGGAUAGUUUUUCAUGCAAAUUUAUUGAUUCCCCACAAGGUAUCAAAAGAAUAUUUAUAAGCCCUUACAUAUGAGUUGUCAAUUCAGAAACACCUCACAAGUCACAUCUUUGCAGCAAUUUAUUAGUUGAACACUAAUAUGAUGAUAUUGAUAGAAGUGGUAAGAGUACUAGCAAUAGUAACGGUAAGAGUAAUAAUAGUUUUGGAUCAAGUGUAGUAGUAGCGAUGGAUAUUUGGACAAAAUUCAUUAUGUAACUGUCACAACCUAGACCGAGACAGAAUUAGCUCCAAUUCAUUAAUUAUUUGUAGGCAUGUAUUCUUCCUGCUUGCAAUAAGAACUUGCAUGCCAUAUUUUAUCCUACCCCCCCCCCCCACACACACACAUAGCAGCGGGGUCCUAAUGGAAACUAAGUGGAAUUAAGGAGCUCCUUUAAAUACAUAACUAGAAAAAAACAUUAUCAAAUAGUGAAUACAUUAACUCCUCAAAUUACACUCAUCCUAGGAGAGUAUCGCAAUUAUUGUUAGCUUGGAGUCUAUGGUCUAGAACAAUAACAUUUGCAUAUAACUCGCAAGAUAUGAUCCAGAACUCAAAUAUAUUCAUGAAAAUAUAAUACGUUCAUAUAUGAAAUCAUGACACCCAGGCCCUAGUUACAAGCAUUAAGCAUAGCAAAAGUCAUAGCAACACCAAUCUCAAAACAUAAUGGAUAUUGGGGAUCAAGCCCUAACAAAUUAAAUCGAUUACAUGACGAAUUUAGACCAUCUCCAUCUACCUCCAAUAUGCCUAUGAUGAGAUUACUCAUCGCUAACGGUGAGCAUCAUGCGGUUGUUGAUGACUGGCCACUCCGGAGCCCCAAACGGACUCGUGAUCACGCCUCUUGAUGAAGAACAAGAGUUGGCGGCGAUUCCGUAUCAUAAAACGUGAUCAAACUUUCUCUGUAAUUUUUUCAUUGGGAGGACGGUAUACGUAGACUUGCAGUUAGGGCAAACGGGGCCUCGAGGGUCCCACAAGCUCACAUGAUGCAACAUAAAAGGGUGUCCCCUGAGUUUGUGCCUCCCUGGUGGACCCUCUGAUAGUUCUUUGCACCCGUAUUUUAAAUUAUUUUCCAAAACAGCUCACCAUAAAGAAAAUUCCAAUUCCAAGAACUUUUAUUUCUCCACAAAAAACAAAACCAAAGUAGUUUUGCUAAAAACAACAUAAGUACGGGUUAGUUUCAUUCAAAACAUGCAAAUUAGGGUCCAAAAUAAGAUUAAACAUGUUUGGAAAAGUUGAUACAAUUUAGACAUAUCAGAUGGUGGCUUAUUUCGCCUCACCUUGCUAUUUCCCAUGCAAAUCUUUUUAGCGGUUCUUCCACUAGCAGUGCAUGCCACCAACUGAACCUAGCAUACAUGGGAAUCCUCUUGUUGUUCCAAUUGCCAACAAUUUUUAUGUGUCCUCCAUAGUUGUCUAUCUCACGUACUCCGAUCCGAACACCUUAAUAAUAGUGCAUGCAAAUUGCAUUGUGGUGUUCAGGACCGUGGUCUCUCCCAUCCGGAUUUUUGCAUCAAUUGCAUUUGGUGCCAUACCAUAAGCAAGCAUCCUGAGAGCAGUCGUGUAUUUCUUCUCACGAGAGAAGGAAAGUUUUAUGCAAGAAUCCUUCCACAUCUUGAAGUUGUCAUCAACCUUCUCCAUGCCUUCCACCACACGCGAGAUAAGUUCAUCUUCAUUCAGUAGUGACGACGAAAGGAAGUUUCAUGGAAUGUUGAGACAUCUAUCAAAUAGUUUGUGUUUAAAAGUCCUAGACCGGGAAUCCUAUCAUGGGAAAUACCUAUCCAAACUUCCUUGAACCCUUGAAUUUUAGGGUGUGCUACCCUACCUUAUUGAACUCCUCUUGGAUGCAGAUCAUCAUCAUUUCAGCAUCCUCGUCAUUUGAAUAUGGCAACACGGUAAACUCGUUGAAUAUGAAUUCAUCAGGAUCAUUGUUCCCAUAUCCAUCAUUCCAUGAUGUAUCAUUGGUGGCCUGAAAGUAAUGAAUUAAAGAAUAAAAAAUGGUUCAGACAUUUCAUCAAACACGUAGAGUGAGGGGUGAAAGUAUGGGCAAGUUUGACGUAUUAGGGUGUCAUUGGGUGGUGGCAACCUUGUGCAAUGGUGGCGUGGUCGGCGGCGGUGUGCAUUGGGGUGUCUUGGGGAGAAGCCCUCAGUUAGGUAUGGCGGCAUUGCACUGAUAGUGGUAGAAGUACAGUGGAAAAUGGGAAAAGAAGGGAAAACAAACAAGAUGGGAGGACUAUUUGGGCAUGGAGAGGGGAGGAUGAUAUGAGCGAACUCGCAUGGGCCCUAGCAUUGUGUAUGACAUGGUAGACACGUCCGAUAGUACCCAUAUCCACCCCAAAUUUAAGCUGGAUAUGGGGAGCGCCCGUUAGUCCAAGCGUUUGUGUCGGCUAUGGGGUGUCCGGUUGGCACGUGUUUUUUUGUCUGUGCGUUUGGGGAGGGUAUGGGUCAUCCAGUCAUAGAUGCUCUUAUGGCAUCCCCAAUGUUGAUCCACAAACCAGGCACCAUAUCCGUCUCCGUAUAGAGGGGCCAGUCCACGGACACAGAUGCGGUACUUGGCCAUCGAAUACUAUUUGUAUAUAUUUAAAACUAGAGUUAAAAUAAAUGGACGACUUACAUGCAAAACGGAUGAUUUUCAUUCAAAUGGACGAGAACAUUUACAUUUCACACAUGUUUUAGCUAAACUAUACCGAACUAGGCUAAUUCUUGUAUGAUGCGUGAUACGUCUCCAAUGUAUCUAUAAUUGUUUAUUGUUCCAUGCUAUAAUAUUAUCAUUCUAGGAUACUUUUCGGCCGUUUACUUGUUGAAUUAUAUUAUUUGUAGAACUAACCUAUUAACCAAGUGCCAAGUGCUAGUUGUUGUUUUGUGCAUGUUUUUGCCUUUUCGGGUUUAUAGUACCAAACGAAGUCCAAAUACCAUGAAAUUUUUUGAUGUUUUUUUAUGGACCAAAACAAGACCUAGAAACUUCGGGAGAAGGCCGGGGGACACAGAAGGGCCCCACAAGCCAACAGAGCACGCCCAGGGGGUGGCCGCCUCUUCUUUGCUUGUGGGCCACCCCUGGCUCUCCCAACCUCGUUCUUUGGCUUAUAAAUCCUCAUAUAUUCCAAAAACCCUUGGGAAGCUCCCGAAACACUUUUUCCACCACCGCCAGUCUCUGUUCUGAUGUGUUACCAUCUGGACCCUGUACCGGUGCCCUACCGGAGGGGGGUCGAUCGUGAAGGGCCUCUAUAUCAACCUGCUGCUCCCAUGGUGAUGUGUGAGUAGGCUACCACACACCUACGGUUCCAUAGCUAGUAUAUAGAUGGCUCUCUGUGUGUGUGUGUGUGUGUAUAUAUGUGUGUGUGUGUGUGNNNNNNNNNNNNNNNNNNNNNNNNNNNNNNNNNNNNNNNNNNNNNNNNNNNNNNNNNNNNNNNNNNNNNNNNNNNNNNNNNNNNNNNNNNNNNNNNNNNNNNNNNNNNNNNNNNNNNNNNNNNNNNNNNNNNNNNNNNNNNNNNNNNNUCUUCAAUACAAAGUUCCACUACUAGGAAAUAGCUUAUAAGUAGAACAUUACUAGUAGCGCGGUUUUAGUGCCCCCCACUACUAUUACUUAGAAGUAGCACCUCUCAUCAAGACGCUCUAGGAGUAAGUCACAGAAGUAGCGCUGGUCAGUUGACCCCCAUUGCUAAUAUGUGAGGCACACCUUACACCCAUGAGUUGGCGAUAGUAGCAGGGCGCGUCACGAACUGGUGCAACUACUAAGACAAUUAAUAGUAACCCACUUUUGGGCCGACGCUACUAAUGUAUCCUGUGCAGGCCCACAUCCCAUACCACCACUUAGCAGUAGUGUGUCUUCAAGCCCCGCGUUGCUGUUAACCCUAACUUAUCCUCUUCCCAAGGCUGCGUUGACCCCCUCACUCUCCUCACUAUCUGCCUCCUCACUCUCUACCUCUCCAUCCCACUCCUCCCCCCNNNNNNNNNNNNNNNNNNNNNNNNNNNNNNNNNNNNNNNNNNNNNNNNNNNNNNNNNNNNNNNNNNNNNNNNNNNNNNNNNNNNNNNNNNNNNNNNNNNNNNNNNNNNNNNNNNNNNNNNNNNNNNNNNNCCCCCCCCCCCCGCGUGUCUGCCGCCCUCCCGCACCCGUUACCGCCGUUUCCCAAUGUCAGUGUUGGUCGUCUACCGCCGACGUCCCGCGCUCGCUGCCCUCCCACUCUCCCUGCUCCCGUCCCGUGCCCGUCGCCUCCCAGCAGAGUUUGCCCCUCCCUCCCUACUCCCUCCACCUCCCCUCCCUCCUUCCUCUAUUCUUGUAGAGAUUAAAAUGGUAUUGAUUUUUUAAAAUAGAAUAGAAUAGGUUUUAAACAGAAUAGAAUAGGUAUAGAAAUUUUAGUAAAAAUAUUUUGGUAUAGAUAUAGAAUAAAAUAAAAAAUAGGUAUACAAAUAGAAUAAAAUAUGUUUUCCAAAUUUAGUAAUAUAAAUUUUAGUAACUAAAUUUAAUAAAUUUUAUGUCAUUAUCACUUAUGUCAUUAUUGGAGUGUAUGAUUUUGCAAGGAGCACCUUCGAGUGGUCUAUGUUUUGCUAAAUGUUGAUUUAUUUUUGUUUCGGCAAAUUUCAGGUGCUUGGUAUGUCCUGUUUUUAGAAAAGGUCAUUCAAAAAAUUUGAUUUUGUCAUGACUUGUGCUAGAAAGUAGGAAAUAUUGAGGGCCUGUGAUUUGUGAGAAUAGGAAUUAGAUGACAUUCCGACAAAACAUGGGCCAUUUUUAUGUCGAUACUUAUUAACUCAACCCAUGCUAAAUUUUCAUAUACACCAAUAAUUCUGGUCCAUUUUUAAUCUUUGAAUCAUGAACAAAGGAAAUGUCCUCUGAGUAUAAGGGGGUCCCUAAGUGUGAUUAUUGCGGUGAAGAUCAGGGUGUGUGCGACAAGCCUCGCCUGCAAAACGGUGGGUUCUUCACCAUCAAGCUAGGCAAGACCUUUGAUGUUUUUACGGUACGUAACGAUACCAUUAUUUUUUAAUUCUUUGCUUUGUGUUUCUUUGCUUCAAUCAACGUGUAAUUUCUAGUUUGUACAAUUCGACUAGUGCAUUCCCUACCAUGCAAGACAGUAUGUCUUGGAGAAGCUUGGUUUCCAAGAAAUGGAAAAUAUGUAGAAGAGGAGAGCUCACAUGAGGACUUAACAUGGUUUCACAUUUAUGGUUACACCAUACAAUGAAAUUAAUCACUCGAAUUUUGGUUUCUCAACUUGGGAAGCUCUAGGCAAUGCAUAUGGAUUUUAGGAGGAUAUGGAAAUAACCUACGAUAUUCGUCGUGGAGAUGAUAUUGAAGGUAAUAUCAACAUUUGGGUGGAUGUCGAUAUGCUUCCAGUUAUACCUCUAUGUGAUUUUGACAACCAUAUUUGUUUAUUUAAAAGUAAUUAUCAUUGUUUAUUUAAAAAUAGUUGGUGUUCAUCCCAACGUAACUUGUUUAUUUUUGAUUAACAGCUUUUCAUGUCUCUGAGUUAAAUACAGAAGAUAGUAGACAUGACACACUACACUUAUGGAUCACAUAUAACUUGGGAGGAGAAGUAUUUUCUUGUCACCUUUGUUAAUGGUUGCCUAUCUACUAGGGACGACACGAAUUAUGGAGCUCGCUCCAAUUAUACAUUAUACAUGCCACUAGUUCAUAGGUUUAUAGAUCAUGAUAUUCGCGCAAAUAUCUUGGUAAGAGUUGCUAACUACACUAAUAUUACGUAAACUACAUUGCUAAUUAUGCUAAUAUUAUGUCAAUUGCAUUGCUAACUAGGCUACUAUUAUGCUCUUUAACAAAAACUGCCAAAUGAUGAUGUGCCUCCAUUGAUGCAUCGUGAAGGUGAGAUCGUAAUUACAAAUCGUCAAUGCGUCCCUUCCAUUUUUAAAUACUCGACUAAGCACAAACCACGAGGAUAAGUUCAAAAUUGAAGCAUGGAGAAAAAUAAAGAAGGAUUGCAAGCAACAAGUUGAGACCGUUGGAUCUCCUUACUUCAUCAUGGAAACUUUGGUAUUUUUCUGUUUUACAACAUAUUACCUAGGAGAGAGGACUAGGUCCUAUGACAUAUAUUAACUUGGCAUGAUCAAUUAGGAUGAUGAUUAUUAUGGUUUUUUCUAUUUUAUGAUAUUUUAACUUGGUAUGAUUAAGAUGAUAAUGAGUUGUUAGAUUGUUAAGAGGAUGAUGAGUUCUUAUAUGAUUAAAAGUAUGAUGAGUUGUUAGAUGAUUAAGAGGAUGAUAAGUUAUAUAACAAAUAUUAGAUUAAAGUGGAUAGACGCAAGUGACCAAGUUAAGUUAGAGGCAAUAUGAUGUUGCAAUUUGUAACAUCAUACUUUCUCUCUAACCCAACUUGAUCACUUGCACCCAUCCACUUUAAUCUAAAUGUUGUUUUUUGCAAAAUUAUUAUUGUUUUUGUAUGUUAAUAUGUAUAACCAUGUGAAAAUACAAAAUAAAUAUGCGGGAUUAGUAGUGUUUCUAGUUAAGAAACAACGCUACUCGUAAAGUCACGUAUGAGUAGCGUGUAUCGGCUGAUAGCGUUACUGAUAUGUGACUUUACCAGUAGCGUGGGUCAUGAAGACUGCUAGUGCUAAAAAUUAGUUAUAGCAUCGUAGCAUUAGCGCGCCUACCAGAACUACUCGUAGCUAAAAGUCACGUUCUACUCGUAGGGUUUUCCCUAGUAGUGUUCAUCGCAUCUCCGCGAUGAUAUAUUAGAUGUAAUCACUUUGUACGGUGCGUUUGUUAGGAUCUGAUGGAUUGUGGGUUUAUGUUUAGAUUAUCAUGAUAAAAUAUUUGAGUAUUUCCUGAAUUAAAUGAUUUGUAUCUACAUGAUUAUUAUAGGAUCGUAAAUCUCUCCGAUCUAUUGAUUUCGUUGGCAAACUAGAUUGAUCUAUCUUCGGUGAAAGAGGUGCGUCGUAGCGGGUUCAAUCUUGUGGUUCUCAAUCCCAGUGACAGAAAGGGGCAUGACACAUAUUUGUAUUGCUGCCACUAAGGAUAAAACGAUGGGGUCGAUUCAUAUUAAUUUAGUUAGUGUUCUCCAAGCAUUACUUUGUUUUACUUAAUACUCUAGAUGCAUGAUGGAUAGUGGUCGAUGGUUGGAGUAAUAGUAGUAAGUGCAUGCAGGAGUUGGUCUACUUGCUUACGGACAUGAUGCAUAUAUGCACAUAAUCAUUAUCGUGAAUAAAUAUUGCAUAAUUGUGCAAUUUUCUAUCAAUUUCCCAACAGUAAUUUGUUUACACACUGUAUGCCUUCUUCGAGAGAGAUGCGAGUAGAGAACACUAUGCCCCCGAGGUCAAUUGACAUAUGAAUUUACAAACACUCAUAUCUCCUCGCUUCCUUUAUUUACUUUGGAAUUUAUAUUUAUCCAACUAUCAUCUACACUACUUAUCUUCUUGCAAGUAACGAGUCCAAGGGGAUUGACAACCCUCUUGCUUGCGUUGGGUGCAAGUGUUUGCUAAUUUGUGUAUAGGGACAUGAGUUGUGUGGUCCUCCUAUUGGUUCUAUAACCUUGGUUCUCACUAAGGGAAAUACUUAUAUAUUUUUUGCUGCAUCAUCUGAUCCUCUUCGCGGAAAAACCCAACGCACAUCACAAGUAUGAGGAAGGAUUUUUUGACACCGUUGUCGGGGAGUAUCACCAACUUACUAUCAAGUACAUUAUCCCAAAUUAUCAUUCACAUGUUCUACUUUUUUAUUUGAUGUUAUAUUUUUCUUGUAUAAAAAUCUAAAAAAAUUACCUUUACUUUUUUACUUUUUUCGCUUGCUUGAUGUUGCUAUCAUGUUUGAUUUUAUCAUUGAUAAGGAUGAUGGAGGUAAAAUACGAAAAGAGGAAACUCCCCCCAACGAGAUGUAAAAGUUUUUUUGCAUGGAAAGGGAAUAUUAUAGGGGAAAGAAUUAUCCAAGAAUUCUUUAACUGUACGAGUACUUUGUCUUGCAAGGAUACUCCAAUCCUUAAAAGAGCCAAAAGUUAUGUCGUUGUUAUUUCCUCUCUUGUUCUCAAACUUGAAAGAAGAUCUAUGCAUACCGACCCUACUUUGCAAAGGCUUUUCUAUGAGUUGCCAGUCAUAAAAGAACCUAGAGCCAAGAAGAUGGCUACUCUUAUCCUUAUGCAUGAAUUUGACUAUAUAGUGGGAGAGGCUCGAGAUAUCUUUGAUCACUAAAUAUGAGCCGUGAACAUCCUGUGAUAGAUGAAAUUUUCUAUAAUAAGGACUAUAUGAUGAGGAGUGUGUUUCAAGAUAACAAUACUUUUGAUAAAAAUACUAAUAAAGAACUUCCUCCCAUUCAUAUUAUACAACAAGUUUUCAAUGCUAUAAAUAAACAAUAUUCUUGGAUAGUAAGAGAGAAUACAGAAGGUUUUGACGAUAGUAGUAUUGAUAUUGCUAAAAUAUUGCUUGAUGAUGUGUUUACUGUUUUCUUUGAAAAGCCUCCUCAUGAACACAUAUCCCAAGAUGUGAUUUCCACUAAGGAUGAAAAUACUAGAAACUAUGAAUUAUGCCUAGCUAGGUGCGUAAACAAUAACGCUCGUUGGGAGGCAAGCCAAUAGUUAUGUUACUUUUGUUGUUCUACUUUAUAUUUGUGUGACAUAACAUGAUUAUUUAUAAUGUAAUGAUUGAGUUUUUAUUUUUAAAUUAUUGUAUUUUCCAAGUAAAUCCUUCGGGAUUAUUUGAAUGAUAAGUAGAAUUGAUACGGUGCAAAAACAGAAACUUUGAUGUCGAGUGCAGAAUUUCUUUGAUUGUACUGGCACAUCUUUUUGAUCUGAAUUUUUACACAGUAUUUUUGUACAAGUUCUUCAGGUUUUACUAAUUUAUUAGAAUUUUCAGAGUUACAUAACUGGCAUGUCUUUGCUAAUCACUAGACACUAUUAUGUUUUAGACAAAUUAUGUUUUUGCUUGCAUAGUUUGCAUGUUUUGAUGAUGCUAUGGAUUAUAAAGGGGGGUAUAAGUCAUGGAGAAGUUAGAAUACAGUACCUUAUGCAAUAAUAAAUAUUAAUCAAUUUAUAACAGUAACUAAUGUUUAUGGUUUGCCUAUCAUACUAACAGAUCUCAUGAGUUUUCUGUUGAGUUUUGUGUGCUGAAGUUUUGAAAUUUUGGGUGUUAUCGCGAUUCCUCACCAAGCUGUGCGCCCGGAAAGUAGCGCCUCCUACUGCCAGCCUCGCGGAGCCCAGUACCAAACAUGGCGCCUCUCAAGGAUGUUGUCUCCGAGUCGACGAAGAGGAUGCCGGUCGGGCAUCGUCGACGUUGAGAACAAAUUCCUAUGAGAACAUUUUCUUAUCGUUUAAUGUUUUACUUUCUCGUUAUCUUCUUAGAAAUAUGCGAACAAUUUCUUUUUUCUCAUAAAAACAUUAUAUGAAAAAUGUCCAAAUUAGUACUGCAUGCCAAAUUAAUACUACUCUCAUUUGGACAGAAAGCAUCUCAUUUUAAUUUGGGCAUCAAAACCAUUUUUCUGACUCAUUUUUUAUUUAGUUUUGCUACUUGAAAAAUGCUUAAUUUCAGAAACUUAUUUUUAAAUUAUUUUUGACUCGGUAUUCUCAUUAACUGUCUAAUUUCACAAACAAUGUCCUAGCAAGAAUCCUAGCAACUAGACCCAGCAAUGUCCUAGCAAGAACCCUAGCAAUCCACCGAAACCCUACCAAGAAAAAGGGUGGAGGAGGCGUCGGGAUGUCUCACCAAAGAAGGAGACAAUCAGCGCGCAAAGGAGACGGUUGGCGUGCGGAGGAGAUGACUGGCGCGCAGAGGAUAUGGUCGAAGGAGAAGAAGACGCCGGGGUCAGGGUAGGGGUCACGGUCGGGGUCGGGGUCGAGGUUGCCGGGGCAGUAGAGUGGGUCGGGGCCGGGGUCGAGGUCGUCGGGGCAGUAGAGUGCGGCUGGGUCACGUUGAAAGGACCGGGGGAGGGGCAAGGGAGGGAGUCGGGAGGGAUAGAGGGAUUGAACGAGGGGCGUCCGCGGGGGGGAGAUGAUAAAUCCACGAGGGCACUAAUUAGGAGUAGCGUGGGUCCGAGGAGGGCAAAAUUGAUACGGUGCUUAGCAGCAACAGUUUAUUGUGGCCACCGCGACUACUACAUCUAGCGUCAGUGCACUCGUUGGGUCCCACUUAGGAGCAGCACCUAAUCCCAGCCAACGCUACUGCUAACGUGUUUAACAGUAGCGCGGUAUUUUGGGCAGCACUACUACUAGAGCUGGCAUCGGUGGACUCGUUUGGUCCCACUUAGCAGUAGCACUGCUUACAUUUACAUCGCUACUAAUACGACAUCACUUGUAGCACUUUCCAUAUCCAGCGCUACUGCUAAUUAGCAACAACGCUGCAUAUUUUCAAGCGCUACUACUCAGGUUCUACCUACAAGAAUUUCCCUAGUAGUGAUUUUCCAACAGUAAUUGGUUUACCCAUCGUAUCCCGUCUUCGAGAGUGAUGCCACUAGAGAACACUAUGCCCCCGGGUCUAUUCACAUAUAAAUUUACAACACUCUUAUUUGCUUCCUGCCUUCAUUUACUUUUUUAUUUACUUUCCAUAUAUUUAUCCAACUAUCAUCUACACUAUUUAUCUGCUUGCAAGUAAGGAGUCCAAGGGGAUUGACAACCCUCUUGCCCGCGUUGGGUGCAAGUGUUUGCUCUUCUAUGUGUAGGCACUCAAGACGGGAGUUGUGUGGUCCUCCCAUUGGUUUGAUAACCUUGUUUCUCACUCAGGGGAAUACUUAUCUAUAAUGUACUGCAUCAUGUGCCCUCUUCGCAGAAAAACCCAAUGUAGAUCACAAGUAUCAAUGCCGACUGAGGCGGAUCUCCAUUCGCACAACAUGUCUUCCCCAUGUCUGUCAGUCUGCUCGUCGGACUAUCAAGAGAUCUGGAGGGAUAUGCUUCAGCGAGAGAGGGGGAAUAACCCCCAUCCGUCUCCGAGAAGCACGCACUAUAGAUUUGGUUUUGGGGUGAGGGAAGACAGUCUCCAUGGUCUAAGCCAUCGCUCGCUAGCCAAGACACCGACUGUGUAACCCGACGACGCAGUGGUGGUGUCCUUCUUGGGACCUAAGCAGCGGUAGCCUCCCAUGAUCUACUUUUCCUCGCUGCCACGUGCUGGUUGCGGACGUGCGGGCAUUCAUAGACAUGGCUUCUUUACCCCACCUUCCUGACAUGUUGCUGCCAUUGCUUGUGAUGGAUUUGGUGGGAGACGGCGUUGGACAACCUGGACAACGAGGAGGGGUGGCAAUUGUGGUGGCGGUGGCAUCGGAUCCGGAGGGUUUGCCAGCAAGGCAACAUGUAUCGCCUGGCUUGUCGGGAAACCCAGGCCGAUGCAAUGUCGGAAAACUCCUUCUUCCACUCUUCGGAGGCCAUGAUGGGUGUUGUACAAGGAGAAGAUGGGGAGAACGUAGGUUGUAUGUGGUUCUUUCCCAACGCCUAGCCACAUUUAUAUAGUCGGUAGAUGCAAGGAGCCAGCGAGAGAGGUGUUUAUUGCCGACAUGCACAUGAACACAUGUAUGGCACUCAUGACACUCGAGUGUGUUCCUUGGCACACAUGCCGGUUAUAUGGAGGUAGGUGGCACACUAAUGUAUUUUAAUGCUAAUACAACGUGUUUGUAGCUGGAGACGAUCGGGCGGCGCUCUUGGUCGGUAAGCCGCUUCAAUGUUGACUCCAAUGAGCAGUCAAGUUCACUCUAGACUGGCAUGAAUGCGGUUAUCUGGCUUUGGGCAGGAAAGUGUGCACAUGCCCACAACCUCCCUAGUUUUUUAAACAUUUUAUGGGGUAAAAUGUGCGUGGGCCACUGAACGGGCCGACGUAGGAGAUCAUUGGAUGGCAAAACAUGUUGGGACCACGUCCUCUGGACUGUUGCAUGGGAGUUGAGUGUCGGCACUCGAGAUACCCUUAGUUUGUUGAUCAUGAUGCAAUGGCAUAUAUGACAUUUUUCUUCCACUCGCCAAAAAAUACAUUUUCCUUCAUAUUUGUAUUUACUCUAGCGGACGAUGUUAGUAAACAAUAAUUCACAUUUCACUUUCAUGACGGCGUCUUUUGGCUCAUAUCAAGUGCAAAAUUUGUAGGGUCUUUUACAUUUGUGCCCCUAACUCGAACCCACUACUAAGAUUUGCCCCUAAUUUUGAAGCAUGCUAAACUUUGUCCCUCUUCCAUUAAGUGCACUUAUAUAAAUGCCCUUCUAUACACUUUCCGACUAGUCAAAGGACAUUGACCGUUAAGUGUGCGUAUAGAAAAAUAUAAUGGUCAAAGGCCUUUUACUAGAUGGAAAAUGUAGGUAAGGGCAUUUCUAUAAGCACACUUAACGGAAGAGGGGAAAUUUUGAGCAUGCUUCAAAAUUAGGGGCAAAUCUGAGUAGGUGGUUCAAGUUAGGGACAGAAAUGCAAAUGGCCCAAAUCUGUAUAAAGAAAUCAAUACAUAUUUUAUAGUUAGACGGGAAGAUUUGGUUCCAUAUAGCACCACCACUACGAGGGGAAAUUGGAAUAUAAAACAAAAGGGUUAUUGUAUUUACGAGAAAAUGCCACUACAACCAUUAGAUGUAUCACGAGAUGUCGUUAUGGUUAUUUCAACUCAAUGACAACAAGAAUAAGGACCCAAUUCCCCCUAAUUUAUUGCAAGGGCAACACAUAACUCUCCAUUACCUAGGACAUUAACCUCGCCAAAAAGAUAUUCUUGCCUUUCCGGUUUAGAGGGCUCAAAUAUGAAAUCUCAUCAACCAAGGUAGAUUACGUGAAUGACAUAUAUUUUUGUGGACACAAAACUACCCAAUGAAAUAUUUCCUACAUAUGUGAUUCCUGAACCAAUAAAUGUAAUACCUCCCUCUUAUUAGACUAGUCAUAGUGGGGAGUAACUUAGACUAGUAACAUGCAUAUGUUACUAGUCUAUGUUACUACAUCCAUACUAGGUAGUGUCAUAAGAGUGAUAACAUAGAUGUCCUCAUUUAUUACUUUGUAGAUCCAUAUUGCAUUGAGAAGUGCUAUGUGAUGGUAACAUAUUAUGUGAUGGCAUAUACGUUACCACCUAUCUUACUCCCACUAAGAGCAACCUAAAUCCCUCUAUUAUCUCUACGAAUUAAAUGUGGUGUGUGACUCAAAGCACUUUCACUCGAUUGGGCUCAAAGUUAGCAUAAUAUAGUGGAAAUCUGGAAUUUUUUGGAUGAGUCCUUUGAGACAGAAAGGAGGGAGUAAAACCAAUGGAACGUUGGAUUACAACAUCUUGACACCAUGUGUUCCACCUCUUGUUCAACACAAUGAUGCCUUUGUAGGAUUAAAAGUAUGUCUAGAGGGUGGUGAUUAGACUACUUGACAGGAUAAAAACUUAGACUUUUCCCAAUUUUAAGUGUGGUCUAGUUUAGCAAUUAUGACUAGCCAAGUACACCCUACACAUGCACAUCUAAGAGUAUAGCAGCUGAAAGUAAAACAUGCAAGUGUAAAGUAGAGGGUAAGGUAGGUAGAUCAAACAUAGAGGUUGACAUAGUGAUUUUUGGCAUGGUUCCAAUAGGUGGCGCUAUCGUACGUCCAUAUUAGUGGACACUUCAACACAUGGAGGGUAACGAAUGCGAGAGUCCAUGGAGGGCUCCACCCACAAGGGGUCGAAGAAGCGGUCUUGUCUAUUCCACCACGGCUUUCGUCCACAGAGGACUAGCCUCACUCACGGUAGAUCUUCACGGAGUAGGCGAUAUCCUUGCCCUUACAAACAUCUUGGUUCAACUCCACAACAUGAAGUAGGAGGCUCCCAAGCGACUCCUAACCAAUCUAUGAGGCACCACUUUCCAAAAGAUAAUAGAUGUGGUAGAUGUUGGGGAACGUCGCAUGGGAAACAAAAAAUUUCCUACGCGCACGAAGACCUAUCAUGGUGAUGUCCAUCUACGAGAGGGGAUUUCUGAUCUACGUACCCUUGUAGAUCGCACAGCAGAAGCAUUAGUGAACGCGGUUGAUGUAGUGGAACGUCCUCACGUCCCUCGAUCCGCCCCGCGAACCGUCCCACGAACCGUCCCGCGAUCCGUCCCACGAUCUAGUGCCGAACGGACGGCACCUCCGCGUUCAGCACACAUACAGCUCGACGAUGAUCACGGCCUUCUUGAUCCAGCAAGAGAGACGGAGAGGUAGAUGAGUUCUCCAGCAGCGUGACGGCGUUCCGGAGGUUGGUGAUGAUCUAAUCUUGGCAGGGCUCCGCCCAAGUUCCGCAGAGACGCGNUCUUCGUUUCCGGACCAUUCCGGAAACCCUCGUGACGUCCGUGAUCUCAUCCGGGACUCCUAACAAAAUUCGGUAACCAACCAUAUAACUCAAAUAUGCAUAAAACAACGUCGAACCUUAAGUGUGUAGACCCUGCGGGUUCGAGAACUAUGUAGACAUGACCCGAGUGACUCCUCGGUCAAUAUCCAAUAGCGGGACCUGGAUGCCCAUAUUGGAUCCUAGAUAUUCUACGAAGAUCUUAUCGUUUGAACCUCAGUGCCAAGGAUUCAUAUAAUCUCGUAUGUCAUUCCCUUUCUCCUUUGGUAUGUUACUUGCCCGAGAUUCGAUCGUCAGUAUCCGCAUACCUAGUUCAAUCUCAUUUACCGGCAAGUCUCUNNNNNNNNNNNNNNNNNNNNNNNNNNNNNNNNNNNNNNNNNNNNNNNNNNNNNNNNNNNNNNNNNNNNNNNNNNNNNNNNNNNNNNNNNNNNNNNNNNNNNNNNNNNNNNNNNNNNNNNNNNNNNNNNNNNNNNNNNNNNNNNNNNNNNNNNNNNNNNNNNNNNNNNNNNNNNNNNNNNNNNNNNNNNNNNNNNNNNNNNNNNNNNNNNNNNNNNNNNNNNNNNNNNNNNNNGAGUGGGCCCCGAGAUAACUCUCCGUCACACGGAGUGACAAAUCCCAAUCUCGAUCCAUACUAACUCAACGAACACCUUCGGAGAUACCUGUAGAGCAUCUUUAUAGUCCCCCAGUUACGUUGUGACGUUUGAUACACACAAAGCAUUCCUCCGGUGUCACUGAGUUAUAUGAUCUCAUGGUCAUAGGAACAAAUACUUGACACGCAGAAAACAGUAGCAACAAAAUGACACGAUCAACAUGCUACGUCUAUUAGUUUGGGUCUAGUCCAUCACAUGAUUCUCCUAAUGAUGUGAUCCCGUUAUCAAGUGACAAGACUUGCCUAUGGUCAGGAAACCUUGACCAUCUUUGAUCAACGAGCUAGUCAACUAGAGGCUUACUAGGGACAGUGUUUUGUCUAUGUAUCCACACAUGCACUGUGUUUCCAAUCAAUACAAUUAUAGAAUGGAUAAUAAACGAUUAUCAUGAACAAAGAAAUAUAAUAAUAACUAAUUUAUUAUUGCCUCUAGGGCAUAUUUCCAACAGUAUCCCACUUGCACUAGAGUCAAUAAUCUAGUUCACAUCACCAUGUGAUUCCAACGAAUCGAACACCCAUAUAGUCAUGGGGUCUGAUCACGUCUUGCCCGUGAGAGCGGUUUUAGUCAACGGUUCUGAAACUUUCAGACCCGUGUGUUCUUUACAAAUCUUUAUGUCAUCUUAUAGAUGCUGCUACUAUGUGCUAUUCGGAAAUACUCCAAAUAUCUACUCUACUGUACGAAUCCGUUUCACUACUCAUAGUUACUCGGAUUAGUGUCAAAUCUUGCAUCGACGUAACCCUUUACGACGAACUCUUUAACCACCUCCAUAAUCGAUAAAAAUUCCUUAGUCCAUCAGUUACUAAGGAUAAAUUUUGACCGCUGCUAGUGAUUCAAUCAUGGAUCACUCUCUAUACCUCUCAACAGACUUUGAGUCAAGGCACACAUCAGGUGCGGUACCCAGCAUGGCAUACUUCAGAUUCUAUGGCCAAGGCAUAGAAGACGACCUUCGUCUAUUCUCUUUAUUCUGCCGGGGUCGGGUUUUGAGUCUUACUCAAAUUCACACCUCACAACGCAACCAAGAACUCCUUCUUUGCUGAUCUAUUUUGAACUCCUUCAAAAACUUGUCAAGGCAUGGAUCUUGUUGAAACUUCCAUUAAGCGCUUUCGAUCUAUCUCCAUAGAUCUUUGAUGCUCAACGUUCAAGUAGCGCAAUCCAGGUACUCCUUUGAAAACUCCUUUCAAACAACCUUGUAUGCUUUACAGAAAUUCUAUAUUACUUCUGAUCCACAAUAUGUCAACCACAUAUACUUAUUAGAAAUUCUAUUGUGCUCCCACUCACUUCUUUGGAAAUACAAGUUUCUCAUAAACUUUGUACAAACCGAAAAUCUUUGAUCAUCUCAUCAAAGUGUAUAUUCCAACUCCGAGAUGCUUGCACCAGUCCAUUGAAGGAUCGCUAGAGCUUGCAUACUUGCUAGUAUCUUUAGGUUCGACAAAACCUCCUGGUUGUAUCACAUACAAUGUUUGCUCAAGGAAACCGUCGAGGAAACAAUGUUUGGACAUCCUAUGUGCAAUAUUUCAUAAAUAAUGCAACAACUACUAACAUAAUUCUAACAGACUUUUAGCAUCGCUACGAGUGAGAAAGUCUCAUCAUAGUCAACUGUUUGAUCUUGUCGGAAACAUCUUUGCGACAAGUCGAGCUUUUCUUAAUAGUGACUUAUCACCAUCAUCGUCUGUCUUCCUUUUAAAGAUCCAUCUUUACUCAACAGUCCUAUGACCAUCAAGUAGUUCUUCCAAAGUCUACACUUUGUUUUCAUACAUGGAUCCUCUCUCGGAUUUCAUGGCUUCCAGCCAUUUGUCGGAAUCCGGGCCCACCAUUGCUUUCUCCAUAACUCGUAGGUUCACUGUUGCUCAACAAUAUGACCUCCAAGACAGGGUUACCGUACCACUCUGUAGUAGUACGUGACCUUGUCAACCUACGAGGUUUGUAGUAACUUGAUCCGAUGCUCGAUGAUCACCAUCAUCAGCUUUCACUUCAAUUGGUGUAGGCGCCACAGGAAUAACUUCAUGCACCCUGCUACACACUAGUUGAAGUGAUGGUUCAAUAACCUCAUUAAGUUCUACCACCCUCCCACUCAAUUCUUUCGAGAGAAACCUUUCCUCAAGAAAGGAUUCGUUUCUAGAAACAAACACUUUGCUUUCGGAUCUGAGAUAGGAGAUGUACCCAAUUGUUUUGGAUAUCCUAUGAAAAUGCAUUUAUCCGCUUUGGGUUUGAGCUUAUUCGACUGAAACUUUUCACACAAGUGUCGAAGCCCCAAACUUUCAAGAAACGACAGUUUAGAUUUCUCUAAACCUCAGUAUAUAUUGUGUCAUCUCAACGGAAAUACGCGGUGCCCUAUUUAAAGUGAAUGCGGUUGUCUCUAAUGCAUAACCCAUAAACGAUAGUGGUAAUUCGAUAAGAGACAUCAUAGCAUGCACCAUACCAAAUAGUGCGUGGCUAUGACGUUCAGACACAUCAUCACACUAUGAUGUUCGAGGUGGCAUGAACUACGAAACACUUUCCACAUUGUCUUAACUGCGUACCAAAACUCGUAACUCAUAUAUUCAUUUCUAUGAUCAUCUCGUAGACAGUUUAUCCUCUUGUUACGACGAACUUCACUCCUGAAACAGAAUUGAACCUUUCAAUAUUUCAGACUUGUGAUUCAUUAAGUAAAUACUCUUGUAUCUGCUCAAAUCGUCAUUGAAGUAAGAACAUAAUGAUAUCCACUGCGUGCCUCAGCACCCAUUGGACUACAUACAUCAAAAUGUAUCACUUCCAACAAGUUACUAUCUUGUUUCAUCUCAAUGAAAACAAGGCCUUGCUCAUGUGGUAUGAUUUGCAUGUCACUAGUGAUUCAAAAUCAAGUGAGUAUAAAGAUCCAUCAGCAUGGAGCCUCUUCAUGCAAUUUAUACCAACAUGACUCAAGCGGCAGUGCCACAAGUAAGUGGUACUAUCAUCAUUACCUCGUAUCUUUUGGCACCAAUAUUAUGAACAUGUGUAACACUACGAUCGAGAUUCAAUAAACCAUUGAAGGUGAUUUAUUCAAGCAAAUAGAGUAACCAUUAUUCUCUUUAAAUGAAUAAUCGUAUUGCAAUAAACACGAUCCAAUCAUGUUCAUGCUUAACGCAAGUACCAAAUAACAAUUAUUUAGGUUUAACACCAAUCCCGAUGGUAGAUGGAGUGUGCGACGUUUGAUCAUAUCAACCUUGGAAACACUUCCAAUACAUAUCGUCACCUCGCCUUUAGCUAGUCUCCGUUUAUGCCGUAGCUUUCAUUUCGUGUUACUAAUCACUUAGCAACCAAACCGGUAUCCAAUACCCUCGUGCUACUAGGAGUACUAGUAAAGUACACAUCAACAUCAUGUAUAUCAAAUAUACUUCUUUCGACUUUUGCCAGCCUUCUUAUCUACCAUGUAUCUAGAGUUAUUCCGCCUCAGUGACUGUUCCCCUCAUUACAGAAGCACUUAGUCUCGGGUUUGGGUUUAAUCUUGGGUCUCUUCAUUAGUGCAGCAACUGUUUUGCUAUUUCACGAAGUAUCCCUUCUAGCCCUUGCCAUUCUUGAAACUUAGUGGUUUUACUAACCAUCAACUAUUGAUGCUCCUUCUUGAUUUCUACUUUCGCAGUGUCAAACAUCGCGAAUCUCUCAAGGAUCAUUGUAUCUAUCCUUGAUAUGUUAUAGUUCAUCACGAAGCUCUCACAGCUUGGUGGCAGUGACUUUGGAGAACCAUCACUAUUUCAUCUGGAAGAUUAACUCCCACUUGAUUCAAGCGAUUGUCGUACUCAGACAAUCUGAGCACACGCUCAACGAUUGAGAUUUUCUCCUUUACUUUGUGGACAAAGAAUCUUGUCGGAGGUCUCGUACCUCUUAACAAGGGCACAAGCAUGAAAUCACAAUUUCAUCUCUUUUAGAACAUCACUUAUGUUCCGUGACGUUUCAAAACGUCUUCGGCGCCUUGCUUCUAAGCCAUUAAGUAUUUUGCACUGAACUAUCGUGUAGUCAUCAGAAACGUGUAUGUCGGAUGUUCACAGCAUCCACAGACGACGCUCGAGGUGCAGCACACCGAGUGGUGCAUUAAGGACAUAAGCCUUCUGCGCAGCAACAAGGACAAUCAUCUGCAAAGUUUGCUACCAUCAACUUUCAACUAAAUUUUCUCUAGGAAUAUAUAAAAACAGUAGAGCUAUAGCGCAAGCUACAUCGUAAUUCGCAAAGACCAUUAGACUAUGUUCAUGACAAUCAGUUCAAUUAAUCAUAUUACUUAAGAACUCCCACUCAAAAAGUACAUCUCUUUAGUCAUUUGAGUGGUACAUGAUCCAAAUCCACUAUCUCAAGUCCGAUCAUCACGUGAGUCGAGAAUAGUUUCAGUGGUAAGCAUCUCUAUGCUAAUCAUAUCAACUAUACGAUUCAUGCUCGACCUUUCGCUCUCAUGUGUUCCGAGGCCAUGUCUGCACAUGCUAGGCUCAUCAAGCUUAACCCGAGUGUUCCGCGUGUGCAACUGUUUUGCACCCGUUGUAUGUGAACGUUGAGUCUAUCACACCCGGUCAUCACGUGGUGUCACGAAACGAAGAACUGUCGCAACGGUGCACAAUUGGGGAGAACACAAUUUCGUCUUGAAAUUUUAGUGAGAGAUCACCUCAUAAUGCUACCGUCGUUCUAAGCAAAAUAAGGUGCAUAAAGGAUUAACAUCACAUGCAAUUCAUAAGUGACAUGAUAUAGCCAUCAUCAUGUGCUUCUUGAUCUCCAUCACCAAAGCACCGGCACGAUCUUCUUGUCGCCAGCAUCACACCAUGAUCUCCAUCAUCAUGAUCUCCAUCAACGUGUCGCCAUCGGGGUUGUCGUGCUACUCAUGCUAUUACUACUAAAGCUACGUCCUACAAUAUAGUAAACGCAUCUGCAAGCACAAAUGUUAAUUUAAAGACAACCCUAUGGCUCCUGCCGGUUGCCGUACCAUCGACGUGCAAGUCGAUAUUAACUAUUACAACAUGAUCAUCUCAUACAUCCAAUAUAUCACAUCACAUCGUUGGCCAUAUCACAUCACAAGCAUACCCUGCAAAAACAAGUUAGACGUCCUCUAAUUGUUGUUGCAUGUUUUACAUGGUGACCAUGGGUAUCUAGUAGGAUCCCAUCUUACUUACGCAAACACCACAACGGAGAUGUAUGAAUUGCUAUUUAACCUCAUCCAAGGACCUCCUCGGUCAAAUCAGAUUCAACUAAAGUUCGAGAAACCGACACUUUCCAGUCAUCUUUGAGCAACGGAGUUACUCGUAGCGAUGAAACCAGUCUCUCGUAAGCGUACGAGUAAUGUCGGUCCAAGCCGCUUCAAUCCAACAAUACCGCAGAAUCAAGAAAAGACUAAGGAGGGCAGCAAGACGCACAUCACCGCCCACAAAAACUUUUGUGUUCUACUCGAGAUUACAUCUACGCAUGGAUGCCACUGUUGGGGAACGUCGCAUGGGAAACAAAAAAUUUCCUACGCGCACGAAGACCUAUCAUGGUGAUGUCCAUCUACGAGAGGGGAUUUCCGAUCUACGUACCCUUGUAGAUCGCACAGCAGAAGCGUUAGUGAACGUGGUUGAUGUAGUGGAACGUCCUCACGUCCCUCGAUCCGCCCCGCGAACCGUCCCACGAACCGUCCCGCGAUCCGUCCAACGAUCAAGUGCCGAACGGACGGCACCUCCGCGUUCAGCACACGUACAGCUCGACAAUGAUCUCGGCCUUCUUGAUCCAGCAAGAGAGAUGGAGAGGUAGAUGAGUUCUCCGACAGCGUGACGGUGUUCCGGAGGUUGGUGAUGAUCUAAUAUUGGCAGGGCUCCGCCCGAGUUCCGCAGAGACGCGNNNNNNNNNNNNNNNNNNNNNNNNNNNNNNNNNNNNNNNNNNNNNNNNNNNNNNNNNNNNNNNNNNNNNNNNNNNNNNNNNNNNNNNNNNNNNNNNNNNNNNNNNNNNNNNNNNNNNNNNNNNNNNNNNNNNNNNNNNNNNNNNNNNNNNNNNNNNNUCUUCGUUUCCGGACCAAUCCGGAAACCCUCGUGACGUCCGUGAUCUCAUCCGGGACUCCGAAAAACAUUCGGUAACCAACCAUAUAACUCAAAUACGCAUAAAUCAACUUCGAACCUUAAGUGUGCACACCCUGCGGGUUCGAGAACUAUGUAGACAUGACCCGAGUAACUCCUCGGUCAAUAUCCAAUAGCGGGACCUGUAUGCCCAUAUUAGAUCCUACAUAUUCUACGAAGAUCUUAUCGUUUGAACCUAGUGCCAAGGAUUCAUAUAAUCUCGUAUGUCAUUCCCUUUGUCCUUUGGUAUGUUACUUGCCCGAGAUUCGAUCGUCAGUAUCCGCAUACCUACUUCAAUCUCGUUUACCGGCAAGUCUCUUUACUCGUUCCGUAAUACAAGAUCCCGCAACUUACACUAAGUCACAUUGCUUGCAAGGCUUGUGUGUGAUGUUGUAUUACCGAGUGGGCCCCGAGAUACCUCUCCGUCACACGGAGUGACAAAUCCCAAUCUCGAUCCAUACUAACUCAACGAACACCUUCAGAGAUACCUGUAGAGCAUCUUUAUAGUCACCCAAUUACGUUGCGACGUUUGAUACACAUAAAGCAUUCCUCCGGUGUCAGUGAGUUAUAUGAUCUCAUGGUCAUAGGAACAAAUACUUGACACGCAGAAAACAGUAGCAACAAAAUGACACGAUCAACAUGCUACGUCUAUUAGUUUGGGUCUAGUCCAUCACAUGAUUCUCCUAAUGAUGUGAUCCCGUUAUCAAGUGACAAGACUUGCCUAUGGUCAGGAAACCUUGACCAUCUUUGAUCAACGAGCUAGUCAACUAGAGGCUUACUAGGGACAGUGUUUUGUCUAUGUAUCCACACAUGCAUUGUGCUUCCAAUCAAUACAAUUAUAGCAUGGAUAAUAAAAGAUUAUCAUGAACAAAGAAAUAUAAUUAUAACUAAUUUAUUAUUGCCUCUAGGGCAUAUUUCCAACAGUAGAACGAUGAACUCCUUGCUCUUGUGCUUCUAAAGAUAGUCUCCUCAACACUCAAUCACCCUCUCUCAGAUUUGGCAGUGGUAGGAGAGAUUGAUAUUGUGGAAAGCAACUUGGGGAGGCUAGAAAUGAAGGUUCAAACGGUUGGAAUGGAAUCUCUUGAUCUCAACACAUGAGUAGGUGGCUCUGUCUCAGAAAAAUAGAUCUGGCAAGUGUGGGUGUGUGUGUGUGUGAUCUAAGUGCUUCCUCCAUGAAUGAGAGGUAGGUGGAGGGGUAUAUAUAGGCAUCCCCCAAAACCCAACCAUUACAACAUUAUUUCGCAACUUGGUGACACCGAAAUGUAUCUCAGUGGUACCGAGUUGCAUUAAAUGUGGCAACUUUUGAUUUCUCGGUGAGACUAAUAUAGGAUUUUUGGUGGUACCUAGACCAAUUUCCAAAUCUCGGUGACACCAAUUUCUAACUCAGAAAUUUUGAUUCUUGAAAUAUUCUCAACAGAAAGUUGGUCACUGAAUCUCGGUGGCACCGAUAUGAAUGUUGGUGGUAUCGAGAUGGUAGGGUUUGGCAUAGGAUCUGUGAAUUGUAAAAUGGGUAAGGUCGAAUGGAAAUUAUUGGUGGCACCGAUUUUGCUGAUAUGGGUUUGGACAGAGAUAUUUUGUGGGAGAAUGGUUGAGUAUUUUUUUGCUGCCUACCUCUAAGCACUUGAGCAACCAAUUCAUCAUAAUACCUCAUCCCCUUUUAAUAUUUUUGACUUUGCUAUGGACUCAAAGUGAUUUCUCACAAAGUAUAAAAUGAAGAGUCUUCUUGCUUGAAGCUUUAGCCAAUCCUAUUCCUUCCUUCAUCAAGGGGCAUCUCCUUACAAUCCUAUAGCCAAAGCAUCUUUGAACUUUUCUGAAAUAUACUUUGAUAAACUCAUUAGUGCAAUGAUGCAGAUGUUGUGAUUAAUUACCAAAACCAACUUAGCGAGCAAUUGUGCUUACAAUCUCCUCCUUUUCGGUAAUUGAUGACAACAUAUAGAUCAAAGCUUCGACAAAAGAUAUAAUCAAUGAUUAGCAUCGACGCUUUCAGAAGUAUGUGAAAAACAAGAGCUCCCCCUAAAUUUGUGCAUUAUUUUAAAUUUGCGUUUGAAUGCAAAUGCACAAUCGAUUAGGAUCAUGGGUUACCCUUCCAUGUCACAUACAACAUGGUGGUGCGCAUAAAUGAUAUGAAUGAAUAGUAAUGCACAUAAUAACCAAACAAGACGUGAAUUAUCAACAUGUAGAUAGCCCAAAAUUAAUAAUGUGGUAUCAUCAAACAACCAUAGUGUAUGAUCAAACACACCUCUAAAGGAUUAAGUCAUCCAAAAUAUCAAAAGCUUGGAAAACCCAAAUGAGAGCAGAUAAAAUGCAACGCUCUCUCUCUCUCUCUNNNNNNNNNNNNCUCUCUCUCUCUCUCUCGAAGCCCUAUUUGAUUUGUACACUUCUCCCCCUUUGGCAACAAGUUACCAAAAAGUUAAAAGGUCUAGAACUAAACGUCUCUCUGGGCACGACCUCCUACGGUAGCUGAAGAUGGACUAGACAAGUGAGCAUAAACGAAGGCUUGUGCAGAUGCCACUAGAGCUGGAGGUGUAGACAUUGGAGGUUGAGGAGCACGAGUUGAAGCUUGAGCUGACGAAGAUGGUCUGACUUCCGGUACUUGCACAACUGCUAACCUAGUCUCGGUCGUCAACUGAGUGGUACUAGGAAGAGGCGAAUCAUCAUCAUCAUCAUCAUCACUGCAGGAGCGUGGAAUCUUCACUAACUCAACUUCAUGUUGAAGUUACUGAAUAGUGGUGGUCAACUCCGUCACCUUAACAUCCAGGUCAUGGAAUUUUGUCUCGACGAUCCUCUCUAGGAUCUUCUGGUUCAGCAAGAUCUAAGAAACUUUCUUCUCCAUCCCUUUGAUGGUGCUGAUCGAGAAGGACAUUUUCUCAUCUCUGGUUUUGAGUUGUGGGGGUUGAGCUCGAGCAUUCCUAGCAGCCUCUGCAACUCCUGCCUCUGCUGCCUCUCUAGCAGCAGCUGAGCUGGGAUGGGUAUCAUCCAUCACAAAUUCAUUAUCUUCAAAAUCAGGUUAAAGAGGCAGGUGGGGACGAUAAAGUUGAUAUGCAUGCUUUCCAAUCUUGGCAUUGAUGAGCGUAUGAAUGUAUGGAGCAUUGAUACGUCUCCAUCGUAUCUACUUUUCCAAACUCUUUUGCCCUUGUUUUGGACUCUAUUUUGCAUGAUUUGAAUGGAACUAACCUGGACUGACGUUGUUUUCAGCAGAAUUGCCUUGGCGUUAUUUUUGUGCAGAAAUCAAAGUUCUCCAAAUGUCCUGAAAAUCUACGGGGAGCAGUUUUGGAAAAUAUGAAAAAUAUCUGCGCCAAGUUCCACCUGAGGGGGUGGGCCAGUGGGCCACAAGGCCUAGCUCCGCCACCACCCCCCUGGUGGCGGUGGGCAGGCUUGUGGGGCCCACACGGCUCUGGCGCCCCCAACCUCAGGUCUAUAAGUUCACUUUCGUCCCACAAAAAAUAAAAAGAGAAGUUUUCGUCGUGUUUGCGAUACGGAGCCGCCGCCACCACCUGUUCUUCAUGUGGAGGGAAGAUCUGGAGUCCAUCUUGUGCUCCGGAGAGGGGAAAUCGUCGCCAUUGUCAUCAUCAACCUUCUUCCCUCUCCAAUUCCAUGAAGCUCUUCGUCGUUCGUGAGUAAUCUAUUCGUAGGCUCGCUGGGCAGUGAUGAGUAGGAUGAGAUCUAUCAUGUAAUCGAGUUAGUUUUGAUGGGGAUUGAUCCCUAGUAUCCACUAUGUUCUGAGAUUGAUGUUGCUACUACUUUGCCAUGCUUAAUGCUUGUCACUAGGGCCCGAGUGACAUGAUUUCAGAUCUGAAAUUAUUAUGUUGUCACCAAUAUAUGUGUGUUUUAGAUCCGAUCUGGCAAGUUGUAGUUACCUACUAUGUGUUAUGAUCCGGCAACCCCGGAGUGAAAAUAACCGGAACCACUCCCGGUGAUGACCAUAGUUUGAGGAGUUCAUGUGUUCACCAAGUGCUAAUGCGUUGGUCCGGUUCUUCAUUAGAAGGAGAACCUUAAUAUCCCGUAGUUUCCUUUUGGACCCCGCUGCCACGGGAGGGAUGGACAAUAGAUGUCAUGCAAGUUCUUUUCCCUAAGCACGUAUGACGACACACGGAAUGCAUGCCUACAUCACAUUGAUGAACGGGAGCUAGCCACUUAUCUCUCUGUGUUAUAACUGUUGCAUGAUGAAUAUCAUCCAAACAAAUCACUGACCCAUUGCCUACGAGUUUGUCCUUCUGCUGUUGUUACUUGUCAUGCUCUGCUGCUACUGUUGCUACUACUGUCGCUUGCUGUUGUUACUACUGUUGUUGUUGUUGUUCCUUGUCUUGCUCUGCUGCUACUGUUGCUACUACUGUUGCUUGCUACUGUUGCUACUUGCUACUGCUGUCACUAUCGUUGUUCCUUGCCACUGCCGUUACUCGCUACUUUGUUGUUACUACUUUGCUUGCAGAUACUAAUCUUUCAGGUGUGGUUGAAUCUGACAAAUUCAACUGCUAAUACUCGAGAGUAUUCUCUCACCUCCUGUUUUGGCGAUCAAUAAAUUUGGGUUGAAUACUCUACCCUCAAAAACUGCUACGAUCCCACGCGCUGGUGGGCGUCAACAACAUUCGUCUAGUUUCGAUUGCCGGAGAGUGCUAGCAGCAUUCUUAUGGUGCCGUUACAAGGGGAAGAACAAUUGACAUCAAGCAUAUGCACAAGAUCUCUUUUGAUCUGUAGUAGUCCUCUUGACAGUCUCAACUAUCAAGUCCAUCACUCGAAACCAGGCCUAGGUGUCUAGAUGAUGCAGCAUGUUGAUGGAAUAGCCUAUAAUCAUCUUGUCAUCACCUGACUUGGGCAUCAGGAUGUGUCUCAUAAUAGUGUUUGUAGUGGGUAUUCCUGCUUGCAGAAAGUAGACAAAGUCAAGUUUGUGAGACGGCAGAUAAUCAUUGGGCACAACCUUAUACAUGUUGCCAUGGAGUUGUGAUUCAUCUUGAGUUGUGAAUACACAUCCAAGUCCUCUUCACGUGCUUUAGGAGCACCAAUAAUAGUGGCCCAUUCAUCAACAGUGGCUUCAUACCGGUGACCCUCAGUCAUCCAAAUAAUUCUUCCAUCAGAAUAGAAAUGAGAGGUGGAAUGGAAUUGCAUGAUCAUCUCACCAUUCCAUGCAGUCAUCUCCUUGCCAAUAAAAUCUUCAAUAUGAAUCAUCCUGAAAUUUUCUCUCACAUGAGGAAAAUAGUGUUCAUUGGCCUUGAUGUAUUCCCAAUCGACAUAUCUCAUGUCGCAGUCUGCAGGAUUCUUGUCAAGCAACACUGUCUCAUAGAAAAUUUGUUGUUCCCUUGUGUGAAAGCGGGGAUCAACAAUGGUUCUCCUUCUCAUAGCAUAUGGAUCAACAAACCUCCAGUUCCUUAGACCUGCAUCUUUCCUAUCAUUCAUGUCCUCAGUAACUAGGUGAGAUGCAUUAUGAGUUGGCAGAUGAGGUCUCAGCUUCAUAAGCACAGGGGCAUCCUCAUCUUCCUCAGCAGAAAAAUCUCUGGCCGCACAGCCUUUGUUUUUCUCAGCUACAGGAAUAUCCUUGGUAGUCCUCUUGUGAGCUAUAGGCUUCUUAGGAGCUGAAGACUUCUUCAGAGCAGAAGGUUUCUUUGUCAUAGCAUCACCCAUCAGCUUAGUCUUCUUUGGAGGAGGGACCUCAGCUGGAAUUUCUUCCUCAUCAUCAGCUUCAGCAGUCUGUGCUGGAUCUUCAUACAUAGAGGUUUGCCUACCAAUGACAUGAAUAUUUCUUUUCUGGGAUCUCUUCACACCUGGCUUCUUGUUAAGCCUAGCUUCAUAAGGUUUAGCAUAAUCCUUCUUCACAGUCUUCCUGACUGUGGUCUUCUCCUUCUGCUUCUAGGGAGCACGUUCCUGAGGGAUGAAAUCAGCAUCUUCUUCAUCAGAAUUGAGCUUCCUUCUAGACAUGGUAGCUACCUUAUCCAUACCAUGGGAGCUCGGAGAACCUCUGUCAGAAGGGGUCCUCUCGGGACUAGUGCGUGAGUCAGUUUCAGCAUGGGGCUCACUGAAGUUGUUCUGACUAUCCUCUAAACCUGACAUCUUCCAAGACUAAGUAGACAAGAACACUAGUAGACGAGGUGACCUUGUGAAAAAAUAUAGAAGAGGUUGAAAAGAUAAGCAUCACAAAAUUGCAAAAGUUUGGUCAAAUUUGAACUCUAAAAAAAUUAGUUUUAACUUUCAGCAAAAUAGGAUUUCGGUACCACCGAGUCAGAAAUUUCACUGCAACCGAGACACAUGUCCUCUUUAACAGAAACUUGGCCCCUUUUCGUUUUCACCGAAAAAGAGAACUCGGCUCCACCGAAAACAUUCUGAGUAACCCUAAAACCAAAAUCGGUAAGACCGAUUUUUGCAACUCGGUGACACCGAGAUUCAAUCUUGCGAAUAGCUAACCCUAAAAUUUAGUUUUCUUCCCGAUCUAAGGAUUUUUUUCUACAGGAUAUAACUUGUAGCAAUUGUGGGAAGAUAAUGGCACUUCCUAAUUGCCCAAGGAAUCAGAUUGGAGCGCAGAAAGGAGAUCGGAUCCAUACCCUAACUCGGUGUGGAUUCUCUACGAUGGCAAUGGCGGUGAAGAAUCCGUCGGCGGCGAGGACUCCCGGCGAAGGCGCACGGGAGAAUCAAGUAGAUGUCCGGGGACUAGGGCACGACAUCAAAGGGGUGUGUCUUCCAGCGUUUGAAGAAAUUUUCAAUCGUCGGGCUCUGCUCGUAUAUAUAUCCCUUUGCUGUCGGUGACACCGAGAUGAAAUUAUUGGUGCGACUGAGUUCCACAACAGUCAGCUCACAGUGAAACUCGGUGAGGCCGAAAAGCUAAACUCGGUUGCAUCGAGAUGAUAAAACCUGAUCAACCCUAGGCUUCAGUAGGACCGAGAUUUUGAGGUUGAUCACACCAAGAUGCACUUUGGGAGGAUUUGAAAAUUAAGCCCUUGUCGAGAAGGAUCUCCGAGUGCUCCUCACACAGAGUGUCCCUAAAGUGCUUGCUCAAAUUUUGUGAUGAAGCAUGAAUAGAAUUUGAGACGAGAAAGCAUAGAUAGCUAGAAAGGGGUACUUAUGAAUUCUUGUAUAUCCAAUUGGCCAAAACAAAUACAAAGUCAAAUAACAACAAUUGGACAUCCUCGAAUGAGAAAAACAUGCAUACCAACAUGCUCACACAAUAGGAUGUCAAAUAAAACAUGGUGAACAUGCACAAACAUUCUAGCAUCUAUCAAGCACUUUGGCGAUGAUGAAAUCAUCUAUAUAUGAGUAUAUUGGAUUAGGAGUCAAGUAAGAAUACUUGGUCAUAGGUCAUACUCAUCGAUUAAGCACAAGUGGGGUUACCACUUUUACAUAAUGCAUUAAUGUGUUCAAAUCAUUUAGGAGAUGCUUAUACUCAAGUCUUAGAGUAAAGCUCCCCCUAGAUGUUACAUCCCCCCUAAGAGGGAUAAACUAACCUUGGAUUUUGUCGUAGAAGACUUUAAUUUGGUGUAGUAGAGGUGGAUUCUCAUUGUUGAUGAAGAUAAUCUUGAGUUGGGAGCAAUCCUUGUUGUUCCUUACUCUUCUCACCUACAUGGGUUAGUCCCAAAGCAAAAGGAACACAUGCAAGGAUAUCUAUGGACAUAGAAUGAAAUACAUGGGAGGUGAUGUCCGAAGAUGCAUUAAUUACCUUGUCCCUUGCUCACCUUUGAGGGAAUGUGUGACUCCUUGAACUAAUGCAUGUGGUUGGAGUUGAUUGCAUAUAGUUCUUGCCAAAAUGAAUAAGUGUGAAUUUCAUUGGCGGAGUCACCCCUCAAGAACUUUCUAGUUCUUCCUCUUGGGGACCCACAUCACCUUGAUGGGGAUCCUUGGAGUUGUGGUAGCACUAGAUGAGUUAGUACUAGAAGUGUCCUUAAGAACCCAGUCGACCUUGGCUUGUGGUUCUUCCUUAUAUGAGUCAAUCUCCUCUUGAAGCUUUUCCUUGCCCUUGUGGUCUUGUGGUACAAGUACAUAUUGAGAGCUUGUUCCCUCGGGAGGAGUAGGAUCAUACUUCUCCUCUUGAGGAACACUGUUGGGAAUGGGAUAUGGACCUUCUUCCCAAACAUCUCCGUGGACGUUGAAGUAGCCAACACCUUGCUUCUUUCGAUGUCAUCCUUGCUUGCGCACAAUUUCCUCAAAUUGCUUACUUCCGGCAAGACACCCAAAGACACCUCUCUCUAUAAUUCCUUUUAAUAAAUCAUUUUCUUGCUCAAGUGUAACUUGCCUAAGAGAAUAAUUAGUGGAAUCAAUAGAGCUACUAGCAACAACAUCAUUUGAUCUAGCUUUAGCAUUGUUGUUACUAGAUGAAGAAACUUUAUUGCCUUUGUUACUAGUGUUAUUAGGUUUAACUUGUCGAACAAAAGUAGAGAAGAGGAAUUGUUUGGCUAGAUAAGAGGAACUCUUAUUUCAAAGAUCAUUGUCAUUUGAUUUCUCUUGACUAGCAUGAAUAUUUUCAAGUUCAUUUUCAAUGUUAUCACUAGUCUUAUCAAAGAGCAAGUCAUCAUCUCCUAACUACGCAUCCUCAUCACUACCAAAGUCAAAGUACUCGGAGUGUGAUACCUUAGGGACUUUUGCCAUGAAGCAGCUUCCAAUCCCUUCAUUUGGUGAAUCAAAUAAUUCGUAGGAGUUAGAGGAAAUGAGUGCAAGACUAGCAACACCUUCAUCUUGACUGUAGUCAGAGUUGGAGUGAUAUCUUCUCUUGGAUUAGUUGUAUGACUCGAAGCUGGAAACCCAUUCACCAAUGUGAGAUUGAUGUCUUCUUCUUGAACUACUCUUGGUGUACUUGUCCUUCUUCUUCGAUUAUUUGCCUUUGCGGGAGUGCCUUCGUACAUAAUGAUCUUCUAUACUCCUUCUCUCUCUGCGAGGUGACUCAUCUAUUGAGCUUCGUCUUCUAGGUGACUAUUCUCUUCGUUUGUGGGGAGCCGAGCACUCAUUGGAAUAGUGUUCAAGCUUUCCACAGUUGUAGCAGUUUCGGUCACGACUAGACUAGCGCUUAUCAUCAUAUCUUGAGCUUGAGCUUCUUUCUUUGCCUCUACUCUUGUAGAACUUGUUGAAUUUUCUCACCAUGAGGUUGAUAUCUUCAUUGGUAAAAAGGUUGUCACUUGAAGUAAUAGGAGCAUCGCUUGAAGUUUUGUAAGCACCGCUUGACUUGUUGUGCAACUCAUCUUUGUCCUUGAGAGACAUUUCAUGAGAAAAAAUCCUUCCAAUGACUUCAGUUGGCUUGAGAUCCUUGUAGCUUGUCAUCAUUUGGAUUAAUGUGCACACGGUGUCGUAUCUUCCAUCCAAGGCUCUAAAUAUCUUCUUGAUGAUGAAUUUGUCGAUCAUCUCUUCACUUCCUAAGCCAGCAAUCUCAUUUGUGAUGAGAGCUAGCCUUGAAUACAUCUCAGGGACUCCUUCACCAUCCUUCAUCUUGAACUUGUCAAGCUGACUUUAAAGCACAUCCAACUUAGAUUCCAUGACAGAAUCAGUUUUUUCGUGCAUAUCCAUCAAAGUAUCCCAAAUUUCCUUUGCAUUCUCAAGGCAACUGAUUUAGUUGAGUUCUUCGGGACACAAGCAGUUGAACAGAAUAUCACGGGCUUGAGCAUUGAAUUGCAGCAUCUUCACUUCUCCUGUUGUCGCAUCACGAUCCGGUUCUUUUCCUUCUCCGAAGAAAUCACCUUGCACACCAACAUGAACAAUAUCCCAAACGGCACGAUUAUGACCAAGAAUAUGCAUUUUCAUCUUAUGCUUCCAACUAGCAAAAUUAGUGCCAUCAAAAUAUGGACCUCUACGGUGAUAAUUUCCAUCACUAGACGCCAAACUCUCCUAGGUUGUGAAACCAAUGCAAUGGAGACCAAAGCUCUCAUAGCACUUGUAGGAUCGAAAGUAUGUCUAGAGGGGGUGAUUACACUGCUUGACAGGAUAAAAACCUAGACUUUUCCCAUUUUUAAGUGCGGGCUAGUUUUAACAAUUACGACUAGUCAAGUACACCCUACACAUGCACAUCUAAGAGUAUAAUAGCGGGAAGUAAAACAUGCAAGGUUAAAGUAGAGGGUAAGGUAGGGAGAUCAAACACAAAGGUUGACACAUUGAUUUUUGGCAUUGUUCCGGUAGGUGGCGCUAUUGUACGUCCAUGUUAGUGGAGACUUCAACCCACGAAGGGUAACGACGGCGAGAGUCCACGGAGGGCUCCACCCACAAGGGAUUCACGAAGAAGCGUCCUUGUCUAUUCCACCACUUCUUCCGCCCACACAGGACUAGCCUCACUCACGAUAGAUCUUCACGAAGUAGUGAUCUCCUUGCCCUUACAAACAUCUUGGUUCAACUCCAGAACACGAAGUAGGAGGUUCCCAAGCGACACCUAACCAAUCUAGGAGGCUUCAUCCUCCAAAAGGUAAUAGAUGUGGUAGAACGAUGAACUCCUUGCUCUUGUGUUUCUAAAGAUAGUCUCCUCAACACUCAAUCACUAUCUCUCAGAUUAGGAAGGGGUAGGAGAGAUUGAUCUUGUGGAAAGCAACUUGGGGAGGCUAGAAAUCAAGGUUCAAGGUUGGAAUGGAAUCUCUUGAUCUCAACACAUGAGUAGGUGGCUCUCUCUCAGAAAAAUGGAUCUCGCAAGUGUAUGUAUGUGUUCUGAGUGCUUCCUCUACUAAUGAGAGGUAGGUGGAGGGGUAUAUAUAUGCAUCCCCCAAAAUCCAACCGUUACAACAUUAUUGCCCAACUCGGUGACACCGAAAUGAAUCUUGGUGGUACCGAGGUGCACUAAAUGUGGCAACUUUUGAAUUCUCGGUGAGACCGAUAUAGAAAUCUCGGUGGUACCAAUAUGAUGACGUUGACCAGUUUCCAAAUCUUGGUGAGACUGAAUUGAAACUCGGAAAUUCUGAUUCAUGAAAUCUUCUCAACAAAAAGUUGGUCACUGAAUCUCGAUGGCAUCGAUAGGAAUGUUGGUGGUAACGAGAUGGUGGGGUUUGGCAUAGGAUUGUCAAGUGUAAAAUUGGUAAGGCCGAAUGGAAAUUGUUGGUGGUUCCGAUUUUGCUGAUAUGGGUUUGGACAGAGAUAUUUUGUGGGAGAAUAGGUGAGUAUUUUUGGUGGCUACCUCUAAGCACUUGAGCAACCAAUUCAUCAUAAUACCUCAUCCCCUUUUAAUAGUAUUGGCUUUCCUAUGGACUCAAAGAGAUUUCUCACAAAGUAUAAAAUGAAGAAUCUUCUUGCUUGAAGGUUGAGCCAAUCCUAUUCCUUCCUUCAUCAAGGGGCAUCUCCUCACAAUCCUAUAGCCAAAGCAUCUUUGAUUUUUUUUUAAAUAUACUUGGAUAAACUCAUUAGUCCAAUGAUGCAUAUGUUGUGAUUAAUUACCAAAACCACCUUAGGGAGCAAUUGUGCUUUCAGCCUUAGACAUCGUUCAUCUAGCAACGUCGAUGGAGGCACAAGAAUUGACUAAGGAUGCGAACGAAAGAAGGAAAGGUGUAAGUGCAUUUAGUGCCUUGUUUGUGUUUGUGUGUAUACAUAGGUGAAAGUCCCUGAUUUUUUAACCAAUUAUAGUGAACCCUAUAAAUAUGUUAAUGAAACCUUAAGACAUUGGUGCGUGGCAAAGGAGCACAGCAUGAAUUCUUAGAUCUUUAAUAGUUGCUUUUAAUUUUUUGGGGAUCCUAGGGCAAUUCAUACUGUUAAGGGGGUCCAGACGAUAUGAAGACAUCAUUUUGCAAAGUGUGCUCAACCCAAACCUAUUUCUUUGAAUCCGGACUUUGGAAAUCUCAUUGGGUGCAUGAUCAUUUCCUUUAUUGUCCUAGAUGAUAUUCCUCCGGGCACUAUAGUGAAAGCCCUCUCCAAAGAGUUUGGAAACCAUUAGCUUGGUUUUCCUACCGUGAGGAAAUUGAGAGUUUCCCCAUCUGGUAACAACACGUUGGUGGAUGCGUCCUUUUCAAUGGUCAUAUCGGUUCUUGGGUUGCGACCUCGACUAUAAAUAGCCACUCCCUCCAUCAUAAGUUGGUUGGUUGCUUCGUGUGAAAUUUAGACGAGUGUUGUAUAAGAAAUCCAUCAUCUCGAUGAGUUCGAGUGAAUUCUAAGUGAGGGAAAACCUAGUGCGUGAUAGCUUAAGUUGAUAAGCAUCGCCAAAGAACCUGUCUGAGUUCACUCAAGACUUGUGUCCUCUUUGAAGAUUUUGAUGUUUUAGGCGGUUACGUGUGGGAGCAUCCAAGAGUAGUUGAGGCGAUAACCUACCUUGAAGAUUGUUUGGAGGUAUGGUUUGAAAAUGUACCUGCGAGUGAUUGGACGAGGUCUAAGUGAUCUCAACUCAUGGAGAAUGGGGUGAAGACUUGGUCUCCUAAAUUAAAUUUCAGCCUCUCCAACCAAACGUACAGUCAUCACAACACCUUGAACUGGUGCAACAAAUCGAAUGUCUUCACUGAGCCAAUGGUUCCAUUUUGCUCAUCUUUGUUUACUAUGAAUAAUUUGCAUGUCCCGAAGAAUUUGACCCUACUAAUAUGUGAAGACUUCAACUGUGUACUCAGCUAUUAACUCUACAUUCUAUUAUGCUUUGUUACUUAAAUUUUGGUUUAGUUACUUCUUUUACACGUUACCUAACGUUGUUAUGACUAUGUCUCGGUUUUGAUUGUAUGCAUAGCUUAGUUUUUCUUCAGCCAAUUUUAUUUUUGUUCUGUUAAUUUCAGUGUUCAUCAAAGAAACAGUUUUUUAGGAAUCUCCUAUUCACCUCCGCACUAGUCAAUUAAACGUUCCUACAAAUGGACGUGAUGUACACAAGGCGAUAUCAUUGGGUGACUACCGUGAUAAUUUAAAAUGUGGUGGCAAUGACAUGAGAAGGAUCCAUGCUAGGGCUUAUAAAGAUGUGGGGGUCAUGAACACCGACAAAUUUGCUAGGUACUUGCGACUUCGUUGGCCAUGGUUUGAAUGGAAGGAGCCCAACAAACUUUGAGUUGGGUUGGGAUACCGAUGCACCAAGGAAGACCUUGAUUUCUUCUAUGCUCCCACAACCAUCACGGUUCGGAACGGCACAAAAACUCCUUUCUAGGGCCCCCCUUGGUUGUUUGGCCUCAAUCCCAAAGAUGUCGCUCCUCUAAUGUAUGAGGCCUCUAGAAGACAGAAUUGGAAGGUGUGCGAGGCUCUCCAUGGGGACGCCUUGAUGACAAAGAUCAAGACCGACAACAUCAUUUCCGGUGAACACAUUCAGGAGCUUUUCUCCCUUUCGAUGUUUGUUCACGACUUCCAACUUGAUGAACAUGUCGAGGAUGACAUUGUUUGGAAACACGUUGUUGAUGGUAUUUACUCGACGGCAACUGCGUACAAGUUACAAUUCCUUGGACUGGCGCUCUCCCCCAUGAACUUUAUGGUCUUCAAAGCAUGGGCCCCACCAAAGGUUAAAUUCUUUGCCCUACUAGCAUUGCAAGAUAGGAACUGGACUGCCGACCUCUUGGAGCUGUGUGGAUGGGAUAACUGUGGUCUUUCCCUCUUUGUGAGAGGGAGCUCGAAACGGGCAUUGACAUAUUCAUCAACUAUCGCUUCUCUAUUCGACUUUGGGGUUUGGCCAUUGCAAAAUUCGGGCUUCUACAUGUGGAAACAUCCUGUUGUCACCUUGAGGAGUCACUCAUGAGACGGUGGGACCAAAGGACCGACAUGCAAAAUCCCAAUAGAUCAACCAUGGCUUCCCCCACCAUGCAUGUUUCGAGGAUCAUUUGGAAUGAGCGAAACACGACAAUCUUUCGUCACAAGAGUGCUCCACCGCAAAAUUUGCUCAAGGGCGCUUUGGACGAGGGCAACCUUUGGGUUACCGCCGACGCUAAGAAAUUAUGGCAAAUUGUUCUAUGUGAGUAAUUGUCAGGGCCUGUUGUGCCCACUUAUAAAACUCUAUUCUUCCUUAAUUUAAUGGAUGAGGCAAAUCUUUUCCUUCGUUUUGAAAAGAAAAAAAGUAGGAUCCGUGCUAUGACGACAUCAACUUGACAGCUAGUGGUCGAUGGCGGGAGCAGGAGGGAGUUGGGCCACAUUUUCAUUUAUUUUCUAUCGAACCAAGUUGUCAUCGGAGAGCAACUUAUAAAAAUUGGAUUAAAUAUGCAUGGUUCCAGAUUCCGUGUUUAGACAUAACAGGCUUCCUAUUUCUUUACACAAUGACUCAUCGGGCGAUUCACAUACAAAUAACAUUAGCAAAUCCUAGCAUUCGAAGUAAGGACAAAUGAAGCACCGUAGUGACGUCUUGACAGAUUUGGGGGUUCAAAAACUGAAUUGUCACAAUCCACCUUGAUACCGAACGCAGUCUAAAUCGCGUGUAUAUAUACGCUUGGAUUUGGAAGCCACAACAAGGACGUCGAUGGCGACAAACGCACCUAAAAAAAGGUCCAUACGCGUUCCAGGUAGUAAAUCUCAACGCAGUAGCUCGCCUAACUCAGCGCACACCAUCUUUAAAAGAAAAGGAGAAAAAAAAAAACACGUUCCCACCGUGGCUGAGGGGCGCAGAAAUGCUCAGACCGCGAAGGACCGGGGGUUUGGCAUGCCCCCAUGCAUGAGUCGGACCGGUAAAAAACCACAGACGGCGCGGCGCUCACCGUUUUUUUCGGUGAGCAGCACGAGAGCUACUGCGUGCCUCUCCCUCCGGCCCAGCCACGAGGUACUACUUCCUCCGUUGUCCGUUUGCAUAACCGUUGGGAAUGCUCCUUGCGGCAGUGACAGCUAGCCCCCGACGACAGGCAGAGUCUCCCCCUGGGUAUGCCCACCAGGAUUUGGCUGCCGGCCCCACCCUAAAUUUCCACUCUCGAUUCAGCUUGUGCUCUUUCACAAAUAAAUAAUACUCCCUCCGUUCCAAAAGAAAUAUCGUUAAUUUGAUAUAAAUUUAUACUAACUUAAUAUAAAUUUUAGGACAUUUAUUUUAGGACGGAGGAAGUAGUAGUACCUAGUUUUCGUAUGAAAGUUGAGUGGGCCGCACAAGCACAAAAUUAGAGAGUAGGGCGUUUUGGAGCUCGGCCUCUAUGAAGUCUUUUAUUUUUAAAAUAUUCAAAAUUUCAACUUUCUGAUUUCAAAAACAUUUGAAAAAAUAUGCAAGUACAAAAAGAUGAAAUGUAUAUAUGUGUGUAAAAAUCAGUAUGAAAUACUUUUAGAUGUGAUGUCUGAAAAAAGAACAAAUCCGUAUACUUUUGAGAUGAAUAGUAUCAUGUGUUAAAAACCAUAAAUCUGUCUUUUUUACACAAACCUUAUUUCAACAUAUUUCGUUCUAAAAAUUUACAUACAUAUGUGCCAUGUCUUUAUGUAUAUCUUUAUUUUUUCUCAGAUAUUUUGAAAUAUAAAAAUAUGAAUUUUGAUGAAUUUUAAGUUUUUUAAAAAUCAGCCUACAUGAAGGCCGAGCUCCAAAAGACAUUUUCUAAAAUUAGACUAACAAAAACCUCUCGCAAGCUUUGAAUUUCCUUGGAUUUCCUAUUUUCUAGUUGUAUUUUUAACAAAAGUGAGUCAUUAGGCCGGAUAGGGAUUGUUAAUUAGGCAAGUACUCCCUCUAUUAACUAAUAAAAAAACAUUUAGAUCAUCACUACAAGCGUUUAGAUCAUUAAAGUAAUACUUGUGGUCUUGCUGUUGUGUGUUGGGCAUUGUGGAAUUGUCGUAACCGUGCUAUCUUUGAGAACAAAAAAUUGAGUUCCCCCUUCGAUGUGAUAUAUACGGCUUGUGGUCUCCUUACAUACUGGACAGGUUUACUGGCAGGGAAAGAUCGGGAGGCUAUGGAGCGAGGGGCUAAGAUGCUGAAGAUCAAUGCAACUAACUUGAUGUGAAUUUGUGCUGCGCCAGAUGGUGCACAGUGAUGAUGGUGCAUGGCUUCUGUGGUCAGGUGGUUUUAGUUUGCCAUCCCCCCCCCCCCCCCCNNNNNNNNNNNNNNNNNNNNNNNNNNNNNNNNNNNNNNNNNNNNNNNNNNNNNNNNNNNNNNNNNNNNNNNNNNNNNNNNNNNNNNNNNNNNNNNNNNNNNNNNNNNNNNNNNNNNNNNNNNNNNNNNNNNNNNCCCCCCCCCCCCGCGUGGAAGUAUUAGUUGAUUUCAAAGUGAAUCAGGCUAUGUUCUAUGUUGGUGUUAGACUUGUUUUCAUGUAGUGUGACUGGUGGAUUUUAGACUUUUUUUUUCGUUGCGGUGGAUAGGUGUUUUUGGGUUUUCGCCCUGCGGUAGGCUGCUCGAGAACGAGUGCCUACGGUGGGUUUUUCAAAAAUGCUUUGAACUCGCUCCCCUUUUUUAGUUUUCUUUUGUCAAACUUUGUAUUUCCGUUAUGAUAAGUAAUGGAAAGGGGUUUGUCCGGUUUAAAAAAAGUAAUGAUAUAAACGCUUUUAUAUUAGUUGACAGAUGAAGUAUAUUUUUUCUAUAAUGGAUAAAGGAUCACCGACCAAAACAGUGGAGAGACCGGCAAAAGAGAAUGCCGCGCGUAGGGUAGACACAGGGUUCCAAGGAAAUUAUAAACAUGACACCAUUUUUCACUUCUUUUCUUCCCGACGAUGAUGAUGGAAUAAACAUCUGUACAAAUACUACAUACACCAGAAGCCAUUGGCAACACAACAAAAGGAAAGGAGGUGGGGGUGGGGUGGGGGCCUUUCUCUUGUGUGUCAUCAAAUCUUAAAAAAGGCUGGCCCUGAUCCGGUCUGUUAAGGAGGGCAUUUUUGGCAACCUGGCGGGUCCCAGUCCACACACAGGCCAGGACAAAAGGUUAGUGAUUCUUGGCUCUUUCUAUCACUUGGACUCACAUAUGUACACUAGAGGGUGAGGGGCGUUUGGGUCAUCCUAGCCAGGCUUGUCCUAUGACUAUGAUUUUCGUUGGAGGGCCAUCCAUGGUGGUGACCCGCACCUCUUCCUACCCUUCUUCUUUCCUAGUCUAGUGGAAACAUCUCCUUCAACUGUCAGUUUUGACACAAGGAUUCGGUGCUGGGACAGGGAGAGGAACCCGGCGACGGCCGCGAUGCCAGCGGGCGGAAGAUCAACGGCGCCCCGUACUGCGGGUAGAGGAGCAUGAGCACCGUGGGCGCGUGCACAUAGUUGGGCGACGUCCGGAUGUCGAACCGCUGCAGAAGGAUGGCCAUGGUGAGCUUGGCCUCCAGGCGCGCCAGGUUCUGGCCCACGCACAUCCGGGACCCGAGCCCGAAUGGUAUGAAGGCCAGCGGGUGCUUCGCCGCCCUGGCCGCCCCGUUGGCGAACCGCGCCGGGUUGAACUGCGCCGCGUCCUGGCCCCAGUACCGGGCGUCGUGGUGGAUGGCCAUGAUCGGGAUCAGCAGCUCCAUGUCGCGCGGGAUCAUGCACCCGUCAGACAGCCGGACGUCGGCCUUGGCGCGCCGGAUGGUGGCAACCGCCGGCGGGUACAGCCGGAGCGUCUCGUUUAUGAUCAUGCCCAGCUGUCGUGAGAAACACAUGGAACAUGCACUGUGUGUCAGCGCGCGCUUAAAGAAAAAUGACGAGAACGCCCUUCUGCCUGCGGCGAGUUUGAAAUUUCUCCUGCAGAUGGCGAAUCGGAAUCGAGGUGGCAGAGUUGCGCUGGGACUGGGACUGGGACGUACCGUUUUCAGCUUGGGGAGGUGCUCCUUGGAGGGAUCGUCGGAGCCGCAGACGUCGAGGACCUCGCGGCGGGCGCGCUCUUGCCACUCUGGGUGCAUGGCCAGGAGCACGGUGGCCCACGUCAGGAGGUUCGUCGUCGUCUGCUUCCCGGCGAAGAAGAACGUCUUGCACUCCUCCACCAUGUCAUGUACCGGGAUCGCCUUGCCCACCGGCGCCCGCCUCGUGCUCUGGCUGGCAUUGAUCAUGAGCCCGAGCAAGUCGCGGAAGCUCCCGGUGCCGGCCUUCUCGCCCUCGGCUUCCACGGCGGCCGCCUCGUCGCUGCGCCGGCCGAUGAGCCUCGUCAGGCUCCGGCGAAUAUCUCUGUCCAGCUUCCACGACAGCCAGUUCUUCUUGGUCGGCAUGAACCGGUAGCCUGGGACGAGGACCUUGCGGAACGCCUCGGACGCGAAGGCCAUGAGCUGGCUCUGCAUGGCGAACACCACGCGGCCGUCGUUGUAGCUGCCGCCGAAGGUGGCGCGCGUGAUGGCCUCCUCCGUCACCUCCUGGAACCACUCCGCCACGUCUACUUCCACCUCGCCGCUGCCGUCCGCCGCCGCCAUCUCUCGCCACUUCUCCGCUAGCGCGGACACGGACUUGCCGACGUGCGGCACCAGGCGCUGCAAAAUCAAAACCACAUCGCAUGUUGAGAGGCGCCAGCGCGGCCACGGACAAAAAGGAAAGGAGAACAGAGGAGCAGCACGGCGCCCGUACGUUGAGGUUGUCGGGGUAGAAGGCGUCGCCGAGGACGCGGCGGUGGCGCGCCCACUUGUCCCCGUGGAGGCUGACCAGGCCGUCGCCCUCGAGCUGGCGCACGACGGGGUGCGCCUCGUAGCGGUCGAAGGCGUCGGCGCGGGUCAGGAAGAUCUCCCGGAUCAGCUCCGGCUCCGCUACCGUCAGCCGCGGCGUCGGCCCGAACCAUAUCAAGAACGUCGGACCUGCAUCGUCACCAAAACCAUUAAUGGUGACCCAAAAGGACGGGAAUUGACAUCCGACGCAAGAAGCACAGCAGUGGCAACCGAGGGAGGGGAAACAGAGGUGUCUGCGAGGGGGAAGAAGCGAAGUAAAUGCCAUAAACCCCAUAUGCGCAAACGAAAGAGAGACAAGCUAGCUGAGCUGACAACAAGAGACAAAAGCUGAGCCCUGGCCACAAACAGACGCGCGGAGGGAGAGAGAGAGAGAGAGAGAGUGAGCAGCCAAACGGAAAAUCGGACAGCGAGGGAACAGAUCAACAAGCAGAUGCAACUAAAACCGCCCAAAAAGAUGAGCAAUUAAGCCACGCAGGGACGCAGACGGAUGAUGCUGGCUGAGAUACUAUUCUUGUACAACACAUGCGUAUAUAUGUGUGUGUUUGUGUGUAUGUAUGCAUGAGCGGCGGCGAGGAGGGAGGGACGCAC